RNAcentral lists this long non-coding RNA (131757 nucleotides) under Citrus sinensis (sweet orange). RNAcentral describes it as "long non-coding RNA (CSIN_LNC001117)". The stretch from base 47655 to 47761 matches the Rfam family "Plant small nucleolar RNA R71". The record is from RNAcentral. Lineage: Eukaryota; Viridiplantae; Streptophyta; Magnoliopsida; Sapindales; Rutaceae.
AACCAAAACCCAAAAAACCUCUCUCUAACUUUCUCUCUCUAAAAAUUCUCUCAACUCAUCUCUGAUGCCCUUCUUUCUUCAUCAUCCCUAAACGGCCUUUAUGGCCCCUUCGGCCGCCGGUGAUGGCGAUCGGUCAUCACCGGUAAACACACUACCCCCGAGAAGAGUUUCACAGGUUCUUGGAUCCACCUGGGAAAUCUUUUAGGAAGCCUCCAAAAUUCACCAACGAACCACCACCUGACCUAAGGCUACCAUCACCACCAGAACCUAAGCCGAGACGAUCAAAGAGAUUACUCAACCAACGGAAAACAGCCCAUAAUCCACAUAUACAAUUACCACAUACCCUUACGAACCACCCUGAAGGAGAGUCACCACCAACAUCCACUGCCUCUAUCCUUUCUAAACUUCGUCAGCCAUCGAUUACGGUUAAUGAUCAAGAAGAAAUGUCAGAAGAUCAUGAACAAGGCGCUCCACCUCUCCAUGCAAAUAGCUUCCAUGGCGGCCAAGAGGAUGAAGAAAAUCGCCGUGAGGAAACAAAUCAGUCACCCCCUCAUAAAGGUAAACACCGAAGUCAAUCUCCGACCAAAGGCUUCACCUCCAACCAUGAACAAUCGCAACUUGGUAAAUCUCAAGAUCCAACCUCCAUCGCCCUUGUACAAGAUCCACAACAACUCACGGCUGUUAACCUUGUAACCACCGUGAAUAGCCAAGAUGAAGCUUCUCAACCACCCUUGGAUUGCACACCUUUUGGUCCAAAAACGGCAUCUCCCAAAAGUCAGCAAAGAGAACUAGCUUUAGUCCCACUCACAUGCAAAAUUCCCGAAAUUACCUCACAAAUUUUGACUACAUGCAAUCAUGCCCACCAUUCUCUACCAACGCCAACACAUUCCCAUUUUUUUUUUUUAAAUUAUUAUAAAUUUGAAAUAAAUUAAUAAUCAACAAAUUAUUAUAAUAAUAAAUAAAUUAAAGAAAAUGAAUAUUUUAAAGUAAAAUAAUAAAUAAAGCAAAUAAAAGCUCAUAACUUUAAUUUUUUUAAAUAUUGGAUUCUCUCAUUCCAACGCUCUAUUAAUUAUUUCACACAAAAGAGAGUUUAAUAUCAUAAUUUUAACUUUUUGAAUCAUUAUUAAUUUAUAAAUUAAGAAUUUAAGUUUUUUUUAAGUUACUUUUUAAUUUUAAGUUACUUUUUAAUUUUAAUUAUAUUAUUCUAAUUUAUAAAUUUAUUUUUUUAAAAAAACUGUGGGUCUAGGCCUAGCCCGAACUUUUUUUGCCCACCCGACCCACCACUCACACCUCUUUCCAUGUUUCGACCCCCACCACUCACAUUUCUUUGCAUGCUUUGGCCCCCACCAAUCCACAAACACAAGUCCACAAACAAAGCCCUACCAACUCUUAUCAUGGAAGCCCACCACAUAACCACUCAAACCUUCAAGCCCAUAUUCAACAUUCAGCAGCCCAUUCCAUAAAUAACAAAACACAAACUCUUAACCCACGAGCCCAAAAUCAAAAGCAACCCAUUCAACUCCAGCAAGGCCAAUCCUCCAAUUUAAGCCCACAAGUUCAAAAUCAAGCCCAAUCAACUAAUCCCUCUAAUCCAUUAAACCAUAACCAACCUCAAAGUCAGCCCACUUCUAUUCCAACAUAUGCUUUAGUUUUGAAUUUCGCUCCUAAUCGGAAUUCAAAUUGGCCGAUCAAAAAAAUCUUUGCUAAUAUUAUGAAUGGAUCCACAUCUCCAACAGUUCCCAUCAAGACCAUCUCUUCAUACGAGGGAGAGCCCAACGUACAUUUUUCUGUAGUGGAAGUCAAAGCGAUGGCUAUUCCAUUCAAACUGACUUUAGUCGUAAGUUUUCCUACAAUCGCCCUUGUAUGGAAUUAAUUUGAAAUUUUUUUUUCAUCAUUGGGAUUAAAAGGAAAUUCUCAAAUUUCUCUCUUAGAUAACCGUCAUGUUUUAAUUAAAUUGGAUGUCGAGGAAGACUGCACCCGUCUGUGGGUUAAGCAGACAUGGUACGUUAGUGGAAGUGCCACGAGCAUAUUUAAAUGGACCACAUAUUUUUGGUAUUCUGAGGAAUCGCCCGUUGUUCCGGUAUGGAUUUCACUUCCCUAUUUGCCUAUUCAUUUUGUGCAAUGCACGGAAGCAUUAUUUUCUAUUGCAUUAGUAAUUGGUAAGCCUUUUCGAAUCGACCAAGCCACUGCCUCAUUAUCACGACCCUCUGUAGCUAGGGUUUUAAUAGAAUAUGAUGUCACUCAACCACCGCUAUGACAGAUUUAAAUCGGUGUGGGUAACUCUGGAUUUUGGCAGAAUGUAGUGUAUGAGAAAAUCCUACUUUAUUGUGCUUCAUGCAAGCAUCUUGGCCAUGAUGUUGAGACAUGUUAUGUUGCCAAUCCAGGACUUCGUCCCCAACGGCCAAAUGGGACCAGUCAGAAUAGCAAGGAAAAGGGUAAGGAAACAAGAGAAGCCUUCAGACACUCCACAACAUACUCCCAGUCCAAACCCAGAGUGUUUGAGCUUGGCCCUGCAGAUCAUGGACACUGGGUCUCCGAUCACCAUGAUUUCUCCUGUGGAGAACUAAGCUGAUAAUACAGGAGCCAUCGACGUUCAGGAUUCUAGAGCACAGGUUGAGCCAAGUGAUCAAGGCGUAUCUCUCCGACAGACCAUCAGGACUCUAGAUUAUCGGGCAUCUAAAUGCUUUCGAUCUUUAUCGGAUGAUUUUGGCAUGACAGUUGUGGGCUUCAACACCCACUUUACCGAUAUUCCUGCACAAUCUGACGAGGAUAAUCGUGGGGAUGAGCUUCAACAUUUUAGGUAUCUUGUGAACUGCAAUUUCAUAACAACGAACACGACGAGUUCUCGGGCCAUGAUGGUUCCUUCCUGUCUGCACCUGAGGACACCGAGAGACAUGAUCUGAACCCUAACUUUAGUGUUACUCAGGAACAUUCUAGGAAGGGCUUCAAAUUACUCACCGGUCGCAAAUAUCAAAAAUAAUUUUCUGGUAGACUUCAUUAGUAGCGGAUCGACAUUUGUAUUUUAGAUAUUAGGCUUUGCCUUAGUUGAAGCAGUUUCAGGUUGUUCUAUUUCUUUAACUUGGAGGUUUAGGUUCAUGCCCUCUCCAUAUGUAUUUUUUCAUUUAUCGUUUAACAUUACAGGUAGGGGGAAAAAAACUAAUGGAUUGAAACAUUAAAUAACUUGAAUUUAAGAAUAAAAGCCUCAAUUUUAAACUGUUAAUGCCCGAAAAUUAAAGGAAUAUGUUUAUCGAAUCAAGAUUAUAUAUCUUCAAUUUCUUUUAAUUUACAAAUAAUUGUAGGUAUUGAAAAAUGUUUUAGAAAAAUACCAAAAUUUCCAAAUUAAUAUAAUAAUAUUUUGAAAGAAAAGAGUUUAUUUUUACUAUUACAUUAUCUUGUAAUUACCUACUCCCCAAUCACCCACCUUCGCACUCUCAGCUACUUAAUUCUUUACAUAUACAUUACAUAUAUAUUAAAUCAGACCAGAAGCAAGAACUCGCAAAAGCAACUUAAUUACUUUAAAUGUUUUAUUCCGGAAGCCGAUGCCUUUUCUGAUUUGAAGAUUAUGGAAGGACUAGGAUUCUUUUCUUAUCUGAGCUCUCUUAAGCUUUUAAUAAUCUUAUGUUAUUUGUCAUUUAAUAAGAGUGGAUGGAUAUAAUUUAACUUCUUUAUUUUUUUUAUUUACUAAUCACCAAUCAACGCGUGAAUUUGUAUUUAGGAGAAGUCAAAUCAAGAGAGGAUCUCAAAGCAUUAUCGGAAGCUAUAUGUGUAGGUUUUUCGACCAAUUUCAAUUGAAUAUUGUUUUUUAAUUCUUAUUUUGAUAUGUGUAUUUAUGAUUAAGUUUUCAAAUAUGAAUUUUUCUUGGAUAAUGAUUGGUGGAAGAGGAUCGUCCUAAUAUUUCCUCGUCUCAAUACUGCUGACGAUGACAUUUGCUAGUGACAAUCUUGAUAUAUAUGUUGGCAUUCAAUGUAAGAGAAAUCUCGACCAUACAGGUUAACUGCAAUGUUACUCUUUUAUGUUAUGUUUAAUUAAAUAAAAGAGAGAUUGCCAAUUUUCUUCUUACUAAAAUAAAUAUAUACCACUUACCACACUAUUGUUUCAUAAUAGCCAAUAAUCCCCCUAACAACAUAAUUUUACUGUAUUACUUUUAUUUACAAAUACACUUCUAAUCUAGAUUUGCUUAUUUGCUACUGAUGCAAUUCUAAAGCUGGUUAACAAAGCAGCUAGUGAUCAUCAUUGUUAGCAAAAUAGAGAGAGCUAUAAGAGAGAGAAAGUUCUAGCUUGUUUUCUAUAAUCUCUUAUAAUUUCUUUAUAAAAGAUUCUCUAUUGAUCGUCAAAAAAAAGAUCACCAAAAAACUUCUCCCGUGGAUGUAGGUUGUGCCAAUCUUGGUACAGCUGAACCAUGUAAAUUCAAAUCACUCUUUGGUUCUUGGAUGUGAUUGUUUUCAAUUUGGGGUUUUGUUUGUCAAACUUGUUGUUUUGAAUUAGAAUGGGAGCCUUGCUUGUUACUUAAGGAUUAGAAGAUGCAACUGAACCAGUAUCCAAGAAAGAAGGAAAAGAAGUUCCAUCAUCCAAGCCUUGCUUGUUUCUCGUGAUUGAAGUGCUAGAUACAAAAAUCUGUCAUUCAUUUACAUAGGAUUACAUCGUUUCCCUUAAAUGUAAUUGUUUUACUGGAUAUUUUGGUAAUACAAUUUUUUUUUAAAAAUAAUGGUUGUCAAGAGUAUUUGGAUAGGUUUAAAUAGCCCCUUGCUUGAUUGUUUAAAACUUUACUUAUGCAUUCUCUGUCUAUGCUUGAUAAACACUUUCAUAAUAUGUAGAAAUAUUUUCACUAGUUAAAUUCCCUUUAAAGUUUAUAUUAUCCUUUACGAUGUUAAAAUUUUAAUGACACUUUUUUAAAAUUAAAUGAGACAUCUGCAUACAAAUGAACUAAUUAUAAUUUAGACAAUUGUCAAAAUUUUAGCUGACGAUAAUUGCUACAUUUAUUUGUCAAUUUCAAUUAACAUCUUAAACCAAGAGAAAGUUAUAUGAAAAGUUUAUAAGAGAUCCACAGGGUUAAAAAAGGAAUGGGACUAUUUGAUCUCAUAAUUUUUCUUUUAACAUUUAUUUUCUUAAGAAACCCAUUAUUAAAAUUUAAAACUCGAGUUUUUACUCUAGACACCCUCUAUACUUCAAAAAAUUACCUUAAUUGAAGAUAGACGCUUCAGUUACCUUUUUCCUUCUUGCAAAAUUUUUCUACAUUGCAACCACUUUUUAUCACUUUUACUGUUGUUCUCACUUUUUUGUUUCAUCUCAACAACAUAUUUAAGUUGUUCUCUUUCCAAACCUCCAUGUGAUCACGCAUAUUAAUAAGGAGAAUGAGAUAAAAAAAUUUAAUAUGUCAAAAAGUGGCAUGCCGACACCACCAUUCUAGAAGGCGGUGCCCACUAUUGUUAGAGUAGGAGGUGUUGCCGUGUUGCCUCCUUCUUCGACCCAAAGAAAAAGACAAAAUGUACAGUGACGAAUAAUAGCCAUUGAAGGAGGAGGUGUUGCCUCCUUCUUUACCCCAAAGAAAAACCCAUAAAAUGUACAGUGACGAAUAAUAGCCACUUGGUGGCUAUAAAUAAAGAGGUUCAUUCCCUCAUUUGAUUCAUCCCCAAAUUCCUCUUCAAUUAUUAGACAAAAAUAUAGAAUUGUACGGGAGUUUGGGAGUUUUAAUACUCUUGUGUGAUUAGUGAUUUAAGAGAUUCAGUGUGUUGGGGUUCUGGGUAGUGAGCCAAAAAUAUUACAGUACUUGCUACCCUCAUUUCACUAAUAAAGUUUUAUCCUUCUAUUUUUGCGCAUGAACGUGAGCUAAAAGUUGAACCAAAUGUUUUCUAUGUAGUAAUUUCUUCCAAUUUCAUUUUAGCUAUGGGCCUGCUUCACACAUCAAUUUCCUAACAGUGAUAUCAGAGCUUCAGCUUGUAUUUUUGGGUUAGGGCACUAUUCACACAUAUGACACUGUACUGUUCAUGUAUAUGGUUACUGUUCAUGUGAAAUGGUAGGAGCCGCAACUCAUUGUAAGAAACAAUGGCGAAAAAAUAUGAAAUUGAGAAGUUCAAUGGAAAUAAUUUCUCAUUGUGGAAAAUGAAAAUAAAGGCUAUUUUAAGGAAAAACAAUUACUUGGCAACAAUUGAAGAAAGGCGUAUGGAGAUAACUGAUGAUACCAGGUGUAACGAGAUGGAUGGUAAUGUAAUUGCCGAUCUACAUUAACACUAGUUGAUGAAGUGUUAUCUAGUGUGGAGAAGAAAAAGAGAGUAAAGAAAAAAUAUGGGAUACUCUUAUAAGACUGUACAAGGCCAAAUCAUUACACAAUAAGAUUUUCUGAAAGAAGAGAAUUUAUACUCUUCGAAUGGUGGAAACCACAUCAGUGACUAACCAUAUCAACACUCUCAAAACUCUCUUUUCACAACUUACAAUGUUGGGUAAUAAAAUAUAAGAAAAUAAGUGUGUAGAGCUUCUACUUCAAAGUCUACCAGAUUCGUACAAUCAACUUAUCAUCAAUCUGACGAACUACAACAAAGCAAAAAGUCUAGUCUUCGAUGUCGAAGCCUCUGUAUUAAAUGAAGAGAGCAGGAAAAAAAAGACAAGCUGGCGAGUUCGUAGCAAAUGGAAGCGCUAUCGAUAACUAGAGGGAGAUAAAUAGAGCGUGGCCCUAAUGAGAUUUACAAUAAUGGUAGAUCAAAAUCAAGAAGUAAGAAGUAUGUCAAAUGCUACAAUAGUGGGCAGAACAGACAAAACUACCUGUUAUGUAGUAAAUCAAUCGCCAUCCAAAGUAAUUAGUUUGAAGACUCCGAUGGAGAUGUAGACUGGAAAUUCAGCUGAUUACUCUGAUCUACAUUCAUUUGGAUGACAUGUGUAUGUGAUGUACAAUACCCAAGAAAGAACAAAGCUAGAUCUAAAAUCCAAGAUAUGUAUUUUCUUAGGGUAUGCUCAUGGAGUGAAGGGGUAUUGUUUGUGGGAUCCCACUACCCACAAGAUUGUCAUCAGCAAAGAUGUUAUCUUUGUAGAAGUGCAAUUACAAUGGAAAAAAAAAGAAAAUGAUAGUACCGUGAAGAAAAACCCUUAGAUAAAACAAACUCAAUUUAGACCAUUGUUGAUAUUAUAAGAGAUUUGAAGAUAAUGAUUUCAUCAUUUUACUAUUAUAUGUGGAUGACAUUUUGGUAGAGACCCUAACAAAGAUCAAAUCCAAGAAUUGAAGGCUCAGUUGGCCAGGGAGUUUGAAAUAAAGCAAACAAGAUUAUAGGGAUGCAAAUUUACCGAGACAGAAAUAACAUGAAGAUUUAGCUUUCUCAUAAUAAUUACUUGAAGAAAAUCCUGCGACACUUCAACAUGCAAGAUUGUAAGCCAAUUUCUACUCCAUUUCCUGUUAAUUUCAAGUUAUCCUCAAGUAUGUGUCUUAGCAAUGAACCAGAGAGGAAAGAGAUGCCUUCAGCACCGUAUGCAUCAACAGUGGGAGCAGUUAGUUGAUACAUGGCGAAUCCUGGUGGAGAGCAUUGGAAAACUGUGAAGAUGAUUCUGAGAUACAUUAGAGGAACCUCAGAUGUUGCAUUAUGUUACUGAGGAUUAAAGUUUACUGUCAGGGGCUAUAAGGAUUCAUAUUUUGCAGGAGACCUUAAUAAAAGUAAAUCCACUACUAGCUAUAUAUUUACACUUGCAGGUGGAGCUGUAAGUUGGGUUUCAAAACUGCAAAUUGUUUUGGCUUUAUCCACAACGGAAGCAAAAUACAUAGCAGCUAUAUAAGCUUGCAAGGAAGUUGUUUGGAUGCAAAGGUUAUUGGAGGAGCUUAGGCACAAAUAAGAGAAUUUUUUUGUAUUUUGUUACAGUCAGAGUUCCUUACACAUUGCAAGGAAUCCAGUCUUUCAUUCCCAGACGAAGCACACAGGAGUUCAAUAUCAUUUUGCUCAAGAAGUAAUUGAAGAUAGAAAUGUAGAUUUAUAGAAGAUCCAUACCAAGGAGAAACUAGCAGAUGCUUUGACCAAACCAAUCAAUACUAUCAAGUUUGUAUGGAAUUGAUUCUCUUAUGGCCUAGCAGAAACGUAAAUAAUAUGACAAUGGCGAAGCAGAAAGGAUGGUGUGGAGAUUGAUUAGUUCUCAAUCUAAUCUCCAAGUAGGAGAAUGUCAAAAGUGGCAUGCGACCACCACUCUUCUAGAAGGCAGUGCCCGUCAUUGUGGAAGUAGGAGGUGUUGCCUCCUUUGAAUAUAAAAGAAGACAAAGCAAAAGAAGAAGAAGCCACAGAAUGAACAAUGAUGAACAAUAGCCACUCCAUGGCUCUAAAUAGAGAGGUUCAAACCCUCAUUUGAUACAUCCCCAAAUUCCUCUUUAAUUUUUAGGGAGAAGUAGAGAAUUGUGUGGGAGUUUCACAGUUUUAAUACUCUUGUGUGAUUAGUGAUUUUAGAGAUUAGGUGCAUUGGAUUUCUGGGUAGUGAGCCAAUAAUAUUACAAUACUUAUAAUCAUCAUUUCACCAGUAAAGUUUUAUCCUUGACGUAGGCUAAAAACCGAACCACAUAAACUCUUGUGUUCUAUGUGUGCUCUUAUUCUUUAUUUUCUUCCAAUUUCAUUUUAGUUGUGACCGUACUUCGCACAUCAAUUUCCUAACAUAAUAAACACGAUACAAACUAGAAUAUUUAAGGUUAUUAUAAUGAUAAUAUUCUAGUGUAAAAAGAAUCUCUUUGCAACUUCUAUGUGGUGCUAUAACGCUGCCUUAGUUCUUCUUAAAAUUUUCUGCGUAGCAAACUCACUUCCCUGUAUUUUUAUUUGAUUUGUGUAAGGUCCAUAGAUGAGAAAGAAAAUAUGAUAACAGAAGCACCAAUUAUGUUGACAUUUGUUGAGUUCGUAUGAUGUGCAUUCGUUUUGAUUAUUAUUAUAUUGUGAAAUACUCAUUUCAAUCGUGAGAAAAAAAAAGAAAUAAAUCAAGAGCCCUAAUAUGGAUAAGACAACGAAUUAGGAUUUUAUGUUGGAUGACUUUCUUAAGUGAGUGUCAGGAGAAUUAUUAUUAUAUUUUUUGCUCAACAGUAAUUUUCUUUAAUGAUUAUUUAGGAAUAUAAUUUUUAUUAAAAUAAUGCAUGUAAAAAGCAUCUUUAUGGUAUUAUCAAAUUACCUCUCCGUAAGAAAACUACAAAAGACAUGGAGGUCAUUCUCUAUACAAUUAUUCUCCAAGAAAGAAACUCUAAACUAAGGAUAAUAACAAAUUAGAAGUAGCUGAUUACUAAUUUGAAAAUUUUAAGCAAGGAUGCGAAAUUAGUUGAUAAGUUUUGAGAAGUUGUUGAAACGAUUGUGAAAUAAAUUUCCAAUGAUUAAUGAUUACGUUUUCAGAAUAAGAUGAUUAAGAAUUGCAGAACUAGCUGAUUACUAAUUUGAAAACUUUAGGCAAGGAUGCGAAAUUAGUUUAUAAGUUUUGAGAAGUUGUUGAAACGAUUGUGAAAUAAAUUUCCAAUGAUUAAUGAUUACGUUUUCAGAAUAAGAUGAUUAAGAAUGGCAGAAUUGGGCAACUACAUAUGACAAUACCGGCAUAAGCCUAGAUCAAAAUUCGAUAAUUGAUUAAUUUGCAUCCCAUUAUUGAUUACACAGUGUAAAUUUAUAAUUUUAAAGUUUAGUCGGCUUAGGCUUAUCAACAUGAUCUUCAGCCAUCAUCACUGUUUGUUAACUAUUUUGUUAAAUAAUGGGAAGUUAAAAAUUGUCUCUGAAUGCGGAGUUAAAACCUCGCAUUAUAUAUAUGGUCCCUCAUCUGAACAUUAUUUGUUAAUAAUUAUGUAGAUGAUCUAUUAAUUAAUGGAUUGAAACGUUAAAUAACUUCAAUUUAAAAAUAAAAACUUCAAUUUUAAACUGUUUUGCAAAUUAAAGGAAUAUAUUUAUUGAGUCGUAGAUCAUAUAUCAUCAAUUUUGUUUUAAUUUACAAAUAAUUGUAGGCAUUGAAAAACGUUUCAGAAAAAUACCAAAAUUUCCAAAUUAAAAUAAUAAUAUUUUGAAAGCAAAGAGUCUAUUUUUGAUAGAUUAUUGUAAAUAUUUUAUUUUUCCAUGCUAAAGAUUUUUUUUUGAUAAAAUCCAUGCAAAUAAAAACUCAAAGCGGUACUAAUAAUAAAUGACAAUUCUCAUUAAAAUUUCUUUUCACAUUUACAAAAAGUUACAUAUGAGGUUUAAAUCAAAAUCAAUUUCAAGAAGAAUCAAGCAACACUGAGAACCUAUUUUUUGAAAACCACCUAGACAUUUUAUAUGGAUUUAGAUUCAAAUCAGACAAUUAUUAAUUCAUAUAAUAUGUGGAUCCUUAUUGGAAAAUAUGAAUCUUUUAAAAAAAAUUAUUAUCUUAUAAAUUUCUCGAAUUUUUAAUUUAGCACGUUGCUUCUAAGUCGAGACACAAAAAUUGUUAUUUAAUCGAGAUUACCAAUUUUAUUAAGAUUCUACUCUAUAUAUUUCACCCGACUAACUGGGCUUUCGCUUAGAGAUAUCUAAACUAUUUUGGUUAAUUUUAAAAUGUAAUGAAAAUAACUUUAACCAAUUAUUUUUUUUAAAUAUAAAAUAAUGAAAAAAAAUAUCAAUUAAAUCCCUUAAAAGUUUUCAAAUUAUUAUUUUAUAUUUAAGAAAAAUAAGAUGUGAAAUUAGUUAAUAAGUUUUGAGAAGUUGUUGAAACGAUUGUGAAAUAAAUUUCCAUUGAUUAAUGAUUACGCUAUUAGAAUAAGAUGAUUAAGAAUUGCAGAAUUGGAAAACUACAUAUGACAAUACCGGCAAAAGCCUAGAUCAAAAUUCAAUAAUUGAUUAAUUUGCAUCACAUUGUUGAUUACACAAUGUAAAUUUAUAAUUUUAAAGUUUAGUCGGCUUAAGCUUAUCAACGUGAUCUUCAGCUAUCAUCACUGUUUGUUAAUUAUUUUGUUAUAUAAUGCGAAGUUAGAAAAUUACUAAUUCAUUUAUAUAGGAUAACUUCCUUUCCCCUAAAUGUAAUUGUUUUAAUGGAUAAUUUGGUAAUUCAAAUUUUUAUAAAAUAAUGUGCGUCAAGAGUAUUUUGAUGUAUUCAAAUACCCACUUGCUUGAUUGUUCAAAAUUUCACUUAUGCAUUCUCUAUCUAUGCUUGAUAAACGCUUUCAUAAUUUGUAGAAUUUUUUUCACUAGUUAAAUUCCUUUUAAAGUUUUUAUUACCCUUUACGAUGUUAAAAUUUUAAUGACACAUUUUUAAAAUUAAAUGAGACAUCUACAUACAAAUGUACUAAUUAUAAUUUAGACACUUGUCAAAAUUUUAGCCGAUGACAAUUGCUACAUUUAUUUGUCAAUUUCAAUUAACAUCUUAAACCAAGGGGUGGGAUUAUUUGAUCUCAUAAUUUUUCUUUUAACACUCAUUUUUUUAAGAAACCCAUUACUAAAAUUUAAAACUCGAGUUUUUACUCUAGACACCCUCCGUACUUAAAAAAUGACCUUAAUUGAUGACAGACGCUUCAGUUACCUUUUUCCUUCUUGCAAAUUUUUUCCACAUUGCAACCACUUUUACUGUUGUUCUCACUUUUUUUUUUCAUCUCAAUAGCAUAUUUAAGUUGUUCUCUUUCCAAACCUCCACGUUAUCACGUAUUAAUAAGGAGAAUAAGACAUAAAUUUUAAUAUGUCAAAAAAUGGCAUGCGGGCACCGCCUUCUAGAAGGCAGUGCCCGCUUGCCAUUGUUAAAGUAGGAGGUGUUGCCUUUUUCUUUGAUUAAAAAAAAGAAGCCACAAAAUAAACAGUAACGAACAAUAGCCAUUUGGUGGGUAUAAAUAGAGAGGUUCAUCCCAUAUUUGAUUCAUCCCCAAAUUCCUCUUUAAUUAUUACAGAGAAAUAGAGAAUUGUGUGGGAGUUUGAGAGUUUUAAUAUUCUUAUGUGAUUAGUGAUUUGAGAGAUUGGGUGUAUUGGGGUUCUGGAUAGUGAGCAAAAAAUAUUACAACACUUGUUAUCCUUAUUUCACUAAUAAAGUUUUAUCCUUCUGUCUUUGCCAGUGGACGUGGGAUAAAAGCCGAACCACGUAAACUCUUAUGUUUUCUAUGUGUGCUUAUUCUUCAUUUUCUUCCAAUUUCAUUUUAACUGUGACCCUAAUUCACACAUAAAUUUCCUAACAGUGAUAUCAUAAGUUCAGGUUGUAUUUUUAGGUUGGGGUACUAUUCACACAUACGACACUGUUCACGCAUACAAUAUUAUUCACAUAUAUGGUUAUUGUUCACAUGAAACGGUGGGAGCCACACCUCGUGGUAAGAAGCUGACACGUCUUAAAAGUGAUUUCUAGUUCUCAAGUAUAAGAGUGUCUUGUUAUAUUAUAACUGGGUUAGUCUGAGGUCGAUCCACAAAGAAAGGAUUUAAUUUGUUUAUUUAAGUUUAUAAAAAAAUUAAAAUUAAAAUUAAAAAUAUGCAAUUUAAUUUAGGAAAAAACUAUGAAAUUGAAUUAGUUAGGGUUAUGGAUCCACUCCUAGUAAUAAAUACAAUUGAUCAAAUUCUUUAUAUUUUUAUUUUAUAUCCCAAAAGAUUAAUUGUAUAAAUUACAAUUAUUUUCCCAUUAAUUUUUAUUAUGGAUUAAGAACUUAAUGUGCCAAAACUUAGCUUGUCCACAAUAAGGCAAAAUACCAUUUUUCCAUACUUUAUACUAAGAUAUUAAGAAUUCAUUGUGCCAAAAUCUCAUGUUUGUCUACAAUGAAUCAAAAUUUCAAAAUAUAAAAUAUGGAUAAAAUUAAAUAGAAAAUAAUUUAUUUUAUAUAAUUAAAAAUAGAAUUUGAUUAAAUCAUAUUUAUUUCAAAGAGCUUCACCUUCCCCAAAUUAUUAGUAUUUAGCUAAACAUAAUUGAAAUAAAGGAAUUUAUUAAAAAUUGAAAAACACAUAAAAAAUGAUAUUUGAAAAUUGAAAUAAAACUAAUUUUCACUACAAGAAAACAAACAAUAGAUGACAGACAAUUUAUGACAGAUUCAACUUAUAUCAUAAUAGUAUGACAGACUCGUGAUAGAAUUUUCAAUCUAUCAUGAAUUAAUGAUGAUUUUGUGACAAUAUGAUUUUCUAUCACAAAUUUAUGAUGGUUUUGUGAUAUAAUUAUUGUUUAUCACAAAUUUAUGAUAGAAUCGUGAUAAAAAAUUUCUCUGUUAAGAAAUUAUGAUAAAAAAAAUUCUUUGACUAUGUUUGACCUAAAGUUUAAUAUAUUAUUUUAUUUUAAAAAACAAAAGGGUGCAUUUUAAUAAUUCAAAAAAGAAAAAAAGAGAAAAGAAAAACACUACUGUCUUGACCCACCAAGCCCCAAAAUCACUAACACUCACACCCAAACACUCAUCACUCUCUCACGACCAAACCCUAGAAAUCAACCUUGCACUCAAUCGAUCGAGCAAAACACCAUCCUUUCGCCGCCAUUCAAGUAUAUUGUAACUAUGCCGGCAAUGUUGUUUAAAAAUUGUAGCUCGUUGCUGUCGGCACCAUUUUGCUAGUAGUAUUAAAAUGUUGGGUUUGUUGCUGUUGUGUCGCACAGGGUUCGAGUGGCUGCUUCUAAGUCGCGUUGCUGCUACGUUGCGCUGCUGAUGCUGUUGGGUCGCUACUGCAUCGCGUGCUGCUGGGUUGUUGAUGGGUGAUGGCUAUAAUUGUUGUUUGGGUGUGUGAGGUAGUGAAGGUGUGGCUGUCGGCUGUUGUUUGUUGUUGCUUCACGGAUGGUAGGGUGAGUGAUUUUGGGGAUUUAGGAUUUUGGCUGUUGCUUCGUGUGAGAGAGAGGGCGGCUGAGGGAGGCAAUUUGGUUAUUUGGGGAUUUAGGUUUUUGGUUGUUUUAUUUUGCUUUUUUUUUAUUUUCUAGUUUUUUUCUAUUUCAAUUUUUUUAUAUAUAUUAUAAAGCCUCUUUGUAAAAAAAAAAACCAAUAAUAUAUGUCAUCAACUGCAGUGGUAUUCUUCUACACCAUUUUUUUGACAAUCAAAUUCCUCUUUUCAUCUUGGCUUCCACUUGUGAAUUUCUAUCUGGUUCAUGCUUUUCCUGUUACCUGUGCUAGGUGGUGAAAUUUUUGGUAGAACAGAACAACAAUAAUGCUCUUCAUGGUCAAGUUACAAUUGGAACACUUAUUUUACAGGUACUGUUUAAAAAUAUAUUAAUGAUAUUCGCUUACAAUUUAUGGACGUGGACUAGUAAGAUUCAGGUUUUGAAGCAUAUUUAGCCGUUUCUUGACCUUGGGUUAUUUCAGGAUUGUAAAUAGUUCAGUUAAUCAAUUUCUUGGAGUAGAAUGUAUAUUUUGUAGUUUAUGCAUUGGCACCCUGAUUAUUUCUUCUUCUAGCUAUAGUUAUUCUAGUUACUGCUAAAGAAAAUAAACAAAUAAAUAAUGGCCAGUUGGUAAUGUGUAUGGGGACACUUAGUUCAUAGGCUAUUUUGACAGGAUUUUCUUGGAAGUAGUUGGAUGAAUAUAAAAGGAUGCAUAAAGGUGAUAUAAUGUUGAGUGAGUAAAUUAAUUCGAGAAUGGUUGUGGUACUGCUUUAGUUCUGAUUUGAUAAAACCUAUGGUAAUCGGUCCCAUAAUACUUCACUGUAAAAUUUAGUUUUUUGUUGUGAAAGCUGAGAACUUUCACAUCAAGAGAUUUUGAAGAAAAUCUGGCCUAAAAAAAAAGUAUGUUCCUCUUUAACUUUUCCAGUUUUUUAACUAUCAAUCCCUCAUUAUGAUAUUAACUUUCUGAUGAAAAGUUUUUCAUUUAGCUCAUUAAGCCUAGGUGAAUUGGUAGAUAUUCAGUAAACUACUAUUAGUUAUUAUCUGGUAGAGAUUCUUGUGGUGUAUUUGUUCUUCUGUUUAUUUUGCGAUCAUUAUUCCAGGUAACAAGUUCCUUUUUGUUUCAUUCAUCACAGGUUGAAACUUUUGCACAAUUUGGUGUUGUCUUCCUUCUUUUUGCUUUGGGGCUAGAGUUUUCUUUGACAAAGGUACAUCAUUAUGUGCUUGGAAAGUGUAUGAUAAUUAUUGAUAACAUUUUCCAUCUUUGUUCAUAAAAUCUAUUCCAAUUCCAUAAUUCAUCAUCAAUGCAGUUAAAAGCAGUGGGACAUGUCGCUGUUCUUGGAGGGCUACUACAAAUUGCAAUAUUUAUGUUCUUGUGUGGCAUAACGGCUGCAGUAUGUUGCUUAGCCUCUGAUUUGGUUUUUGUUACAAUUUCUGUUUGUUGUAUUUCUUGUCAAAAUUGAUGUUAAACUUGGACUAUUUGCUUAUGCUGCAGUUAUGUGGAGCCAAAUUGUCAGAGGGAGUAUUUGUUGGUUCCUUCUUAUCAAUGUCAUCAACUGCAGUGGUAUUCUUCUACACCAUUUUUUGACCAUGGGUUAUUUUAGGAUUGUGCUGUUGGGUUACUAUUUGCUCUACUCCCAGUCUUGGGUGGUAACAGUGGCCUUUUGCAAGGAAUGGUUUCAAUGGGGAAGUUGUAAGUUCAUUUGAGCUCUUUAAAUUUAGAUUUUAAUGUGAUUGCUCUUGUUGUUCUCCUUUUCUUUUUUAACAAUGUUUCCUUGUUGUUGUUGACCGGUGCCCUUGUGCAAACAUUAUUUGUUGAAUGGUGACAUUUUUCUUUUAUUAACUUCAGGCUGCUAGUUUUGUCCAUUUAUCUCACUGUUACAUCUAUUUUAUCCUGGUCUUUUGUUCCCUACUUUCUAAAGCUCAUGAUACAGCUGUCAUCUCAAGUGAGUUUUGUACAUAUAUUUUGUUUUUGUGCCUUGAUUUUGAUAAAUUUAUUGUCCUUUAUUAGCUCAUUUUGAUUUCUUUUCACCUGUCUAGACAAAUGAGCUUUAUCAGCUUGAUGCUGUAGCUUUUUGCUUAUAAUCUGCUUGGGUAAGUGCAAUAUGUAAUUACCUAUUUUGUCAAGGUUAAUACAUCUUGCUGGUAAUCGAUUAAUGGGUUCUAUUUUCUGCUUUGUUAAUUUACUGUUUAUGCACUGGAUGAUAUGCUUUUAUGCUGUUAAGUGAUCAUCUGCUUGGACAAUGUAAUACCUUUGGAGUUUCUUUUCAGUGCAGUGAUAAGCUGGGCCUCAAUCUUGAGCUGGGUUCAUUCAUAGCUGGAGUGAUGAUAUCUAGCGCUGACUUUGCUAAACAUACUUUAGAUCAGGUACUUUUUUGUGCUAGUGAUAAUUCCUCCACUUAGAUUUUAUUUUUAUUUUGUCGAUGAAGAAUGUCAUUUUAUUAAAAAUCCUGACAUAUAUAUAGUCGUUUCCAUUUUCCAGAAAAAGGGUUGUUAUGCUAUUUUAAAUACGAGGCAAGUUACAGGCCUAUAAUUGGUGCUGUUGGUUAAGAUAAGCUUGUCAAAGUUGGUUGUUUGGUUUUCGUUUCAUUGGUUGAUCAGUUCAGUUGGAUCUGGAUGCCAUUGCUUUUUUAUGACUUUAUGAUUUAUUUUUGUCUCCUCACACUGGUCUAUUGUUGUGGCUUCCUUUGGAUUUUUAGCUACCUUGCUGAUUUUGAUGAAUUCCUGUUCACCAAAAGUAAUUUUAAUCCAUUGAGUUUGUACAUUUUGCUCAUUCCAUAAAAGUGAAGAUUGCAGCCUCUUAAUUUUCCUUAUUCUAUGAUGCCCACAUGUAUUGCAGCCUCUUAAUUUUCCUUAUUCUACUUGGUGUUUGAAUCAAUUUUGUUCACAGGAAGCUUGCAGGUCGCUAGUUUUGUUGGGUAACUUGGCUUGGUGGCCGGAAUUCUUAUUGCUUUUCUUAGAGUUUGAUUGGAAUUUGACUGCAAUUUUAUACUUUGGGAUGGCUUUUUCAAUUUGGGAUGUUUUAUUAUGUAUUAGUGGAGAUUACAUUGGAUAUUAGAUGUAUUUCAAUUUUGGAUUGAAUGAAUGUUAAUUGAUAUUAAUUUUUUUAUGAUAUUUGUUUUAUUAAUUAAUUAAAUUUGUAAACAGGAAUUCAUCAAUAAAUUAUAAUUAUAAUAUAAUUUUAGAAAAAAAAUCAAAACUUUAUGAUGGAAAAGCCAUCAUAUAUUCUAUCAUAAAUAAUUUCCCGCCAAAAUUGAAUAAUAAAUUUUCAAAUAAUAAUUGAAUUUCUCACUAAAAAAUUAAAAAAAAUGGCGCAAAAAUUUAAAUAAAUUUAAUUUUUAAUUUAAUUAUUUUUUACAUUAAAAUAUUAUGUGACAGAUAUAUGACUAUGAAAUGCUAUCAUAAAUUCAUGACGGAAAAUAUUUUGUCAUAAAUUAAUGACAGUGACAUAGAUGACGGAUGAACUGUCUGUCAUACACCCCAUUUUAUGACAGUUAUUUCCCGUCAUCUAUUGCAUGUUUUCUUGUAGUGUUUAUUUAUUAAAAAUAUAUUACAAAGAGAGAUGAGAAGAAGAAUUUGGGGGGAAAAAAGAGAAGAAAAGGUGUGAAGAGGUGUGUUUCUAGUCCCCUCUCUAUUUAUACUAUUAUAUCGUAAAUCUAUACCACACAAAUAAAUAAAUCUAAUUACAUCUUAGCCUUACAUUUGUCCCACUAAUAAAACAUAAACCUAACUUAAUCCACUCAAGCAUAUCCAACACAUUCCACUAACAAUUACCAUACCUAACAUGAUAAAAACUUAUAAUUUUAUAAUUACCAAAUUUACCGUGGUAAAAACUUAAAAAUUUACAACAAAAGUCUCGGAUCCUCCUCGACAAUGACAUAAUUUCUCGGACUUCCGAAAUUCAAAUUUGACAUCCGUACAUUUGUUUGGAGCCUCAAAUUGCAUAAAAUUAUUAUUUUUUCUAAUAAACACACAAAAUCAAAUAUUCAGAAAAAUAAUUAGAAAUUCACAACAUGUUACACAAUUACAAAUAUAAAUCACAUUAAUUGCACAAAAUAACAUUUUACCCCUUAAUAAACAUACAAUUUUUAACACUAAUCAGAAGCAAUGACAAAAAAAAAAGAAAUUGAGAAGUCCAAUGGAAAUAAUUUCCCGUUGCAGAAAAUGAAAAUAAAGGCUAUUUUAAGGAAAAAACAAUUAAUGACAGUGACAUAGAUGACGGAUGAACUGUCUGUCAUACACCCCAUUUUAUGACAGUUAUUUCCCGUCAUCUAUUGCAUGUUUUCUUGUAGUGUUUAUUUAUUAAAAAUAUAUUACAAAGAGAGAUGAGAAGAAGAAUUUGGGGGGAAAAAAGAGAAGAAAAGGUGUGAAGAGGUGUGUUUCUAGUCCCCUCUCUAUUUAUACUAUUAUAUCGUAAAUCUAUACCACACAAAUAAAUAAAUCUAAUUACAUCUUAGCCUUACAUUUGUCCCACUAAUAAAACAUAAACCUAACUUAAUCCACUCAAGCAUAUCCAACACAUUCCACUAACAAUUACCAUACCUAACAUGAUAAAAACUUAUAAUUUUAUAAUUACCAAAUUUACCGUGGUAAAAACUUAAAAAUUUACAACAAAAGUCUCGGAUCCUCCUCGACAAUGACAUAAUUUCUCGGACUUCCGAAAUUCAAAUUUGACAUCCGUACAUUUGUUUGGAGCCUCAAAUUGCAUAAAAUUAUUAUUUUUUCUAAUAAACACACAAAAUCAAAUAUUCAGAAAAAUAAUUAGAAAUUCACAACAUGUUACACAAUUACAAAUAUAAAUCACAUUAAUUGCACAAAAUAACAUUUUACCCCUUAAUAAACAUACAAUUUUUAACACUAAUCAGAAGCAAUGACAAAAAAAAAAGAAAUUGAGAAGUCCAAUGGAAAUAAUUUCCCGUUGCAGAAAAUGAAAAUAAAGGCUAUUUUAAGGAAAAAACAAUUACUUGGAAACAAUUGAAGAAAGGCGCACAGAGAAAAUUGAUGCUGCCAGGUGUAAUGAGAUGAAUGGUAUUGUAAUUGUCGAUCUACAUUUAGCACUAGCUGAUGAAGUGUUAUCUAGUGUGGAGGAGAGAAAGAGAGCAAAGAAAAAAUAUGGGAUACUCUUAUAAGACUGUACGAGGCCAAAUCACUACACAAUAAGAUUUUCUUGAAGAAAAGACUUUAUACUCUUCGAAUGGUGGAAACCACAUAAGUGACUGACCAUAUCAACAUUCUCAGAACUCUAUUUUCAUAACUUACAAUGUUGGGUUAUAAAAUAGAAGAAAAUAAACGUGCAGAGCUUUUACUUCAAAGUCUAUCAGACUUAUAUGAUCAACUUAUCAUCAAUCUGACAAACUACAACCAAGCAGAAAGUCUAGUCUUCGUCGAUGUCACAGCCUCUAUAUUAAAUGAAGAGAACAGGCAAAAAAAAAAAAAAGGAAGACAAGUGGGCGAGUUCGCAAGCGGAAGCGCUAUCGCUGACUAGAGUGAGAUCAUGUGAGCGUGGCCCUAACAGGAGUUACAAUUAUAGUAGAUCAAAAUCAAGAUGUAAGAUGAAUGUCAAAUGCUACAACUGUGGCAAGAAAUGGCAUGUCAAGAAAGAGUAUUGGAACACCAAAAGAGAAGAGAAUGUAAAGAUCUUGAGUCAUCAAAUGCCCAUGAUUGUGUAGCGAGUACCUCAAAUGAUGGUGACGUUUUACACAGUGAGUCAGCAAUGGUUUCAAAAGGCAAAAAAUGGAUAUAUGAAGUCUGGCUCAUAGAUUCAAGAGCUACCAAUGACCUCUUGGAGAGAAUGGUUCCGUAAAUAUUAACCUAUCUCAGGAGGAUCGGUAUAUAUGGGUAAUGAUCAUGCCUUAGAGAUUAUUAGUAUUAGUACUAUCAAAAUAAAAUGGUUUAAUGGCACAAUUUGUAAAAUUGAGGAGGCACGACAUGUCAAAGGUUUGAAGAAAAAUCUAUUAUCUUUGGGACAAAUAGAUAGUCUCGGCUGCAAAGUUCAUGCAAAAAAUAAGAUCAUGAAGAUUGCUAGACGCGUGCUUGUAUUGUUGAAGGCGGAAAAAAAUUGGUGCUAAUCUAUUCAUACUUAAGGAGGAAAUAAUAUAAGAAGCUGAUUCACGUGUCACGUCAAAUGGAGAAGAGUCAGCAAUGUUAUGGUAUCUCAAGCUUAGCCACAUGUCAGAACAAGAUUUGAAGAUUCUCUCCGAGCAAAAGUUGAUUCCAAGGCUUAAAACGGUGAACUUACUAUUUUGUACGCAUUGUGUUAUAAGUAAACAAUAUAGAUUGAGCCCCACCAUUUGUUUAUUAUUAUAUUAUGAAAUACUCAAUUCAAUCAUGAGAAAAAAAAAAAAAACAAGAGCCCUAAUAUGGAUAGGAAAAGAAACAAGGUUUAAUGUUGGAUGACUUCCUUAUGUGAGUGUAAGGAGAAUUAUUUUUUUUUCCAACAGUAAUUUUCUUUAAGGAUAAUAUAGGAAUAUAAUUUUUAUUAAAAUAUAUGGAAGUAAAAAGUAUUUUUAUGGUAUUAUCAAAUAACCUCUCGCUAAGAAAUCUACAAAAGAGAUGGAGGUUAUUCUCUAUAUAAUUAUUCUCCAAGAUAAGGAUGAUAACAAAUUAGAACUAGCUGAUUACUAAUUUGAAAACUUUAAGCAAGGAUGUGAAAUUAGUUGAUAAGUUUUGAGUUGUUGAAACUAUUGUGAAAUAAAUUUCCAUUGAUUAAUUAUUACGCUAUCAGAAUAAGGAAAACUACAUAUGACAAUACCGGCAUAAGCGGUAAGCCUAGAUCAAAAUUCAAUAAUUGAUUAACUUGCAUCACAUUGUUGAUUACACAAUGUAAAUUUAUAAUUUUAAAGUUUAGUCGGCUUAGGCUUAUCAACAUGAUCUUCAGCUAUCAUCACUGUUUGUUAAUUAUUUUGUUAAAUAAUGGGAAGUUACAAAAUUUGUAAUUCACUUCUAUAGGAUAAUUUCCUUUCCCCUAAAUGUAAUUGUUUUAAUGGAUACUUUGGUAAUUCAAAUUUUUAUAAAAUAAUGGGCAUCAAGAGUAUUUUGAUGUAUUCAAAUACCCCCUUGCUUGAUUGUUCAAAAUUUUACUUAUGCGUUCUCUAUCUAUACUUGAUAAACGCUUUCAUAAUUUGUAGAAAUUUUUUCACUAGUUAAAUUCCUUUUAAAGUUUUUAUUAUCCUUUACGAUGUUAAAAUUUUAAUGACACAUUUUUAAAAUUAAACGAGACAUCUACAUACAAAUGUACUAAUUAUAAUUUAGACACCUGUCAAAAUUUUUGCCACAUUUAUUUUUCAAUUUCAAAUAACAUCUUAAAACAAGAGAAAAUUAGAUAAAACAAACGUUUAUGAGAGAUCCACAGGGCUAAAAAAAAGGGAUGGGACUAUUUGAUCCAUAUUUUUUCUUUUAACACUCAUUUUCUUAAGAAACCAUUAUUAAACUUUAAAAAUCCGGUUUUUACUGUACACAACCUCUAUAUUUCAAAAAAAUGACUUCAAUUAAGGAUUUACAGUUCUUUUAUUUUUUUUUCCUUCCUGCAAAUUGUUUCUACAUCGCAACCACUCCUCAUCACUUUUACUAUUGUUCACACUUUUUUUUUUUCAUCUCAACAAUAUAAUUAAGUUGUUCUCUUUUCAACAUACACGAGACCACGGAUAUUAAUAAGAAGAAUGAGACUUAAAUUUUAAUAAACAUGAUACAAACUAGAAUAUUUAAGAUUACUAUAAUGAUACUAUUCUAGUGUAAAAGAAUCUCUUUUCAGCUUCUAUGUGCUGCUAUAACGCUGCCUUAGUACUUAAAAAUUUUUGGGUAGCAAACUCACUUGCAUCUGUUUUUAUUUGAUUUGUGUGAGGUUAUUGGAAAGAAAAUUUGAUAUCUGAAGCACCAAUUUCUAUUAUAUUGACACUUGUUGGGUUCGUAUCAUGUGCAUUCGUUUUGUUUAUUAUUAUAUUGUGAAAUACUCAUUUCAAUCAUGGAAAAAAAAUAAAGGUUUUAAAUCAAAAGCCCUAAUAUGGAUAAAAAAGCGAAUUAGGGUUUAGUGUUGGAUGACUUCCUUAAGCGAGUGUAAGGGAAUUAUUAUUUUAUUUUUUUGUCAACAGUAAUUUCCUUUAAGGAUAAUUUAGGAAUAUAAUUUUUAUUAAAAUAAUGGAUAUAAAAGUAUUUUUAUGGUAUUAUCAAAUAACCUCUCGCCAAAAAAAAAAACUACAAAAAACAUAGAGGUCAUUCUCUAUAUAAUUAUUCUCCAAGAAAGAAACUCUAAAAUAAGGAUAAUAACAAAUUACAGCCAAUUGAUUACUAAUUUGAAAACUUUAAGCAAGGAUGUGGAAUUAGUUGAUAAGUUUUGAUAAGUUGUUGAAACGAUUGUCAAAGAAAUUUCCAUUGAUUAAUGAUUACAUUAUCAGAGUAAGAUGAUUAAGAAUCAGAAUUAGGCAACCACAUUUGACAAUACCGACAUAAGCCAAAAUCAAAAUUCAAUAAUUGAUUAAUUUGUAUCACAUUAUUGAUUGCACAAUGUAAAUUUAUAAUUUCAACCUUUGAAAUAGUCAUGCUGUUUAGUAGGCUUAGGCUUAUCAACAUGAUCUUCAGCCAUAAUCAUUAUUAAUUUGUUAAUUAUUUUGCUAAUAAUGCGAAGUUAUCUGAAUGCGGAGCUAAAAACCUCUCAUCAAUAUGGUCCCGUCUUCUGAACAUUUUUUUGUUAAUAAUUAUGUAGAAGAUCUAUUAAUUAAUGGAUUGAAACAAUAAUAACUUUAAUUUAAAAUUAAAAACUUUAAUUUUAAACUAUUAUUGCCCAAAAUUAAAGGAAUAUAUUUAUUGAGUCAAAGAUUAUAUAUCUUCAAUUUUCUUUUAAUUUACAAAUUAUUGUAGGCAUUGAAAAAUGUUUCAGAAAAAUGCCAAUUUUCCAAAUUAAAAUAAUGAUAUUUUGAAAGAAAAGACUCUAUUUUUGCUGACCUAGGAUUUCCAUGUAUCCAACCCAAAAGACUAGCCUAUUGGGUGGAGUCACCUACUCCAACUUAUAAACUCAAGUGUCUCCUCUUUACUGGCAAAUAUGGGACACAACUCAAGAAUCUCCCCGCCCCGUCCCCAGACAAAACCACCUUUCGACCCCAAUCCUUUCGUUCGACACACCUGAGUUGUUCUAUCACUACAUUCAAGCUACUAGGGUCUAACUUUAAUACCAAUUGUUGGGGGCUUGGUCUAGGAUUUCUAGGGUAUCCAAUCCAAGAGACUAGUCUAUUGGAUGGAGUGACCUAAUCCUACUUAUAAACUCAAGUAUCGUCAUUUUACUAUCCAAUAUAGGACACAACUUAAUAGAUUUAUUUUUCCACAUUAAAGAUAAUUCUACGAUAAAGUCUGUGCAAACAAAUACUCAAAGUGGUACUAAUAAUAAAUGACGAUACUCAUUAAAAUUUCUUUUCUUUCAGAUUACAAAAAGUUACAUAUUAGAUCUAAAUCAAAAUCAAUUUCAAGAAGAAACAAGCAACACCGAGAAUGUACUUUUUGAAAACUACAUAGACAUUUUAUAUGAAUUUAGAUCCUCAGACAAUUAUUUAUUCAUCUAGUAUAUGGGUCGUUAUUGGCAAAUAUGAAUUUUUUAUAAAAAAUAAGCAUGUUGAUUCUAAGCCAAGACACAAAAAUUGUUAUUUAAUUGAGAUUACUAAUUUAUUAAGGCUCUAAUCUAUAUGUUUCAUCCGACCGAUUGGGCUAUCCCUCAGAGAUAUCUAGACUGUUUUGGUUAAUUUUAAAAUUUAAUGAAAAUAAAUUUAACCAAUUAUUUUUCUUAAAUAUAAAAUAAUGUGAAAAUUAUCAAUCAAGUCCCUCAAAAUUUUCAAGGUUACUUUGUCUUUUAGAGAUUGGAUAGAGAUAUGUCCACCUUAAUAUUUGCACAAUGCCAAUGUUAAACUCAGAAUAACAGUUCCUGAAAGAACAAUCAUUAUUCAAUAUAUAUAUAUUCUGGAGUUUAGAGUCUUAAAACACUUAAUUACUUGUACUGAUAGCUGAACGUUAAGAAUACACUACCAAGACAGAAAUGAGGUUACUGCUGAUACUACAGUAUCACUAUAGCACACAAAACGAUAGCAUUGUUCAUGCUAACUGCAAGAAUUAGAUAACUAAUCCGUGGAGUUUAUUUUAGGUAAAUAUUCAAGAAGAAAGAGCAUAAUUAAGCUGACAUGGUAAACUAACUUAUUCAAUGUUAACACUUUGACACACACUAAUUUUUAUUUAUUUACUUAUUUCCUUUUCAGGAAAAUAUGGUACACGUAGAUAUCAAAGAAAAUCUCUUAUAUAUCUCAAGAGAUCUUCUCACCCUUACAAAUUUUGAAAGUAAUAAUAUACCCAUCUUGUUAUUUAAUUAGAUAUAAUGCAAAAGAGUUACACUGCAUUUACCAAUGUGGUUGGGAUUUCUAAUAUAUUUAUGGACAACAAGAAGAUCAAGAUUGUCAUUCGCAAUGUCAUCAUCAAUUGUUUUUGAGUAAACAAAUAAAUAAUAUAACAAGCCCCUUCGACCAAUCAUUAUUACUUGAAAAAUCAUAUUAGAAAAUUUAAUCAUAUGUAAAUGUAUCAAAAUAAGAGUUACAAAUGAUUUUCAACAGAAAUUGAUUGCCUAAAACCUGCGAAGAUAGUUUCCAUAUUCUUUCAGUUAGAUAUAUCUCUGCCUCUGGAAUCAAAACUCAAAAAGUAAUCAUGUUGCUUUGGCGAGAUUUUGAUAGUUUUUGGUUUGGUAUAAUACAUCAAUAUAUUGUGUGCAGAACUGGCAAAAUUUGACACGAUCUAAUUACCCAACUCUAAUAUGAUACGAAUAAAUAUAUACAGUCGUUAAAUUUGACACGAUUAUUAACGAUUUUUUCCUGUGUUAAGUUAAAGUUAAAGUUCUUGACCCAUUAACCUUAUUAAAGACACAAUUAUAUUUUUUAUUUUAAAUUAAUUUGUUUGUUCUUGUAAUCAAAACUUAAAUAUUGAAGAUGAUUCUCUCCUUUUAUAUUUUUUUUGGAAGGAUAAAAAUAUACAGUGUUUCAUUUAUAAUAUUAUAUAUAUAUAUAUAUAUUUAGAACUUCAAUAGUAUAAAUGUAUAAAAUAUUGUGGUAGGGCUUGGGGCAAAACUAGGGCCAAUUUUUAUUAAUUGAAUUAAAAGAAAAAAUAAUCCUGACCUACAAUUUGAGAGGUAGGUCAAUCUCUUCUAAACUCGUAAUUACUCUUAAUACUUGUCAAAACUCAGUAUAAACCCUAAAUGACUCCUUAAUCUCUUAUUUAUACCGGAUCCUUAAUUAGAGAAUAAGUAAAAUUACUAAACUCUAAUUGCCCUUUUAUAUUUGCGUGUAACAUUAGCUUUCAUCAGGUUUAACAUUACUCCCCUCCCAAAAGACACUUUGUGCUUAAGGUGGAAUCUAGGAAACUAUUGUUGUAUCAACUCAUAUGGCUCAUACGUCGCCUCCUAGUCUAGCAAGUCCUUCCAUGUAAUCAACACUUUUUUAUUAGCUGGUUGUCCUAUCGUCCCUUAGCAUACUCCCUUGAGAGCAGUCAGUUCUAGCACUGUCUUCAUGUCCUUAGUCAAGGUCGGUGAAAGCAAAGAAAAGGGUAUAUGUUCUCUAAAAGCUUGUCUCAACUGAGACACAUGAAACACCGAGUGAAUGACUGAUGUUGGUGGCAAUUUCAAUCAGUAAGCCACCUCUCUAAUCCUUUACACAAUCUCAUAGAGCCUAAAAUAUCGAGGGGAGAGCUUCUCAAUCCUCCAUCGCACCAGAGACUUUUGUCAAUAUGGCCGUAACUUAAGAUAAACCCAUUCCCUACCUCAAACUAUAUGUCCCUCCUAUGACCAUCAGCUUGCUUUCUUAUUAUCUGCUGUACCUUAGACAGAUGCCUUUCAACUCUUCGAGUAUGCAAUCUUGUUCCUCUAAAUACUGAUCUACAUGUGAUGCAGGCGUCGAACUCUAUCCAUAGUACACCAAAUACUGAUCCACCUGUGAUAAGAAGUAUUGUACCAACACUCUGCCAAUGCUAAUCACCUCGCCCACUGCAUUGGCAUGUCCGACAUAAAAACACCGCAGAUAAGUCUCUACACUCCGGUUUACUACCUCAGUCUAUCCGUCAGUUGAUGGGUGGUAAGUAGUGCUCCUCUUUAAAACUAUACCUUGCAUCCUAAAUAACUCCCUCCAAAAGUGGCUUAGAAAAACCUUACCAAGUCCAUUACUAUCGACUCUAGAAUUCUAUACAAAUGUACCAUCUCUUGCAUAAAAGCUAGUGCAAUGGUCACAGCAGUAUAAGGGUGUCAUCGGGGUAUGAAAUUAGUAUACUUGCUUAGUUGAUCAACCACGCCCAAGAUCACCAUGUACCCGUCUGAUGUGGCAAUCGCUUAAUAAAAUCCAUUGUCACCUCCUCCCAAACCUUAUCGAGUAGUGAUAAUGGCUAUAAUAACCCUCCUAGUGCCAUUGCUAUGUAUUUAUGGCGUGAUGACAUACAUCACACCUCGCUACCAUCUCCUCGACAUCCUUCUUCAUCCUCGCCCAAUAUAGCUCUAUUACCAAACACCGAUGAAUUUUUAGAACAUCAGAAUUUCCCCUAAUAGCACGCCCAUAAAACUCGUGCAACAACAUCAUUAUAUUGGGUGAUGUCCUCGGCAGUACAAGACUUCUUUGAUAUAACAGUCGUUGUCCAUUCAUAGAAUAGCCUAGAUAUCCUAUCUCCCUAUAUAAUAAUAUAGCCUAGAUCUUCACAAACUCCUUAUAUGCCUCAAUCUUUUGUGAUAAUGUGUCUUAAUUUAUCACCAAAGGCACCGAUAAAGCUACCAACAGAGGUUCCUCAUCCCGUCGCAAUAAGACAUCUACCGCAUUAUUCUUUAACCUGGCCGAUACUAUAUCUCAAAAUUAUAGCCUAGUAACUUCGACAAUCAGUAUUAGUGUUCCUUAGUCACCAUCCAUUUUUUCAAUGGGAACUUAAGAAUCCGUUGAUCCGUUCAAAUGAUGAAAUGUAGCCCCAAGAGGUAUGGCCUCAAUUUCUAAGUUGCUAACACAAUCGCCAUGAGUUUGCACUCAUAAAUAGACUUGAGUCACAACCUAGCUGUUAAGAUUUGGUUGAAGUAGGCAAUCAGAAGCUGAUUUUGAGUGAGAACUACUCAUAAUGCAUACCCCAAGGCGUUUGUCUCUUUAAUAAAUGAUUGGCUAAAAUCUGGUAAUGUUAGCAUUGAAACACUAGUCAUGGCCCUUUUCAAUUUCUUGCAAGUUUGCGUCGUUAUGUCCCCAUAUAGAAAACUAUCCUCCUUCAACUACUCUGUUAAAAGUCGUGCUAUGGUGCUAUAACCCUUUACAAAAUUCUGGCAGUAUUCAGUGAAGCCUCAAAAAAACCCUAAACUCUUUCUUUAUUUUAGGUAGAAGCCACUGCAGCACCGUCAUUAUCUUAGACUGAUCUGCUGAAAUCCUCUUAGCCGACACCACAUGCCUUAAAUACUCUGUUAACAUACAUAUUUUCAUAACAUUGAUUUUAAUGAUAACAAACAAGGUUAAAAUGUUGGAGAUAGUAAAAUUGGUUAAGUUCUUAAAGCCGUAUAAUGUUUUUUUGGGCAAGUUUAAGAAUCUGAACAAAAACGGAUAACCGUUAAUCUUGAAACGGAAAAUCGAUAUUAUAAGGAAAAACAUGUAGUUCCAGUUCUGAAAGAUAACAAUUAACCAUUUAUUAGAAAAUGAUUAAUCGACAAUUCACCACCUUCUUAGGUUGCAUAACUAGUAUUUCAUACUCCACUAUUGUCUACACAAACAAGCACUUUUUCCGAUUAGCAUACUACUGAUGAUUCUGUAACUCUAUCAACAUUAACUCCACGUGACCCACAUGAUCCUCUAAAGUGCAGCUAUAGAACAAAAUGUCAUAAAAGAAAAUAAGGGCAUUUGUCAAGCCAAACGACAUGACCAUAAAUUUAUAAUGUCCCUCGUGAGUCCAAAAUGCAAUCUUAUGCGCAUCCUAUAGUCGCAUCUGAAUAUGGUGAUUUCCCAACUUCAAAUAUAACUUUGUUAACACCGUCGCCACGUGCAACUCAUCUAACAACUCAUCGAUCACUGGAAUAGGAAACUCACAAGCACCGUUUCCUUGUUCAGGGCUUGGUAGUCAAUAAAAGAUCUUCAACUCCCAUCUUUUUUCUUCAAUAACAAGAUCAAACUCGAAAACAGACUCACGCUCGAUUGUAUUAUCCCAACCUUCAACAGUUCCAUAACUAUCCUCGCAAUCUCAUCCUUUUGUAUCUAGGGAUACUGAUAUGGCCGAACACUAAUAGGGGAGGCCCCUUACUUCAACAUUAUUGCAUGCUCAUGUUCCCAUUGUGGAGGUACACUUUUGGCCAUCUGGAAAACCUCCUUAAAUUGCUCCAACAGCUGUUGAAAUUGGUCCCGUAAUCACUGUUGAUGUCUUUAUUCGUGCCCUUUUCCAGGCUAUGCAACUCCGCCAAGAAUCCCUGCCCGCAUCUUAAAUCGUCUUUACCAUGGUUUUAAGUGAAAAAGGUUUUGCAUAAACUCGAAUUACCCCAUAGCAUUACCCCUCAACCGCCCACCCGAAACUCCAUUGUUUAUAAUUUCCGAAUAGCUUACAAUACUCCUCUUAGCAUGUUCCCAUACAAAAUUGUUUAUGGGAAAGCUUGUCAUUUACCCUUAGAGCUGGAGUACAAGGCAUAUUGGGUAAUAAAACAACUGAACAUGGAGAUGACUGCUGUAGCAGAACAGAGGAAGCUACAGCUCUGUGAGCUAGAAGAGUUGAGGUUAUUCUCCUAUGAAAAUGCAAUAAUCUAAAGGAAAGGACCAAGCAAUGGCAUGGAAAACAAAUCCAGUAAAGGGAGCUCAUUCCAGGCCAACAUGUUCUGUUAUAAUAUUCACGACUAAAGCUUUUCCCUAGAAAAUUAAAGUCUAGGUGGUUAAGUCCUUUUAAACUUAUCAAAGUUUAUCCUCAUAAGGCCGUAGAGCUUCAAGAUGAAAUGACAGACUAAAAAUUCAAGGUGAAUGGACAAAGAGUAAAGCAUUACAUUGGAGCUUCUGUGAACAAUACUAUGGAGGAUUUGUUCCUCAAGCAUCCAUCUUGAGAAAUCAUGGAUGGUCAGGCUAAAGGACAUAAAAUCAAGCGCUGAUUGGGAGGCAACCCCAUAAGGAAAGUUGUUUAAAAUUUUUAAAGAAUUAAAUUUAGUCUUAAUUAUUUAAUUUUUCUUUCUAUUAUUUUUAAUUGUGCAUCUAAUUUCCUUUUAUUCCAUUGUAUUAAUUUUUAGCAAGUAGAAGUAAAAAAAAAAUGUUUGGGCAAAUAGGCUGACAAGAAUUACUGCAACAUCACGUAUAGCAUGGCAGUUAGAAGGCAAUUCUCAACCAACGAGGGAAUUUUUCACAAUUGCUGGGGCAACGGUUUUUUACCGUUGCACUUACAACUUUGGAUUUUUACUUUUGAAGGGACGGACACGCUUAUGUCAACUUAUCAGACUUGGUGAUAAGGAUAAUUCAGAAAUCGCUGAUUUGCCGUGACACAUAUACUUUCUUUUCCUUUUAAAGUGUUUUGAAAAUUCAAAAAUAUAUUUCCAAGAUUACCAUAUUAAUUACCUUCCUCUUUUUACUUUCCCUUUUGGCUAUAAAUUAGGGAUUUACUUUAACUUUUUUCAAUUUCACUACAACUCUUUCUUUCCCUAUCUGUAACUCUCAACAAUCUUUACAAUUCCUUUUCAUGUUGUACUUUUCUUUUUAGCGAAAUAAAGCUUUGGUCAAACUACUACAGCAAUGCCGAAAAUUAAAACACGUGCUGUUAGAUUGAAGGACCCUGCACGCUUUUAUAGUUACAAAGCUGAGGAAAAUUUUGACGACAUUAUCGAGCCUCGUUAGAUAUUGGAAUGAUGAACAACACAUAUAAUGUUGUAGCACGAAGAGGAUGGAUGAAAUUUUGUGCUUACCCCCAAGACCCUGUUGUUCCUGUCGUUAAGGAAUUUUAUGCCAACAUGUUACGGUAGGAACAACGUAACAUCAUUAUGAGGAAUUUGUGCAACCUCUGGGGUGAAAUUUGAGGCCAAGGAUCAAAGAGUGAAAAAUGAGGGCGACAUCACAACCAAGACCGUUAAAAAAGAUUGCUGUGGAAUUUACUACUACAACAACCCUAGAACACCAUAUUGCAGCUAAAGCAGAGCAAGCCACAUGGAUUGAGGAUAUGCUGCAGGAGCUCAGUGACAACAAAAAUGCAUGUGUCCAAGCACAAAAAGAAGAAAAUCGGAGGUUUUGGACAUAUUUAUGCAUCUGGAAGCUCAUAAGCAUCAAUUUGCCAAAUAUAUGAAGAAUAAGCAUGCAGAUUUUCCAGUUUCUGCUCUAGCAGCAGAAAGUGAAGAAAUAAAGAGUGAAGGAGAGUUUGAAUAAGAGCGGUGUUAUUUUAACUCAUUUGCUAUUGGUGUCAAUACGCAAGUGUACACACCAAGUAAUAUAAUGAUGAGUAUCCAAGAUCGUCUCCGCAGAGAUUGAUGCUAUCAGACUUGCUACAACAAUUUCACAAUGCAAUAUAUAUUCGAAUGUAAAACAAGGCAACUAAUGAACUAAAAGACUAAGUAAAAAAAAUAAAAACACAAUAAUAAAAAAAUGCAUUGAAUAAAAUUUGCAUGUUAAACAUGAAGGUAAAAUCAAUAGGAAUAUAGUAGUUGAGUGAUUAAACUCUCUUGAUGAUGUUGACUGUUUUAUUCAUGCUAAGUUCAGUUGCUACAGCAUCUGCUACAACACUGGGCAAAAACCAUCUUUAUCCUCAGCACUAGGAUGUUGGAUGUCUUUUAUCUUUAUUCAACCUAAUAAUGACCAGUUGCUAUGUCAACAUAAGAUAUAACAUUACAUGUUUAUGUUCUCUUUACCCUACAAGGUGAAUCCCUAUAACUAGUGCAUCACUAAUCUUAGAUUAAGCGUGACCCUUUUUGGACUCAAGUUAAACUCAAUCCACGAAACUCAAUCUAAGACCAAGUAUUACUCUAAUAUAUUCCACUAAGAUAGGCCAUUUUGCGGCUCUUUCUUAACUUGUAUCAUUAAAUGGAUGGUUAAUCGAAAUAAUGAAUGUAAAUAAUUGUUUUUAAAACAACAUGCUAUAGCAAACAUGCAACAACACCUAUAUUCAGUAAAUUAACCAUCUAGAUAGUUUAAUACUCAACCACAAAUAAAUUUAGUUCUUAAUUUCUGAAAGGAAAUUAAACAACCAAGUUCCAGCUAUCGAAUACAUCUUCAUGAUCAAUGAAUAACAAGUAAACAAGAAAAAGAAUGAGAAAGAGCGAAUUCCAAUUGAUUCUGCAAAUUUCGUCUACUAGUGCGGCCUUGAAUUCUGCUCGGGAAUUCUAUUUCUUCGUUGUUUCUUUUCUGUUUAGACUGUAAUAUUGUAAAUAUCUCGCCCAGAUUUUUCUCUGUCAAUGCUCUAGGAUUGUUACAGCAAUGGUUGCUACAACAAUGGCUGCAACAUCUUUUCUGUUUCUGACUUGCUCCAAUUCUUCUAUAGCCAUGCUUGUUUGUCCUCUUUAUAAGUCCAUUGCAAUAGCAUCUUUCCCAUAAAAUUCAAGUUUCCAUUUACCUACAGUUAAACAUAUGUUUUAGGCAUACAAUUAUUCAAAAAUCACACAAACUUUAUUAAACUUAAACUAAAAUGAAUGUAAUGCAAACUAUCAUUAAAAUGCACUAAAACACAUCAAUUACUCUCUAAGUAGUCUUAAUUUAAGCCUAAAAAUACCAUGAUAACUCUAAUUUCAUAGAGUGAUCACACCCCCAAACUUAAACCAUUACUUGUCCUCAAGUAAUGAAAACAACACUAACACUACAAUCACACAAUCAUGCAAUAAGUAACCUAGCCCUAUCAUCAAAUUUGCAAGGAUUCUUCAACCCUCAGAUCACAUUCUUAAUCAUGCAAAAUUUUCCAUACCAGUUCAAGUUCUAGACCUAGGCCUCAUUUUGUCUAGAGUGUGUGUGCGCCACUUUGAUCAAAUUCUGAAGGUGCUAUAGCAUUAAACAGACAUUGCAUAAAAUUCAGAGGUAGAAAACAAAUAUAUUUACAUCUAGGGGGACAAAAGUUACAAUUCAACUCAAACUAUACUAUAUAUUUACAUCUGUCAAGAAACUCUCUUCAAUAUAUCAUUGAUUACAGAAUUUUGUCAAAGCAUGGAAAACCUUUUGGAUAUUAAGUAAUAAUUACGCUUCUAAGAGUAAAUGAUGAAAACGACACAAGGGUAGUCCAGCCCAUAAUACGAAUAAGAAAAUUGAAGGAUGUACUUUCAGUUGUUUGAUGAGAACCUUUCAUUAUGUUGCACAAGAAUAAUAUAAUAAAUCUCAAUUGAUAAUCACUUUUUCUCGUAAGGGAGAAUGAAGGAACAAAAGGGGAAGAAAUGCUUUGAUGUUAUGGUUCAAUUUCUGGACUCGACUAGCUUACAGAAUCUGUAAGGUACAGACUGCAGCAUCAGCCUCAAUUUCUUGGUGGCGGUAGGUGGAUAGAACAAUAUGAUUACGACGUUGUUUGGGUUCCCAAAUCCUUACGAGAUCGAUCCUACCGAUCUGGUCUUCAAUAUAUUUUUCAUAUGAAUGUCAAUCACUUGUAAUAAUGAUACCCAAUUACUUUACCAGUGCACAAAUUAGAGUUGUUGCAGCAAUGUUUACAAAAUAGUCAUAUCUAUAGACAUCUUUUAGAUCAAGGCUAAACAUGGGGCUCAUGAAUAGACCUGGCUAUUUCAAUACCUUAGACAAAGGACUUUCUCCAGAGGGAUUUUUUAUUUUUAUUUUUUGAUGCUAUAGCAAUGCUCAUAGCUCUUAUUUCUUUUGGACUCAAGUCUGUAUAUGGAGUACAUACUUAGCCCUAGUUACUCAAAAACUUUAAGCCAUUGGAGCAACUAUUAUUUAACAACAAGCACAUAUUAAAAAUAUUUUCCCCCCAAACUUGAGAUUUUUCUACCCUUUUUUGUGUUCUCUUUUUUUGCUACUGCAUUCUAAUAGGACUUACUCAAAGCUUAUGUGUAAUGACAAAAUUUAGCCUUUGUCCAUGAACUGUUCUAGUUGGUACUUUAAAAUUAACAUUCAAGUUAUCCUCAUUGGUUUUUUAUUAGAUCCACUCACAAUUAGAUAACAAAGUUGCAUACCACACUAAACACACAAUGCAAACAUACACUCUAAACACAAUAAUAUAAGUUAGCACAACUCCCCCCAAACUUAAGAGGUGUUGUGUCCUCACAUGAACGCCAAAAAUAAUCAAACUACACAUUCAGAUGGUGGUAAAAAGCAUUAAAACUAAAAGAAAAGUUUUGGAAAGGAAAGAAAGUAAAUUGAGCUAGUAAGGGGGACUCCCUUGGUGUGGCUUAUUUUGCUGCAGCACAGAUUCACGUCUUUUUUCAUAGCGUUCCUCAAACGGUCUUUAGGGAAAGCUUGGGGUGUGGCUGCAGACUUCUAUUUCUUCGGGCGGGGUGUUGGACUGGUUGAGGAGUACCAGCAGUGGUGGGAGGUGUAGGCUGAGUGGUUCUUGUGCGUUUUUGCUUUGGUUCUUUUGGUGUUGUACCACCUCCAGAGGUGGCCCCUCUGCGUUUGCUGGUUAUAUUGGUGGUGGUUGAAGAAGAUUUAGCUAGAGGUUGGAGAGAUGUAGCUGAGGCAGAUUUUACUGCAGUAACAUCCUCAGUAGUUAUUUCAGCAAUGAUGUCCAAAAGGCACUUCUUUGCUACAGGUGCCUGAGUAACCCUUUCAGCAGUUGCUCUAAAUCUGCAUCGAUAUCUAUUGAAACAUCCUCAGAGUCAUCUUCACUUUCAACUUUUUCUUUGGCCUUAUGAGAUUGGACUGGGACUGGUGCUUCCUCCUCGACCUCACAUCAUCAUCAUGUCCAAUGGUGUGUUUUCCUCUUUUCCUGGGGGGUAGGAUCUUUGAUGGCUCAACCUUUCAUCCCCGAAUCCCCCUCUUCCUCCUUUUUUGUGGAGCUGUGGGCUUCUAACUCAGGACACUCUGCUUCUGUUAGCGUUGGCUGGUCUUUCUGUUCUGGCUCAGCUUCACUAUGUGGUUCUGUUGCAGCUUCCUCGCUCUUUGCUGCUAGCUCUCCAAAGUUGAAUUACCGCAACAGAGAGUCUGAAAAAUCCAGGUGUUGGUUUUUUAUGAACACAGCAAACUGAUGCAGAUGGUUCUCUAAAUGUAUUAAGUAUGCCCAGAAUAUGUUAUUCUCUCUUUGUUGUGCAGCAACACACUAGGUAAUGCUGUCACUCAGUUCUUGCAGUCUUCUCUCUACCCCAAUAGCUCUUCAUGUACUUGUUACAACAACUAGUUAUGGUUAUGCUGCAGCAGUGUCUCCAGCAAUUCUCUCAACUGUUCGAGCAUUCACAGCUCCUGCAUUCUUAAUUUGCUCAUCUCGAACAGCGGAUUGUACCCUAGAUACUAGACAUAGGCUAGUAAUAAGAGAUGGAAACAAGAGGGCUGUUGUUUUAUGUUGUUUCAUGGCACAUUCUCUAAUUUACCUUUCAAUAAUGGCUCUCACAUCAAUUGGUAACCUCCAAACAAUGACAUAUAAAAGCACCAAUCAUUCUUGUGAUACAGUGGUAGUGUGUGUAGUGGGCAUCAAUCUAGAUUUUAAAAAUUUGAUCCACACUUUAGCAAUAGGUUUAAGGUCGAUUCUAUUGAUCACUCAACCUUCCUCAUUAGCCCAUGAUGUCCCUUCUACAGUAAGGGUUUUUAAUACUUGAUUCAAUGUUUUAUUAGUCAUGUUUGCAAUAAGCUUAGAAUAUUCACAGUCCACGUUAGAGGGCAAGUUGUAAAAAGUGUUAACAACUCGUGGGUCUAAAGGGACGAGGGGGUUUCUUACCCAAAUUAUUUUUUGAUUCUGUCCCAGCAGGUUGGCAUAGAAUUCCUUUACUAUUGCUAGCACAGGGUCACUUAGAUGUUGGCAAAAGUCCAACCAUCCCCGUUUUGCUACAGUAACCUGAAUAGUCUGAACGAUUACCGAGGGCUGUGGUGGAAAUUGGAAGCCUUUUUCUUCUAAGAUUUUCCUAGGCUCGAUAAAUUCUUUAAAAUUUUCUUCUGCCUUAUAGGCCUGGAAGCGGGAGGGGUCUUUAAGACGUUGUGCUCUGAUCUUGAUCUUGUAUUUAAGCAUUGUUAGAGCAAGUUGAAGAUACUUGCAAAAUAAUGAAGGUGCAGUUGCUAUAGGGAGUCGUAAGAAUGUCAAAUUGGUUCCUAGAAAAGAAAGAUAAAAUAGAAUUAGGGUGUCUCUUUCUGCACAGUAAAACCCAUAUUUAUACAUGUUGUAAAAAAAUUAAAUUAGGAUGGAAAUCAAUUCUAAUAAGAUAAACUUGGAAAUAAGAAUUUUAAAUUUAAAACAAUUCUAAUAUGGAAUGGAGAGGGAUUGUGAUGCGGUAAUUUAGGGAUUGUAAUCCUUUCAAAUCGUGAUCCAUAUUAACCACGGCAGCUAUCAACAUUUUGUAGCCUCAAUGGUAGAAAGAAAUUUCCCUCAGUGUGUCUUUGAAACGGUAGUCUUUAUGCUGCAGUAAUCAAUAUGCGCGCUGUAAUAGGUUGUUGUAAAGCUGCAUCUGUCUGGCCUGUUAAGCGCUAUGCUGUAGCAAUAAGCAUUGGAGUCCAUAUCCUUUUUCCACUAUGCUCUCUCUUUUUUGUUUUUUUUUCAAAAGGUAGGCAUGAAAGGAAAUUGGUUAAUAGAAUACAGAAAUUGAUGAAAAUUAUAAAGAAAAAGAAAAAUCAAGAUAACUUCCCUAAUUGUUGGGUUGCCUCCCAAUCAGCGCUUGAUUUUCGGGCCUUCAGUCUAACCUUUCUUAAUUUCUCACAAUAUUGGAUUUUUGAGGAGCAAGUCUUCCUUUGAGUGGUCCACAGCAGCAUCCAUGUAAUGUUUUACUCGGUGCCCAUUAACCUUAAAUUCCUAACCUAUUUUUUCAUCUAAAAGGUCCGCAGUCCCAUAAUGAUAGCUUCUGAUUAGCUUGAAAGGUCCUGACCACCUAGAUUUCAGUUUUCCCGGAAAUAACUUUAAUCUUGAGUUAAAGAGCAAAACUAGUUGGCUAGGAAUUAAACUUCUUUACUGGAUGUGCUGGUCAUUCCAUUUUUUUUGUUUUCUCCUUAAAAAUCCUUGCAUUCUCAUAGGAGAACAACCUUAGCUCUUCAAGCUCACAAUGUUGAAGUUUUCAAUGUUCUGCUGCAGCUUGUAAGUUCAUGUUUAGUUACUUUAAUGCCGAAUAUACUUUAUGUUAUGGCUCAAGAGAUAGGCGACAAGCUUUUCCAUAGAUGAUUAUAUAUGGAGACAUGCCAAGUGGUGUCUUAUAUGUUGUUCUGUAAGCCUAUAAAGAGUCAUGAAAACAUAGGGACUAGUCCGUUCUAAUGGGGUUCACCACUUUCUCUAAAAUCUUUUUAAUUUGUUUGUUAGGCACUUCGACUUGACUAUUGGAUUGUGGGUGAUAUGCUAUAGCAAUCUUAUGCUUAACUUCAUACUUAGCCAACGCUGCAGCAAAGAGCUUAUUGUAAAAGUGAAUACCUUCAUCACUAAUGAUUGCUCUUGGAGUUUUAAAUCUUGAGAAGAUAUUUUUCUGAAAAAAGUUCACCACUGCUUUGGCAUCAUUUAUUGGCAAUGCGGCAACCUCUACCCAUUUAGACACAUAGUCUACAGCAACUAGAAUAUAUAAGUUCCCAAAAGAUUGUGGGAAUGGGCCCAUGAAGUCUAUCCCCCAUGCAUCAAAGAUCUCUACCUCCAAAAUGUUUGUUAAUGGCAUUUUAUGUCUUUGAGAUAUGUUUCUUGUUCUUUGGCACCUGUCACAACAUUCAGUAAACUCAUAAGCAUCUUUAAAAAUAAAAGGCAAGUAAUAACCUGAUUGUAGAACUUUGGCAGUUGUUUUGUGGCCUCCUAAAUGUCUUCCACAUGCUGCAGCAUGGCAUGACUGUAGGAUGUGUGGAAUUUCUUCAUCAGGUACACAUCUUCGGAUCAUAUGGUCUGAGCAUAGCUUGUAUAAAUAUGGAUCAUCCUACUGGUAGCUUCUAACAUCAUGAAAAAAUUUCUUCUUCUGCUGAUAAUUCAAAUCAGGUGGUAACAACCCACUCACCAAGUAACUAGCAAAAUCUACCUACCAUGGCAAUCCAGCUUGCUGCAGCAUCUACGCACGCUGUAGCAUUAACAGUUGCUCAUUAGGGAAUGUUUCAGUGAUGUCUUGUUUAGUCAAUGUGCUGGCAUCUGCUUCUAGCCUUGAGAGAUGAUCUGCUACUUGAUUUCCAGUCCAUUUUCUAUCAUUGAUCUCCAAAUCAAACUCUUGUAACAAUAGGAUCCAUCUUAUCAAUCUUGGUUUGGCAUCCUUUUUUUAAAUCAGAUAUUUUAUUGCUGCAUGAUUUGUGUAAACUAUCACUUUGGUACCCACCAAGUAGGCUCUGAAUUUAUCAAAGGCAAACACCACAACUAGCAACUUUUUUUAGUAGUGGUGUAGUUGAUCUAAGCAUUGACAAAGGUUUUGUUGGCAUAGUAAAUGGAGUGAAAAUUCUUGUUCUUUCUCUAUCCCAACACUGCUCCAACAGAAUGGUCACUAGCAUCACACAUCGGUUCAAAAGGUAGACUCUAAUCUAGUGCUAUAACAAUCGGUGUUGUUACUAGAGCUUUAUUUAACUCAUUAAAGGCUUUAAAACAAUCUUUAUCAAAAUUAAAAGGCCUGUCAUGCUCCAGCAACAUACAUAAAGGUUUAGCUAUUUUGCAAAACUCUUUAAUGAACCUUCUAUAGAACCCAGCAUGUCUCAUAAAACUUCUAAUACCCUUAACUGAAGUUGGAGGUGGCAGUUUAUCUAGCACAUCUAUCUUUGCCUUAUCCACCUCUAUCUCAUUCUUGGAUGCUCUAUGACCCAAUAUUAUACCUUCUUGUACCACAAAGUGGCAUUUUUCCCAAUUGAGUACCAAGUUGGUCUCCUCACACCUCUUAAGCACAUCUUCCAAGUUGUGCAAACAAUCAUCAUAUGUCUAUGAAAUACAAGUGUGCAACCCAAGAGGGGGGUGAAUUGGUAUUUUAAAAAUUAUCCUAACAAAGCCACACAACAAUCCAAUCUAAUGCCUUAAUAAAUUCGAAAGCAAUAAGUUCAAUAAAAGCACAAUAACAAAUGAGUAAGAGAGAAGAGAAACAAACACACGAAUUUUUACGUGGUUCGGCAAUCCCCGCCUAAGUCCACGCCUCCAAGUGAUCCAAGCUUGAGGAUUUCACUAUCCAAGCCUUCCAAGGCUUCAAAUGUUUACAAUUGACUUCAAGGUGUCAAUGAACCUUUACAAUAAAGAGAUUAUCUCCCAAUCUCUUCACUCAAGUGUCUCACACACUCAAAUACUCACAAUUAAGAUGAGGAAUUGAAGAUUACAAUAAAAACUCUCUUAAAGAAUAGAUAUACAAAUUGAAGAACAAAAGAUGAUUCAAGGUUUUAUGAUUUGCGAAAUGAGAGCUCAAUGAACGUUGUGUGCUUUUUGAUUUUGCUUGCUAGAGAGCUUUAAAAUGAAUUGGAUUUGAGUUUAUAUAGUUUGAGCUCAAAAACUAGCCGUUAUGCACAUUUUGGUGAUAACCGGCUUACCAUUUAUGGAAUCCGGUUUGCCGCUUGUAUGUUACCGUUAAGGCAAAAAUUUGAAUUUUAGAACAUCUCGCAUGCCGCUUACGAUAUCCGGAUAGCCGUUUAUGCUCCAGAAGCUUACUGCCUAAAAUUUGGAUAGCUGCUUAUCAUAUCCGAUUAAUCGGUUGCUACAGUAACUGCUACAGUAAAAUAUUUUUUGAAAUUAUUGUUUAACCCCAAAACUUUAUAAAACUAUAUUAUGGCCCAAAACGUUAUGAACGUUUUAAAAUAAGUCCAAUUCUAGAAUUCCUAAAUAAUAUUUUGUCAAUCCCAAAACUUUAUGAAAUUAUGAUAUCACCCAAACUAUGUGAAAUUAGCUCCAAAACGCAUCCGGCUUUCCGGUUUUGCUCUGCUGUACCGUACAUCCGCCUUGGCCGUACAGCAGCAAUUCAUAAAUCUUUGUUUAACUAACACAUGUGGUUUGUUAUCAUCAAAAUUAAUAUUUAUAGUCAGAUAGACUAACAAUCUCCCCAUUUUUUAUGAUGAUAAAACACAUUAUAAAAAUUUAAUUUAGUUAUGAAAAACUCCCCCUUAAUUAAUGUAAGGUUAAAAAAAAAUGAUUCGAAAAUUAUUUAAAAGGCUCCCUCUGCAUACAUGCAUAUUUUUAUAUCACAUAUUAUAUUAUUCUCCCCCUUCAUCAUAAAAAAGAAUAAAAGCUCCCCCUAUCAAUCAUCAAAAACUCAAUGCAAGCAUAUUAGUUCAAAAAUAUCCAAAUCAUAAGAAAUUAUAAGAAAUCAUAACAAACAAUCAAAACAGAUCCAUAUCAUCCAAAACAAAUGCAUAAUCCAACAACAUAACAACCAUCCAUAAAAUCGGAAAUAAAAGUACAUAAAGCAGUAAAUGAAAUGUAGGUGUGUCCAAAUACAAGCAUAAGAGACUACUGAGGUGGUGAUGGAGGAGGAUACGGAUACAGAAUGCCGAAGUGCUCAAAGAGGAGGCACUAUCCAUGAAUGAGUUGCUGCUGCUGAAACUCAGUCUACCGCACAGAGAGUGUCCGCACCUCAUCCAUAAGUUGCUGAAGAGUAACCUCUUCAGAGGUAGGAGGCUGUGGAGGUGAUGAAGCGGAUGCAAAGGCACCAGGAGCUGAAGCAAUCACGAGAGGAUCUGGGCGUCUAUGCUGGCCCCGAAAUGAGAGUGAGAAAAUAGGAAGUUGAUCAGCAAGAACCACAACGUUGAGUGGCCGAUCAUCACUCAGAGCAAGAAAAGUAAACUUGUUUUCAGUUAAUUUUACCCUAGUGUCAUUACUCAACUCAAAACCUAAGCCAAAUACAGCAUCAUCCCCUAUACCCUUAGACGGUUUACACGAUGGUUCUUGAAGCGGUACAUCAAAAUAUUUAAGGAUUCAGGUAAUGAAGUGACCAUAUGGAAAGGAGCGGGUAAUCAAGGCAGGUAUGGUCAACAUAGUUCGGAUGAUGGUAUAUCCCAAGUUAACCGAACGACGUCUAAGAAUACAAUCAAUCAAAGCAACGUCCAUGUGGGAAACCUAGUCCAAAUGCCCUGAUCUAGGAAGAACAAUGGAUUGAAUAAAGCGAAGCAAAAUGCAAGUUUGAAGACAAAGACACUGAGUACGGAAAUGAAUGGUGCAAUCUUCACAGAAAGAUCAUUACGCCGACAAUUAUUACGAACGGCGUCAACAUGAACAUAACUAUCAAGUUUGGGAGAUUUCCUAGGCGAAAAAAUUUAUAGGCCAAAAUCGGAUGAUCUUAGGAUAGAGUUUAACAAGGAAAAAUCAAUAUCAAUCAUAACUCCUCCAACAUUGGUGAUUACUCGAGUCUUGUUCUCCGUGGAAAUGUUCAUAUUCGAGUAAAACACUUUCACCAAGUCGGGAUAAACAUUCUCCUCAAUCAUAAGUGCUUUAAUCCAACCAAUAUUUCCCAACAAUUGAAAUAAGUUUCUAUGGCUAAUAUUGAGAGUAUUAAUCCAAUUCGGUAAAACAUAAAACGUAUUGAGUACCUCACGAGUCCUGAAGCUUUGGUGAAAUCGUUUGGCUAAAUGUUUGUUGUUCUAAAAGUGUGAAGACUCAAAAUUGGAUUGAUUGGAGAUGUCCCCUGCUUGCCGUGACCGGUUGGUUUGUUGAACCGGUUCUUUGCCUUUUCUUCAAACCGGCCAUGAGCUUGACAUGGUGAUUUUGAUUGAUUUGAAGUUAAAAAAAGCAAUGAGAAGGAAGAUAACGAGGAUUGAAAGAGAGUUUGGGAGGUAAUUUGGAUAAAAAACGGCUUAAAAGGAAGAAAUUUAGAGAGAGAAGAAUUCGGUAAAACCCUAGAUUUGAGUUCGGAUCUAGUGAGUUUGAGAUUGAAAAUGCAUUUGAAAGAUGUUUUUAGGCAUAAGAACGGAUAGGAAACAAGUUUAAUGGUUCGAUUUGCAUUAAAAAUGAGUAGAAAUGAUGGAUUUUGGAGUGAAAAAGAGAGAGAAAGAAACGGCUUUAGAGAGAGAAAGCUUAUCCGGUUGACCGAAAGAUAGAAGAGGAAUAACUGUUCUAAAAAACUGCAAAUCCGGCUAACCGGUUAGCCGAUUAGUGGAUAGAAUGAGUAAAGCCGUAACUGGCUUACCGGGUUUGCUAACCGGCUGUCCAGUUUAAUUCCAGAAUGUGUCCAUACAGUAACUGGCUUGCCGGUUUGAAGAACCGGCUGUCCGGUUUUUAGGCAGAGAAUGAGCUUUGCAAAUUCAAUUUUUCGGAUUUCAUAACCGGAUGACCGGUUUUCGUCCAGUAAGCUCCAAAACGCAUCCGGCUUUCCGGUUUUUCUAAUCGAUUGACUAGUUUUCUUCCUGAAAUUUUGCAAAGCAAAUCCUGCUUACCAGUUUGGUAAAUCCGGUUAUCCGAAAGUUGACCCAAGAGCAACCAAAGCUAAUCUGGCUUACCGGUUUGCUAAAUCCAGUUAUCCGGAAUUUUUCCCGAGAGCAAUCAAUAAGAAAAACGGUUGGCCAGUUGAGAGAAAGCGGUAUACCGGUUUUAACUUGAAUUUUUUUUUCCUCUAAUUGAAUUUUGGCAAACUCUUAUACUUGUAUUAUACACACCGAUUUGUUUUUGGCUUAAAAAUUGAUCAAUUUUAAAUCAUUUUGUGAUUUUAAACUUUCAAUAAGCCAUUUUAAAAAUAAAUGAAACACAAAUGCAUUCAAGAACAAACAUAUCAACUUAAUCAUCAGAUCAUAAUUCAAGAUGCAACAUUCAUCAUUCCAAGCUCAUGUCUUAUCUUUAUAAAAUGCUCUUCACUAGUAGGUUUUGUAAAGAUAUCAACAAGUUGAUUUUCAGUAGAAACAAAUUUAAUUACAACAUCUCCUUUUUGAACAUGAUCUCUAAGGAAGUGAUGCCUAAUUUCUAUAUGCUUAGUCCUAGAAUGUUGAAUGAGAUUCUUGGAUAGAUUAAUAGCACUAGUAUUAUCACACAAGAUAGGUAUUUGAUCAAGAUUAAUACCAUAGUCUCUAAGGGUUUGUUUCAUCCAAAGAAUUUGUGCACAACAACUUCUGGCGGCAAUGUAUUCGGCUUCGGUGGUUGAAAGUGCAACCAAGUUUUGUUUCUUACUAAACCAAGAGACAAGUGGAUGGCCUAGGAAAUGACAUGUUCCACUAGUAUUUUUUCUAUCAACCUUAUAUCCGGCAAAAUCAGCAUCCGAAUAAUAAGUUAAGUCAAUAUGAGUUCCCCUAGGAUACCAAAGGCCAAGAUUAAUGAUGCCAAUCAAAUAUCAAAAAAUUCGUUUGACAGCAAGCAUGUGUGACUCUUUAGGACAAGAUUGAAAUCUAGCACACAAGCAUACACUAAACAUAAUAUCAAGUCUACUAGUAGUCAAAUAGAGUAAGGAUCCGAUCAUACCUCGAUAAGUCUUGAUGUCAACUUCCUUACCUUUCUCAUCUUUGUCCAGCUUGAUGAUAGUACUCAUUGAAGUGCUUUUUGCCAUUCCAUUAUCAUAGCCGAAUCUUUUGAGUAGAUCUUUCACGUACUUGGCUUGAUUUAUGAAAAUUCCUUCCUCGUUUUGUUUGAUUUGGAGUCCAAGAAAGUACUUCAACACUCCCAUCAUACUCAUAUCAAAUUCUUUGCUCAUACAAGAUGAAAAUUCUUUACACAACAAUUCAUUAGUAGAACCAAAGAUAAUGUCAUCAAUAUAGAUUUGUACUACAAGUAUAUCUUGGUUCUUAUGCUUAAGAAUGAGAGUAGUAUUCGCUUUUCCCAUUGAAAAACCAUUAUCCAAUAGAAAAUUCUUAAGCCUAUCAUACCAUGCUCUAGGUGCUUGUUUUAGUCCAUAUAAUGCCUUAGACAACUUAUACACAUCAUUUGAAAAUUUUCAUUUUCAAAACCAGGAGGUUGUUUUACAUAGACUUCCUCCAUAAUGUAACCAUUUAAGAAAGCACUUUUGACAUCCAUUUGAUAUAAAAUAAAAUUUUUAUGACAUGCAAAAGCUAAGAGCAUUCUAAUGGAUUUUAGUCUAGCUACAGGUGCAAAUGUUUCAUCAAAAUCAAUUCCCUCUUCCUGGUUGUAACCUUGAGCCACUAAUCUAGCUUUAUUUCUUACAACCACACUGGAUUCAUCCAUUUUGUUUCUAAAUACCCAUUUAGUGCCUAUAAUGGAUUAAUGUUCCGGAUUAGGAACUAAUUCCCACACAUUGUUUCUCUUAAAUUGAUUCAACUCCUCUUGCAUUGCCAUAGUCCAAGAUUCAUCAUUUUCCGCAUCCGCAAAGGAUUUUGGUUGAAUUUGAGAAAUAAAUGCAGCAUGCUCACAUGUGUUCCUAAGAGAUGAUCUAGUUGUAACACCUCGUGAGGGAUCUCCUAAAAUUACAUCCUUAAGGUGAAAAGAAACAUACCUCCACUCCUUAGGGAGUGUUUGAGAAGUACCUUCAUUUUGCUCUGCAUUCGUUUCUUCAUGAUGUUCCUCUUGACUUCCAUGUGGUGCAUCUUUUUGGUUGUCAUUUGAUGCUUCUUCUUGUUGUUCUUCUUCUGCAUUAUCAUCAACAACGACUUUCUCCGUAGAGGAGGGGUUAGAGUUAUCAAAUGUCACAUGCAUAGAUUCUUCCACAACCAAAGUUCUUUUAUUAUAAACUCUAUAAGUUUUGCUUGAGUUUGAAUAACCAAGAAAAAUACCUACAUAAGAUUUUGGAUCAAAUUUACUAAGAUUAUCUUUUGUGUUCAAAACAAAACAUUUGCAUCCAAAGACUUUAAAAUAGUCAAUGUUGGGUUUUCUAUCUUUCCAAAGCUUAUAUGGAGUUUUAUUAAGAUUAGGUCUAAUCAACACAAGAUUCAAAACAUAACAAGCGGUGUUGACGGCUAGAAUUUUCAUUCAACAUGGUCCUAGCCAUUUCUUGAAUAGACAUAUUCUUUCUCUCUACAACUCCAUUUUGUUGAGGAGUCCUAGGUGAUGAAAAUUGAUGCUCAAUGCCAAAAUCAUUACAAAAGUUCUCAAAUGCAUAAUUUUCAAAUUUUCCGCCAUGGUCACUCCUAAUACAAGAAAUACUACACCCCUUUUCAUUUUGAACCUUUUUGCAGAAAACUUUAAAUACAUCAAAGGCAUCAUCUUUGUUAGCUAAGAAUAAUACCCAUGUGUAUCUAGAAUAAUCAUCCACAAUUACAAAAGCAUAAUAUUUGCCAUUUAAACUAGCAUAUCUAGAAGGUCUAAACAAGUCUAUGUGAAGUAGUUGAAGUGGUUUUUAAGUAGAAAUUUUUUUCUUGCUUUUAAAGGAAGUUUUGAUUUGUUUUCCAAAUUGGCAAGCUUCACAAAUUCUAUCUUUUUGAAAACUGAUUUUUGAAAGACCUUUAACCAAAUUAUUUUCACGAUUUUUGAAAUCAAAUCCAUGCUUGCAUGACCUAAUCUUCUAUGCCAUAACCAACCAUCAUCAUACAAUGCGGAGAAAAAUUUAUCAUUUGUAGAAGCACAAUCUAUAUUAAUGGUAUAGACAUUAACACAUCUAUUUCCUACAAAUAAAAUCUUGCCAUUACAUGCAUUCUCAAUAACACAUUUUGAUUCAUCAAAGAUAACUCUAUAUCCUUUAUCACAUAAUUGACUAAUGUUAAGCAAGUUGUAUUUUAAGUUUUCAACCAAACACACAUUUUCAAUGAGAGUAGAGGAUAUAUUACUGACAUUGCCAAUGCCAAUGAUUUUUCUUUUGGAAUUAUCUCCAAACGAUACAUCUCCACCAUUUUCGAUCUUGGUAAAACUUGAAAACCAAGAAUAAUUCCCUGUCAUGUGUCUUGAACAACCACUGUCCAAGUACCACUUAUUAUUAUUCUUCUUCUUCUUCAAGCCCUGCAGAGAAAAUCUCAAGUUUUAAGUACCCAAACCUUUUUGGGUCCUUGAGAGUUAGCAAUGGUUCCUUUCGGAACCCAAACACAUUUCACACUAUAAUAUGCAUUUCUCUUCACAGGACAUCUAUUUUUCAUAUGACCAUCUUGAUUACAAUAAUGACAUACAAUUUGAUUGUUAAUAGAUGUAUUCUUCACAAAAUAAAUUUUGUAAUAUUUUUGUUUCAAAUUUGGCUUAUAACCAAUGCCUCCUUUGUCAAAUACACAUUUUUGUGAGUUUAGCAAGUUAUCCAACAUCUUUUGCCCAUUUGUGAAUUUUAGCUCAAUCUCAUUUAGUUCAUUGCUCUUCUUUCUAAGCAUUUCAUUUUCAUUUUCAUUUUUCAAGUCAUUCACGUGUGACUCUAAGUGCUAGAAUUCUCAAAUAAUGCAACUCUAUCACGCAAUGUUUUAUUCUCUAAUUCUAGGCAUGUAAUCUUUGCACUAAAUAAUUCAUUUUCAUUUUUAAGCUCUAUCAUUUUCUUUUUAAAACAUAUAUUCUUUUUACCAAUCUUCAUCAAUUCAUCAUGCAAAUCCUUAAAGGCAUCAUGUAAAUCCUUAAAGGCUAACAGUCUCUCCAAAAACUAAGAAAUCAUCAAUGAAAACUUCCAAUGUCUGCUCAACUAUAUCUGAAAAGAUGGACAUUAUACACCUCUGGAAGGUUGCUGGAGUAUUGCAUAAACCAAAUGGCAUUCUUUUGAAAGCAAAAGUUCCAUAAGGGCAGGUGAGUGUGGUCUUCUCCUGGUCCUCUGGUGCUAUAGCAAUCUGGUUUUAGCCUAAAUACCCAUCUAGGAAGCAGCAGUAUUGUUUUCCAACAAGUCUGUCCAAUAUAUGUUCUAUAAAUGGUAGUGGGAAGUGAUCCUUUCUCGUGGCUUUGUUAAGUUUCCUAUAGUCCAUACAAACUCUCCUUCCAGUUACCAUUCUUGUGAGAAUAAGUUCAUUCUUCUCAUUUGCUACAACAAUUACUCCACCUUUCUUCGGAACACAUUAUACUAGGCUCACCCAAGAACCGUCAGAUAUCGGGUAUAUGAUCCCAGCAUCCAACCAUUUGAUGAUCUCAUUUUUCACAACUUCCUUCAUGCUAGGGUUUAGUCUCCUUUGUUGCUCUACUGAAUUACUGUAAUAGUUAUCCAGCAGAAUUUUGUGCAUGCAUAUGGAUGGGCUGAUUCCCUUAAUAUUUGUCAUAGUCCAUCCAGUUGAUCUGCAUUGAGAGAAGAUGAAAUGAUUACAAAAAGUGUAUUACUUUUACCAAGAUAAACAUAUUUCAAGUGUGAAGGUAGAAGAUUUAAUUCUAAACUAAAAGGUGAUUCAAUAAUGAAAUUGUUGGUUUUACUUUCCUGUUUGAAAGAUCUAGAUAUUCAAAGUGUCUAUUAUAUCUUACAGAUUGCUUUUCUCCUAACCAUGCUAUCUGGUUUGGUGCAACAUCCUCUUCUUCAAGUUCUUCAAAAGUGGCAGCUUUGAUGUCUUCAUUGCUGCAGCAACUGUCUAUUCUUUUUGUCACAACAAAGUCCACAACACUCAUAAAAUUACAGUCUUCAACCUCAUCUGGACUCUUCAUAGCUUCCAGCACAUUGAAGGUGACUUGUUGGUCAUUCACCCUCAUGGUUAACUCUCAUUUCUACAAAUCAAUAAGGUUAGGGUCUUUUCUGUUGCUAGGAAAGGUCUACAAAGUAUAAUUAGUACUUCCUUGUCUGCCUCAAAGUCUAGUACAAAAAAAUCCACUGGAAAAAUGAAUUUAUCUACCUUUACCAAUACAUCUUCAAUCUUGCUCUCAAGACAUGCAUGAGAUUUGUCAGCAAGUUGUAAAGUUACUGUUGUUGGUCUGCAGUCACCAACUCCUAAUUGUUUAAAUACAAGUAAGUACAUUAGAUUGAUGCUUGCUCUCAAGUCACAAAGUGCUCUAGCAUUGUAUCUAGUUCCAAUAGAACAUAGAAUUGUAAAGUUUCCUGGAUCUUUCAACUUUUGAGGAAUCUUAUUCUGAAGGAUAUGCCUGCAUUCUUGUGUUAGAGCAAUAGUUUCAAAUUCUCCAAGCCUUCACUUUCUUGUCAAAAUAUCCUUAAAAAUUUUCAUAUAAUUGGCCAUUUCUUCUAAGGUUUCCACAACGGGAAUGUUGAUAGUUUCAACACUUCUAAGAAUUUGCUGAACUGCUUGUCUUGUUUUUGUUUCUAGAAUCUUUAUGGGAAAGGUGGUGGAUGUCUAAACUAUUGAACUACAACCGGAAGUACAAGUUGUUGUUCUUUUGGUCGACUUUGUGUUGUUACUGCUGGUGUUCCAGCUUCUGCUUCAACAGGUAUGAGUGAUUUCUUUCUGUGGUUGCUAUCGCCUGACUACUUUCACCAGUGUUUUGAUAAUUGGGUUGCUGCAAUUCUUUUUCAACUUGAAGCUCUUCUGGAGAUGAAAUAAGUUCCAUACUUUUUUCUUGGGAUACCAAUAAGGAUAUCAACACCCUUCCCAAACCUUAAAUUGAUUACCUUGCAAUGUUUCUUACCUUCUCUCCUUGGAUCUUAUGUGUUGCUGGGUAAACUCCCUUAAAGCCUGUUACUUAAUGCUGUGGUAAGCUGUCCAAUUUGAUUUUCUAAAUUUCUCAAUGAUACAGCCUGACUUUGGACAACUACUUUAUUCUUCACAAUGUACUCCUUAAUUAGUGUCUCCAGAGAACUAAAUUGAUCAUUGCUGGUGUUAUUUUCCCCUUUAUUUUGCUUACGAAAACCAGGUGGUGGAGUAGGUCUGUUUUGUCCGCCGGGUGCUGUAGAAUGCUAGUUCUAGUUGCUCCAUGAAAAAUUUAUAUGCUACUUCCAUCCAGGGUUGUAGGUAUUAAAGUUGCCCACAUAAUUGAUUGAUGCUGGAUUCCCUGGGCAAUUAUCAAAUAAAUGCCUCUCUCCAGAAUACACGCGAGAAACCUCAGCAACUUGAUUGACUGUUGCUGGAGUAGUGGUCAUAGCUUUCACCAUAUUGGUCAAUGAUGUUACUUGGGCUGAUAAUGCUGUAAAUCUAUCCACAUUAUGUAUUUCCGCUGCUCCUCUUGCUGCAGUUUGUCUACUCGAUGGCAACUGAUAGUUGUUAUUAGUAAUCCUCUCUAAAAUUUCAUAUGCUUCAUUGUAAGAUUUAUAUAAUAAAGCCCCAUUUGCUCAAGCAUCGACCAUCAAUCUAGUACUGGAGUUUAACCUAUUAUAGAAAUUUUUUAACUGUACGCAACAAGGAAUGCCAUGAUGAGGACAUCUCCUAAGCAAUUCCUUAAAUCUUUCCUAAGCCUCAUACAAGCUUUCAUCUUCUAGUUGGUGACAAGAAGUGAUCUCAUUCCGCAACUUUACAUUCUUGGUUGGUGGGAAGUACUUCAUCAGAAACUUAUCAGCCAAGUCAUUCCAUGUUGUGAUGAAGUCUGGUAGUAAAGAGUUCAACCAUGCUCUUGCUCGAUCUCUUAGGGAGUAAGGAAAGAGUAUGAGUCGCAAUGCAUCCUGUGAUGCUCCAGUAAUUUUAAAAGCUUCACUCACCUCCAAAAACAAUUUAAGGUCGAGAUGAGGGUCUUCUAAUGGCAAUCCAUUAAAUUGCUCCAUUGUUUGCAACAUUUAAAACAUCAUUAGUUUGAGUUCAAAGUUGGCAUCUUCCACCUUAGGUCUAACUAUUCCAGGAUGUAUAACUCGAGGGGCCAACACAACAUAAUCUCUAAUGGCUCUGCCAUGUAGAUAAUAUUAUUAUUCCUUGGUGGUCUCUGAUUGAUUUGCCCAUUCUGACCUUCUUGAACAUUGACAGGUUGUAUUAGUCUGUGAGGGUCUAAGUUUCCUAAGAUUUGCAAGUCAUCCAUUGCUACAACAACUUUUGAAUUUCUUUGCUCUCUUCUUAAUCUCCUUGCAAUUCUUUCAAUCUCUGGAUCAAAUUAAAAUUCAACAAGUUUAUAUUUGCGCAUGCAAGAGUGAUCUGUUAACAAAGUAAACAAAUCAGAAUAAAAUCAAAGAUUGGCACUGUUAAAAUUAAUUUCACAACUCAAAAAUAAACAAUCAAUUCCCGGAAACGGUGCCAAAAACUUGUUAUUUUAACUCAUUUUCUAUUGGUAUCAAUGAGCAAGUGUACAUAACAAGUAAUAUAAUGAUGAGUAUCCAAGAUCGUCUCUACAUGGAUUGAUGCUAUCAGACUUGCAAUAGCAAUUUCACAGUGCAAUUUAUGUUUGAAUGUAAAACAAGGCAACUAAUAGAACUAAAAGACUAAGUAAAAAAACUAAAAACACAAUAAUUGAAAAUGCAGUAAAUAAAAUUUGCACGUUAAACACAAAGGUAAAAUCAAUAGGAAUGGAUUAGUUGAAUGAUUAAACUCUCUUGAUGAUGUUGACUGUUUUAUUCAUGCUAAGUUCAGUUGCUACAACAUCUACUACAGUACUGGGUAAAAACUAUCUUAUCAUCAGCGAUAGCAUGUUUGAUGUCUUAUAUAUUUAUACAACCUAACAGUGACCAGUUGUUAUCUCAACAUAAGAUAUAACAUUACACGUUUAUAUUUUCUUUACCCUACAAGGUGAAUCCCCAUAUCUAGUUCAUCACUAAUCUUAGAUUAAGCAUGCCCAUUUUUGGACUCAAGUUAAACUCAAUCCAGGAAACUCAAUCUAAGACCAAGUAUUGCUCUAAUAUGCUCCACUGAGAUAGGCCCUUUUGCGGCUCUUUCUUAACUUUUAUCAUUAAAUGGUUGGUCAACCAAAAAAAUGAAUGUAAAUAAUUGUUAUUAAAGCAACAUGCUAUAGCAAACAUGUAGCAACACCUAUAUUUAGUCAAUUAAUCAUCAAGAUAGUUUAACACUCAACCAUAAAUAAAUUUAGUUCAUAAUUUGUGAAAGGAAAGUAAACAACCAAGUUCUAGCCAUCAAAUACAUCUUAAUGAUCAAUGAAUAACAAGUAAACAAGAAAAGAAUAGGAAAGAGCAAAUUCCAAUUGAUUCUGCAAAUUUCUUCUACUGGUGCAGCCUUGAAUUCUGCUUGGGAAUUCUAUUCCUUCGUUGUUUCUUUUCUGUUUUGAUCUUGAUUGACAACCUCCUUUUUCCUUUGCAUGAUUCCCCUUUUGUAAUCAUAACUUAGGGUAACUAGAAACUUCAGAGCGCGCAUCUUCCAGAUUAAGAAAUUGCAUAUCGCAAUAUUAUGAAUAUCUCACCCAGAUUUUUCUCUGUCAAUGCUUUAGGUUUGCUACAGCAAUGGCGCCAGCAUCUUUUCUGUUCCAUACUUGCUCAAAUUCUUCAAUAGCCAUGCUCGUUUGUCAUCUUUAUAAGUCUAUUGCAACAACAUCUUUUGCAUAAAAUUCAAGUUUCUAUUUACCUAUAGUUAAACAUGUGUUUUAGGCAUAAAUUAUUCAAAAAUCAUACUAACUUUAUUAAACUUAAACUAAAAUGAAUGUGAUGCAAACUAUCAUUAAAAUGCACUAAAACACAUUAAUUACUCUCUAAGUAGUCUUGAUUUAAGCCUAAAAAUGCCAUGAUAACUCUCAUUUUAUAGAGUUAUCAAGCAGCAGCAGGAGCAAGGGAAUGCUGAAGAGGCUAAAGUAGAAGAAGAAGAAAAUGUGAAGAAGAGGAAAAAGAAGCGGAAAAGGAAGAGAAACCACUCGUUCAGACUCCCAAGUGCAAAAGUAAAGAGAAUAUUUUGAUUGAGGAGGAAAAUACUGAGUCAGAGUGGGAAGAGGAUGUUGAUAUAGCAAUUGAAAAGGCCAUCAGGAGGGCCGCAAGGACAAAAGAAGUAAAGAGGAGUUUAAGGGAAAUCAUUGCAAGCAUCACUGCAGAACAAUCAACAACAAGAACUCCCACUCGUGGUGACGGAGAGAAAUCAAGCUAAACGUCAUGAUUAUCCAAAGGUUGAUCAGCGGUGAAAACGACCAGUAUGGGGCUUGGAAUUGGUCGGAAAAUGAAGAGAGGAUCUCAGAUAACCAAAUUUAGGUGGUGGCAUUGACGAAAACCGGCUAGAUCAGGCCAAAAUGAGAGGCAGUUGACAUUAUUUUUUAAGCUCGAUUUGCAGUCUUCUGGUUGUUUUAUGGCAGCGUUGACGCCAGAUAAACGACCAACGUAUCGCAAGCUUCCGAUCAGUGCCUCCCUUGGCCGGUGAAGUGAACGGAAUCAUGAGAUCCGUCUAGGUCGGAUUGUUGUUGUUUGGGUCAGAUCGGAUUGUUGGUGUAUUAGCAGGACAAUGGCUGGGGCUAAGUUACAUAUAAUGUAACAUACAUUACAAAAAAUUACAUCUAAUAAUUUAAUAUAGUUUAACAAUUAAACAAUACUUGAAUAUUUUGGAUAUUAAUCUCAUGUUGCCAUAUACUACAUUAUAUCAAACAUUGCAUGAUCUUUAAUUUGAAUUCAGAAAAUUACUUAUUCUAAGAUAUUUAAAUUUUAUCGAUUGUUGGUUUUCACUAAAUAUCACUAAUUUUAAGACGUUUCAUCGAAAUCCAUUAUCAAGAAUUCUGACUUUUAUUGGCUUAUUUAAGUUUAAAUACCUAAUUAAAUAUACUCUAUGCAAUUAAUUGACUUCCUGUUUAUAUUUUAAAUUUUUUGCACUAUUGUUUAUUUUUCAAGAAAGUGCGUGAGGCUUUCUUCUUGUUCAAAAAAGAUUUUCGCAUGUGCAUACUGUUCUUGAGGGUUUUCUUAUGUUGCCUGCGCAUACUACAUAUACACUAUUUUUUAGGGUGUGCUUAAGUUCUGGUUUUCCUUUGAUCUUGAAUACUCAAAGAGUAAUUCAAAAAAAAAAAACAAAGGAAUUCAGGUUAGUCACUCGCCAAAUAUUCUAAACAAAGAAUUUCUUUAAGGACGCAAGAUUUCCUCAUUGGCUUUUCCUUAGCCCUUAAACGCCUUGUCUGAGAUUUUGAUAUCAUAAUCUUAAAUCCAUUAACAACAAAAGGCUUAAUAAGAAUAGAAGAGUCUCUGUGAAUUUCCUAUAUAAUAAUGGGGUCAACAACUUCUUUUGAAGGAGUAUAUAUAUAUAUGAGAUUCUUGGAUAGUCUCUCUCAAAUAGUUAACUUAAAAAAUAGACGGAUAUGGUUCAGCUAAGAUAGAGUUCCUAAUAGAAUUUUGUAAGUUAGCUCCAAGGACAAGUACGAAUAAGGUUUGACUAGGUAAUGGAUCAGGUAUAGCUUUAGUAGGAGGUUUUAAGUAUGAUUAAGAUCUUCACCUGAUGUGAGCUAGCUCUCUGGAGCUUUUAAAGAUCUUGUGCUACCUUAAGAUCUUAAACUUUCUAUAUCUAUAUACUAAUGGAAUGUCAGGUAAAUCAACAAGUUCACAUGGUCAUUCAUCAACAUGCCUGGUGUGUAUAUGAAUCUAUGGAGUUUCUUCUUCAAAUAAAGUCUAUUUUCAAGGCUUUUGGUCAUGUACUUAUCCUCCAGUAUCUUUCAUAGUUUCUUUACUGAUGUCUCUUUUAUGACAAAAUAUUUAUGAUCUUUAGCCAAACACAAGUGAAUGGUACCACAUGCCUAUCUAUUGAUCUUUAUUCACUCUUUGUUAUCCAUCUUGUUAAUCUUUUCUUCAAGAGCGAGCUCCAACUCUUGCUAACAUAAGAUCUCUAACACCUCACAUUGCUAUAUACCAAAGUUAUUGGUAUCGUCAAAUUUCUCUACUUCAAACUUUGCAUUAGUCAUAAUAGUCUUUACUUAUGAAAACGAUGACAACGUCACCUUUACCCUCCAUUUUCUAACCACUUAACCUAAAUGACUAGUAUCUACGCGUCUAUUUGUAUAGACAAUGCACUAAGAAAGUUCCAAGGAAAGACUGCAUGGGUCACAACAGUCCCACUUAAAACUAGACUCCUUAGGCAAUUUUAGCCUUGUUGACAGAACUUUCCUGGACAUGCAUUUAUCCACACAACCACGUGAUAAUGAUCGCGACUUCUGGGGAAAUAUAAAUAUAGUGAAAAACAAAUGCAAAAAGACAAAAUAAUUUACAUGGUUCAGCUUAUAGCCUACGUCCACGAGUAAAAACUGGAAGAUAAUUUUAUUAACAAAUGGCUGUUGCAAGAUCAAGAACUACUCUUAAAAUGAUCAUAUACACCCAUAUGGAUCCCUGUUGUUCAAAUUUUAAUGUACUCGCAAGCGCACGAAUCUAUUGUAGUAUAGAUUAAUGGUGACGAGUGUCGAUCCCACGAGGAGGUGGAUUUUAAUUGUGUGUAGAAUUAAUUUUGUAAAUGGGUGAUUGGAUUUGUGGUGGAAAUGAUUUGGAAUAUGCUAAAACUUAAAUUAAAAUGGCCAGAAUAAAUUCUAAAAUUGGAAUUGAAAUGGCGAGAAUAAAUUGAAGAGAAUUCUAUUGAAAUGACGUACUUGGGUAUCUGGAUCUGUAUCAACAUGCACCAUGGGCUAAAUAAUCCUUAUUAAUGCCAAUUAAAUCAUGAGGGGGGAAUCCACACCUCAUGAACCACGCUCUAAUCAAUAUGGUGCUAAGGGCUUAUCGUGCCAAAUAAUAAUAACCUUAUACUAGAGAGCCGGUAUAACCAAAGCGGUAUCUAGACAAGACUAUUAUUAUUUGUCGACGAGAAGUCAAAACAUCCACAAAAACUAGAGGGGAAAAGAAAAUAAAUUUACCAAAUAAAGCCCACUGCUGUACGGCCAAGGCGGAUGUACGGUACAGCAGNNNNNNNNNNNNNNNNNNNNNNNNNNNNNNNNNNNNNNNNNNNNNNNNNNNNNNNNNNNNNNNNNNNNNNNNNNNNNNNNNNNNNNNNNNNNNNNNNNNNNNNNNNNNNNNNNNNNNNNNNNNNNNNNNNNNNNNNNNNNNNNNNNNNNNNNNNNNNNNNNNNNNNNNNNNNNNNNNNNNNNNNNNNNNNNNNNNNNNNNNNNNNNNNNNNNNNNNNNNNNNNNNNNNNNNNNNNNNNNNNNNNNNNNNNNNNNNNNNNNNNNNNNNNNNNNNNNNNNNNNNNNNNNNNNNNNNNNNNNNNNNNNNNNNNNNNNNNNNNNNNNNNNNNNNNNNNNNNNNNNNNNNNNNNNNNNNNNNNNNNNNNNNNNNNNNNNNNNNNNNNNNNNNNNNNNNNNNNNNNNNNNNNNNNNNNNNNNNNNNNNNNNNNNNNNNNNNNNNNNNNNNNNNNNNNNNNNNNNNNNNNNNNNNNNNNNNNNNNNNNNNNNNNNNNNNNNNNNNNNNNNNNNNNNNNNNNNNNNNNNNNNNNNNNNNNNNNNNNNNNNNNNNNNNNNNNNNNNNNNNNNNNNNNNNNNNNNNNNNNNNNNNNNNNNNNNNNNNNNNNNNNNNNNNNNNNNNNNNNNNNNNNNNNNNNNNNNNNNNNNNNNNNNNNNNNNNNNNNNNNNNNNNNNNNNNNNNNNNNNNNNNNNNNNNNNNNNNNNNNNNNNNNNNNNNNNNNNNNNNNNNNNNNNNNNNNNNNNNNNNNNNNNNNNNNNNNNNNNNNNNNNNNNNNNNNNNNNNNNNNNNNNNNNNNNNNNNNNNNNNNNNNNNNNNNNNNNNNNNNNNNNNNNNNNNNNNNNNNNNNNNNNNNNNNNNNNNNNNNNNNNNNNNNNNNNNNNNNNNNNNNNNNNNNNNNNNNNNNNNNNNNNNNNNNNNNNNNNNNNNNNNNNNNNNNNNNNNNNNNNNNNNNNNNNNNNNNNNNNNNNNNNNNNNNNNNNNNNNNNNNNNNNNNNNNNNNNNNNNNNNNNNNNNNNNNNNNNNNNNNNNNNNNNNNNNNNNNNNNNNNNNNNNNNNNNNNNNNNNNNNNNNNNNNNNNNNNNNNNNNNNNNNNNNNNNNNNNNNNNNNNNNNNNNNNNNNNNNNNNNNNNNNNNNNNNNNNNNNNNNNNNNNNNNNNNNNNNNNNNNNNNNNNNNNNNNNNNNNNNNNNNNNNNNNNNNNNNNNNNNNNNNNNNNNNNNNNNNNNNNNNNNNNNNNNNNNNNNNNNNNNNNNNNNNNNNNNNNNNNNNNNNNNNNNNNNNNNNNNNNNNNNNNNNNNNNNNNNNNNNNNNNNNNNNNNNNNNNNNNNNNNNNNNNNNNNNNNNNNNNNNNNNNNNNNNNNNNNNNNNNNNNNNNNNNNNNNNNNNNNNNNNNNNNNNNNNNNNNNNNNNNNNNNNNNNNNNNNNNNNNNNNNNNNNNNNNNNNNNNNNNNNNNNNNNNNNNNNNNNNNNNNNNNNNNNNNNNNNNNNNNNNNNNNNNNNNNNNNNNNNNNNNNNNNNNNNNNNNNNNNNNNNNNNNNNNNNNNNNNNNNNNNNNNNNNNNNNNNNNNNNNNNNNNNNNNNNNNNNNNNNNNNNNNNNNNNNNNNNNNNNNNNNNNNNNNNNNNNNNNNNNNNNNNNNNNNNNNNNNNNNNNNNNNNNNNNNNNNNNNNNNNNNNNNNNNNNNNNNNNNNNNNNNNNNNNNNNNNNNNNNNNNNNNNNNNNNNNNNNNNNNNNNNNNNNNNNNNNNNNNNNNNNNNNNNNNNNNNNNNNNNNNNNNNNNNNNNNNNNNNNNNNNNNNNNNNNNNNNNNNNNNNNNNNNNNNNNNNNNNNNNNNNNNNNNNNNNNNNNNNNNNNNNNNNNNNNNNNNNNNNNNNNNNNNNNNNNNNNNNNNNNNNNNNNNNNNNNNNNNNNNNNNNNNNNNNNNNNNNNNNNNNNNNNNNNNNNNNNNNNNNNNNNNNNNNNNNNNNNNNNNNNNNNNNNNNNNNNNNNNNNNNNNNNNNNNNNNNNNNNNNNNNNNNNNNNNNNNNNNNNNNNNNNNNNNNNNNNNNNNNNNNNNNNNNNNNNNNNNNNNNNNNNNNNNNNNNNNNNNNNNNNNNNNNNNNNNNNNNNNNNNNNNNNNNNNNNNNNNNNNNNNNNNNNNNNNNNNNNNNNNNNNNNNNNNNNNNNNNNNNNNNNNNNNNNNNNNNNNNNNNNNNNNNNNNNNNNNNNNNNNNNNNNNNNNNNNNNNNNNNNNNNNNNNNNNNNNNNNNNNNNNNNNNNNNNNNNNNNNNNNNNNNNNNNNNNNNNNNNNNNNNNNNNNNNNNNNNNNNNNNNNNNNNNNNNNNNNNNNNNNNNNNNNNNNNNNNNNNNNNNNNNNNNNNNNNNNNNNNNNNNNNNNNNNNNNNNNNNNNNNNNNNNNNNNNNNNNNNNNNNNNNNNNNNNNNNNNNNNNNNNNNNNNNNNNNNNNNNNNNNNNNNNNNNNNNNNNNNNNNNNNNNNNNNNNNNNNNNNNNNNNNNNNNNNNNNNNNNNNNNNNNNNNNNNNNNNNNNNNNNNNNNNNNNNNNNNNNNNNNNNNNNNNNNNNNNNNNNNNNNNNNNNNNNNNNNNNNNNNNNNNNNNNNNNNNNNNNNNNNNNNNNNNNNNNNNNNNNNNNNNNNNNNNNNNNNNNNNNNNNNNNNNNNNNNNNNNNNNNNNNNNNNNNNNNNNNNNNNNNNNNNNNNNNNNNNNNNNNNNNNNNNNNNNNNNNNNNNNNNNNNNNNNNNNNNNNNNNNNNNNNNNNNNNNNNNNNNNNNNNNNNNNNNNNNNNNNNNNNNNNNNNNNNNNNNNNNNNNNNNNNNNNNNNNNNNNNNNNNNNNNNNNNNNNNNNNNNNNNNNNNNNNNNNNNNNNNNNNNNNNNNNNNNNNNNNNNNNNNNNNNNNNNNNNNNNNNNNNNNNNNNNNNNNNNNNNNNNNNNNNNNNNNNNNNNNNNNNNNNNNNNNNNNNNNNNNNNNNNNNNNNNNNNNNNNNNNNNNNNNNNNNNNNNNNNNNNNNNNNNNNNNNNNNNNNNNNNNNNNNNNNNNNNNNNNNNNNNNNNNNNNNNNNNNNNNNNNNNNNNNNNNNNNNNNNNNNNNNNNNNNNNNNNNNNNNNNNNNNNNNNNNNNNNNNNNNNNNNNNNNNNNNNNNNNNNNNNNNNNNNNNNNNNNNNNNNNNNNNNNNNNNNNNNNNNNNNNNNNNNNNNNNNNNNNNNNNNNNNNNNNNNNNNNNNNNNNNNNNNNNNNNNNNNNNNNNNNNNNNNNNNNNNNNNNNNNNNNNNNNNNNNNNNNNNNNNNNNNNNNNNNNNNNNNNNNNNNNNNNNNNNNNNNNNNNNNNNNNNNNNNNNNNNNNNNNNNNNNNNNNNNNNNNNNNNNNNNNNNNNNNNNNNNNNNNNNNNNNNNNNNNNNNNNNNNNNNNNNNNNNNNNNNNNNNNNNNNNNNNNNNNNNNNNNNNNNNNNNNNNNNNNNNNNNNNNNNNNNNNNNNNNNNNNNNNNNNNNNNNNNNNNNNNNNNNNNNNNNNNNNNNNNNNNNNNNNNNNNNNNNNNNNNNNNNNNNNNNNNNNNNNNNNNNNNNNNNNNNNNNNNNNNNNNNNNNNNNNNNNNNNNNNNNNNNNNNNNNNNNNNNNNNNNNNNNNNNNNNNNNNNNNNNNNNNNNNNNNNNNNNNNNNNNNNNNNNNNNNNNNNNNNNNNNNNNNNNNNNNNNNNNNNNNNNNNNNNNNNNNNNNNNNNNNNNNNNNNNNNNNNNNNNNNNNNNNNNNNNNNNNNNNNNNNNNNNNNNNNNNNNNNNNNNNNNNNNNNNNNNNNNNNNNNNNNNNNNNNNNNNNNNNNNNNNNNNNNNNNNNNNNNNNNNNNNNNNNNNNNNNNNNNNNNNNNNNNNNNNNNNNNNNNNNNNNNNNNNNNNNNNNNNNNNNNNNNNNNNNNNNNNNNNNNNNNNNNNNNNNNNNNNNNNNNNNNNNNNNNNNNNNNNNNNNNNNNNNNNNNNNNNNNNNNNNNNNNNNNNNNNNNNNNNNNNNNNNNNNNNNNNNNNNNNNNNNNNNNNNNNNNNNNNNNNNNNNNNNNNNNNNNNNNNNNNNNNNNNNNNNNNNNNNNNNNNNNNNNNNNNNNNNNNNNNNNNNNNNNNNNNNNNNNNNNNNNNNNNNNNNNNNNNNNNNNNNNNNNNNNNNNNNNNNNNNNNNNNNNNNNNNNNNNNNNNNNNNNNNNNNNNNNNNNNNNNNNNNNNNNNNNNNNNNNNNNNNNNNNNNNNNNNNNNNNNNNNNNNNNNNNNNNNNNNNNNNNNNNNNNNNNNNNNNNNNNNNNNNNNNNNNNNNNNNNNNNNNNNNNNNNNNNNNNNNNNNNNNNNNNNNNNNNNNNNNNNNNNNNNNNNNNNNNNNNNNNNNNNNNNNNNNNNNNNNNNNNNNNNNNNNNNNNNNNNNNNNNNNNNNNNNNNNNNNNNNNNNNNNNNNNNNNNNNNNNNNNNNNNNNNNNNNNNNNNNNNNNNNNNNNNNNNNNNNNNNNNNNNNNNNNNNNNNNNNNNNNNNNNNNNNNNNNNNNNNNNNNNNNNNNNNNNNNNNNNNNNNNNNNNNNNNNNNNNNNNNNNNNNNNNNNNNNNNNNNNNNNNNNNNNNNNNNNNNNNNNNNNNNNNNNNNNNNNNNNNNNNNNNNNNNNNNNNNNNNNNNNNNNNNNNNNNNNNNNNNNNNNNNNNNNNNNNNNNNNNNNNNNNNNNNNNNNNNNNNNNNNNNNNNNNNNNNNNNNNNNNNNNNNNNNNNNNNNNNNNNNNNNNNNNNNNNNNNNNNNNNNNNNNNNNNNNNNNNNNNNNNNNNNNNNNNNNNNNNNNNNNNNNNNNNNNNNNNNNNNNNNNNNNNNNNNNNNNNNNNNNNNNNNNNNNNNNNNNNNNNNNNNNNNNNNNNNNNNNNNNNNNNNNNNNNNNNNNNNNNNNNNNNNNNNNNNNNNNNNNNNNNNNNNNNNNNNNNNNNNNNNNNNNNNNNNNNNNNNNNNNNNNNNNNNNNNNNNNNNNNNNNNNNNNNNNNNNNNNNNNNNNNNNNNNNNNNNNNNNNNNNNNNNNNNNNNNNNNNNNNNNNNNNNNNNNNNNNNNNNNNNNNNNNNNNNNNNNNNNNNNNNNNNNNNNNNNNNNNNNNNNNNNNNNNNNNNNNNNNNNNNNNNNNNNNNNNNNNNNNNNNNNNNNNNNNNNNNNNNNNNNNNNNNNNNNNNNNNNNNNNNNNNNNNNNNNNNNNNNNNNNNNNNNNNNNNNNNNNNNNNNNNNNNNNNNNNNNNNNNNNNNNNNNNNNNNNNNNNNNNNNNNNNNNNNNNNNNNNNNNNNNNNNNNNNNNNNNNNNNNNNNNNNNNNNNNNNNNNNNNNNNNNNNNNNNNNNNNNNNNNNNNNNNNNNNNNNNNNNNNNNNNNNNNNNNNNNNNNNNNNNNNNNNNNNNNNNNNNNNNNNNNNNNNNNNNNNNNNNNNNNNNNNNNNNNNNNNNNNNNNNNNNNNNNNNNNNNNNNNNNNNNNNNNNNNNNNNNNNNNNNNNNNNNNNNNNNNNNNNNNNNNNNNNNNNNNNNNNNNNNNNNNNNNNNNNNNNNNNNNNNNNNNNNNNNNNNNNNNNNNNNNNNNNNNNNNNNNNNNNNNNNNNNNNNNNNNNNNNNNNNNNNNNNNNNNNNNNNNNNNCCACGUCAUCAGUGAAUAGUACGCGGUUUGACCACGUGGAUGAACAGUAACACAAUUUGACCCGGAUGAACGGUAACGCGGUUUGGUUGAAAAUAAUCUUGUGUGUUGCAUGUACCGUACGUGAGAUUUUUGGUCCACUGAUAUGCUGCCACGUCAUCGAUCAAUAGUGCAUAAGAAUUUUAGUCCAACAAGAUCGUGACACCUCAUCAGUCAAUGCCACAUCAUCGGUCAAUGCCACCUCAUCGAUCCGUCUAUGUGAACAGUGUCGUGAACAGUAACGUAGACAGUACCGUACAUGUGAAUAGUACCGUACAUGUGAACAAUGCCAUUUUUCCUUUUAUGCUCCUCCUAAGGUUUUCGACCGUCCUGAGUUCAAAAGUGAUGUCCGUUUUACCGUCUGAUCUCUCGUUUAUUGUGAAAUGACUAUGACGCCCCUAAAAUACAUAAAAUACUUAAUUAAAAUAAAACACACAAUUAAAUUACAAGAAGCUUAAACACAUAAAAGUAAGGGUUGUUAGUAAGACGUGAAAUGUAAAAUGAUGAUUUUCUCCUUUAUAAAUAUGCAUUUUCUAACACUCAACAAUCCCCUUUAUACUCAAGGAAAUGCUCUUUCAACACUCUUGAAGAUGCUCUUAACUCUCACAAUUUGGGAUGCUUUACUCUCUCGAAAUGAAGAUCUAUUUAUAGUGAAUGAGUGACCUUGAACUUUAAGAAUUGCAGUCCAAAAUCCAGUGCAAUAGCCACCAUUUCCAUUUACGAAUAUUGACAAAUAAAGCAUGAAUUACUGACUAUUCAUAAUGGUGAAAGAUCACGUGAGAAUUUUCUGCCAAAUUUCAUUUGCAUGCAGUAAAGUCAUGCACACUUUGUCAAAAACUUAUGCGUGCAAUUUGCUGCCAUCUUCAAUUUUCAACAACAUCACUGUAUAACAUUAAUUGAAUAAACAAAUUUGUCAAACAAUUUUACUAUUUCACUUUCACGCUUUAAUAAUUACCCUUAUUCAAGUCAAUAUUUCAACAAAGGGUUGUGGUUGAUUUUAAAACAAAAAAAUUAGUUAAAUAAACAAAAAUAGAGGUUGUAAUUUUUUGAAAAAGUUCACAAAAUAGCCUCCUACCUCCUUUUAUUAGCUGCGCCAAAAUAAAGAAAAUUAUCAAAUAAGUGGAUCUUAAAAUAUUUACAAAACAUUCUUUCUUCUUUUUUUUUCAAAAUAGGCUCCAUAUUUAUGUAUUUUAGAGUUUAGAGUUUCACAACAUUUAUUCACCAGUACUGAUAUUUGAACAUUAAGAAUACGCCACUAAAACAAAAGUGAGGUUAUUGUUUGUGAUGGCACUAUUCGUACUACAGUAUUGUCGUUUCUAUCUUGUGGUGCUAGUUGCAAGAAAUAGUGUACUAGCAUGUGGAGUUUAUUUCAUCAUGAUAUUCAAGAAGAAAGAGUUGACACAUUGACACAUAAUAUUUUUAUUUCUUUAUUUCCAUUUUGGGGAAAACAUGGUACAAGUAGAUAAAUAAAGAAAAUCUUCUUGUAUAUCUCAAGAGAUCUUAUCACACUUAUAUAAUGAGCAAGUAAUAAUACACCCAUCUUUUUAUUUAAUUAAAUAUAACAUAGAGGAGUGACAUUGUAAUUCACCAGUGUGGUCAGAAUUUCUCCCAUAUUAAGGGCCAAUAAAAAGAUUAAGAUUGUCAUUCGCAAUGUCAUCAUCAAUAACAUUGAGUAAAUAUCUAAUAUGACAAGUCCCUCUGACUAACUGUUAUUAUCUGAAAAAUUCAUAUUAGAAAACAGAGUCAUUUAGACGCUAUUAAAACAAGAAUUAUAAAUGAUAUUCUACUGAAAUUAAUUGUCCUAAAAACUUGUGUAGGUACUUUCCAUAUUCUUCAAAUCAGAAAGCUCUCUUCUUCCGAAAACAAAGCUUAAAAAGUAUUCAAGUUACUUUUGCGAGUUUUUGCUAGUUUCUGGUUUGGUAGAAUGUGCUUGUAUAGUAUGUGUAUACAUAUAAAAUGAAGUAGCAGAUAAUAGUGCCAAGUUGGGUGAUUGGAGCAUAGUUAAUUAAUUACAAGGAAAACUAAUAGUAAUAAUACAUUAGAAAAAAUUUUGUUUUAUUAAGGAUAUAUUUGAUAUUUAGAUGUAUAUGUAGAGUGAAAUUUCAAUUUUUAAAUUUUAAAGAUGGGUUUAAAAAUCAAAUGGUUUUAGAAAGUAUCUUAGUGGGUUCAAAUAGACCCACCCAAUCAUAGGAUGUGGAAAAAUUAUAUAAUUAGCAUAAUUUUAAAAUGAUAUAUUAGAUAGACAUGAUCCAAAUGCUCAUCUAAUCUAAUCAUUUUUAAGAUUUGCCAAGUUGUUGAAUACAUGUCAUUUUUUUUAAAAGAUGGGGCUCUAAAAACAGCUAGUACAAAACAGAGAGGGGGUAAGCCACCCUAUACAAGUCAUGGUACAGGAGAGGAGUAACACUAAGUGGGGGACUAGAAAGAUGAUGAACACCUAGAGGAAAAGAUAAAGCAUAAUUAGCAACUUAGUCUACUAUGUAGUUCGCCUCACGAUGGACGUGGUUAAUGAUAACAUUCCAAUUACGCUGGAUAAUCUCCUUGAUAGAUUGAAUAAGAGAAGUGUACUUAUUGAUAAUAUCCACAGGCUUGUUAACCAGUUGAGUGAUGCAUAGGCUAUCAAUUUCCACCACCAGACACUUUAUCCCAUGUUCCCAUGCCAGUUUUAAACCUUGAUAUAAACCCCAUAACUCAACCAUCAUAACAAAACAAUGACCUAUAUUCAUUCCAAAACCAAAUAUCCAAACCCCAUUAUGAUCACGAAUUACACCACCAGCACUUGAUGCUCUUGUUCGCUUACAAGCUCCAUCGGUAUUCAACUUACACCAUGGCCAAGUGGGGGCCCUCAACACAAUCCAUCUCCAAAAUCAAUUAGAGAAGUUCAAAGGUUAACAAUGAAAUUCUAGUUAUGCAACCCAAGAGGGGGGUGAAUUGGAAUUCUAAAAAUUAUUCAAUUUAUAAAGAAAAAAACUGAAUGCAAAUAUAAACCAAAUUCAAAGCAAUAACAAAUAAGGUGAUCACAAUAUAAAAAGAUAAGGGAAGAGAGAUUCAAACACAGAGAUUUUUACGUGGUUCGGCCAACCUCGCCUACGUCCAUGCCUCCAAGUUUUCCGGGCUUGAGGAUUCAACAAAGCAAGCCUCAAAGGCUUCAAAUGCUUACACUUGACUUCCAAGGUGUCAAUAACCUUUACAACAAGAGAUUAUCUCAAUCUCUUUAACACAAGUGUAUCCCAACACUUACAAUCACUCAAAACAAAAGAUUACAAAUUUGUUUUGCCUCUCACAAUAUUUAAGAUUACACAAUUAUGCCCAAUAUGUGAAUAGAUGAAGUAAGAAUGUGUUCAAAGCUCUAUGAAGAUUGUAUUCUCGAGUAUAAGCUCAAUAGUCGUGUUGUGAUUAAUCUUGUUUGAAUUUGAAUGAGCUUAUUUAUAUUUGGAGCUGAUAAACUAGCCGUUGCAAACUGUCGGCCCGAAAAUGGUUCGCAGUUAACCAUUAACGGUUAACCGUUUAGGCUGGUCAAAAGUUACCGUUGGGCCAAAUUUCAAAUAAACGGUUUGCCGUUUAGGAUUACCCUUUCGCCAUUAAAUUCCAGAGACCUGCAAGAUGAAUAUCAAUUAUCCGUUUAUAUUAAACGGUUAAGGAUUUGCAUGAAGUGACUUCUCUGGAUAUUAUCGGUUAACCGUUUGUAAUAAAUGGUUCGCCGUUUGUUUCCAGUAACCUGCGAAACAAUUUAGCCUUAUCCGGUUUUGUUAAACGGUGUCAGAAGAGUACAACCUUCAAUUCUGAAUUUUAUCGGUUAACCGUUUAAAUAACCGGUUCACCGUUAAAUUCCAGUAGCCUUCCCAACUUUUUUGUGUUUUCCUUUUUUCUUAAUCGAUUAGAGUUUAUCGGUUAACCGUUUAAAUAACCGGUUCACCGUUAAAUUCCAGUAGCCUUCCUAGCUUUUUUGUGUUUUCCGUUUUUCUUAAUCGGUUAGAGCUUAGGCAAUAUGUUGUUAUCUGGUUUUAAUCGGUUAACCGUUUGUAAUAAAUGGUUCACCGUUUAUUUCUAGAAUCACAUUUUAAACCAGAUUUUGCAGAGAGUCAUUUUCUAAUUUGAAAGUCCAUCUUUUAUGAUUUUUUGGGUCAUGCUGGAUUCUACAGAAGAUUCUGCUGUACGGCCAAGGCGGAUGUAUGAAUAUGAUUGGAAUGAUUAUAAGGCUUUCAUUUAUUAAAGAAUAACUCCAACAUUUUAAUCAAAAAAACCAUUUAAAGUAUGUUAUCAUCAAAAUCAAUAUUAUUAACAUAUUCAUGUUAACAAACAAGAAGAGUUGCAGCCUUGAACCAAUUUAUUUCACGAGCAACAGAUAAAUGCCUACCAUUCUUCAAAACCCUUAGAGGGGGGAAAAGAAAUGAUAUGGACAGAGGAAUGUGAGAAAGCCUUCCAAGAGUUGAAGAGGUAUCUGAGAAGUCCUCCAAUUCUUUCUAAACCAAUACCAGGAGAAUAUCUUUACUUAUACCUGGCCAUUUCAGACUCAGUAAUAAGCUCAGUAUUGAUAAGAGAAGAAAGUAAGGUGUAGAAGCCAGUCUAUUAUGUGAGCCAUACAUUCCUAAAUGUCGAGACAAGGUAUCUAGCUAUAAAAAAAAUGGCUUUAGUGCUAGUACUAUCUGCCAGGAAAUUAAGGCCUUAUUUCAAAGCUCACACCAUAGUGGUGCUAAAAUACUAGACCUUGAGGCAGCUAAUGCAACAACCAGAGGUGUCGGGAAGGUUGGUGCAGUGGGCUGUAGAACUGGGAGAGCAUGAUAUUAGGUACCGACCUAAAACAAUAAUUAAAGGGCAAACAAUUGUUGAGUAUUAGAAAGUGUAUAUUUAUCAAGGAGAAAAUCGUUAUUUUACACUCCUAGUUUCACUAACAUCCCCGCCGUACAGCAGACUAACAUCCCCACUUUUAUGUAUUUAAGUCUCUUGUGAUUUAAUUAUGUGUGUUGUAUUAUAAUAAAUUAUUUUCUGUCUUUUAGGGCCAUCAUGGUCAUUUCACAAUGAAUGAGAGAUCAGACAGUAAAACGAACAUCACUUUUGAACUCAGGACAGUCGAAAACCUUAGGAGGAGUAUAAAAGGAAAAAUGGCACUGUUCACAUGUACACUACUGUUCAUGUUACUGUUCACAUAUACGGAACGAUGAUGUGGCAUUGACCGAUGACGUGACAUUGACUGAUGAGGUGUCACGAUCCUAUUGAACUAAAAUUCUUAUGUACUGUUGAUCGGUGACAUAGCAGCAUGUUAGUGGACCGAAAAUCGUGCGUACGGUACAUGCAUAUACACGGAAUUAUUUAUAACCAAACCAUGUCACUAUUCAAGUCGCCUCACUGUUCAUUUCGCGUUACUAUUCAAACCGCGUAUUGUUGACACGUGGCGCAAUCCUGAGCGUCCAAAUUAUUUUUAAUUUUAUGGUCAUGAUUCACUCAGUGUAUCUAUAAAAAGAUGGCUCCCCCCCUCACAUAAUUUGACACCCCUAAAUUCAUGUUUGACCUCCAUUUUUUGUAAUUCCUUCUCCAUCUUGUAUUUUCUAUGUAUUUUAAUAAAUUCUGAUUUUACCCCUAAUUUAAUUAUAAAUAGCCAAUUUUCUUUCAAGCUUGGGUUGAAGGUGAAGUCUCAACAUGGGCCAUGGGUUUUAUUUGGUAAAUUUACUUUCUCAUCCCCUCUAAUUAAUGUGCAUGCUUUGACUUUUCACCGACAGAUAAUAACAAUCUUGUCUAGAUACCGCACUGGUUUAACCGGCUCCCUAAUAUAAGGUUAUUACUAUUUGACACGAUAAGCCCUUAGCACCAUUAUAUAAGGUUAUUACUAUUUGACACGAUAAGCCCUUAGCACCAUUUUGAUUAGAGUGUGGUUCAUGAGGUGUGGAAACCCCCCUCAUAAUUUAAUUGGCACUAAUAAAGAAUAUUAAGCCCAUGGUGCAUGUUGAUGCAGAUCUAGAUACCAAAGUGCUUCAAUUUUAAUAGAUUUAACUUCAAUUUAUUCCCACCAUUUUAAUUUAAAUUUUAGGACAAUCUAAAUCACUUCCACCACAAAUCCAAUCACCACUUAGAAAAUUAACUCUACACAUAAUUAAAAUUCAUCUCCUCAUGGGAUCGACACUCGUUACCAUUAAUCUAGUUUACAAUAGAUUCGUGCACUUGCGAGUUCAAUAAAAUUUGCACAACAAGUUUUUGGCGCCGUUACCGAGGAGGUAAGUUAUUUUAAUUAGUAGAAUUAAUUUUUGUAAAUAAUUUCUUUUCGUUGUUUUCUUGUAAUUUUUUUCUUAUUAAAAAAAAGAAAAAAAGUGAAUAUGUAUUUAAAGGUAAGAAUUUCUUUUCUUUUUCUCUUCUUUAAAAUUCUGUAAUUUAAUUUUCAAGUUAUUUUUCUUUGUAAUUUAUUUUUAGUUAAUUUAUUUCACGUAUUUUUUUAGUGUGUUUUCAUAAAAAGGUUGUAACAGCGUGAUAAGGUUAGUACCGUAAUUUCUUUCUUCUUUAUUUUUAUUAAUUUUGUUCUCGUUUCUUUUUGUAUUCUUUGCAUGCAUGGUCAAAGGUCACUAUUACCUAAUCUUGAGCCUAUAGAUUUUGAACUGGAAAAAACGCUUCGCACGCACAAACACGUUGCAAUUAAAAAUAAAAUUGAAAUGGAUUUGCAACAACAAGAAGCACUACAGGAGAGGCCAUUUAAGGACUACUUCAGUCCCUUAGUUAACUUGAGCACAUCAUGCAUAAGAUACCCAAAUGUAGCUGUUAGGAGUUUUGAGUUAAAAUCUAGCGUGCUAAAUUGUCUCCCAACAUUUUAUAGCCUAGAAAAUGAGGACCUAUAUAAUCAUCUGAAUGAUUUUCAUGCUAUUUGUCAAACUUUUAAAUAUGAGAAUUUUUCAGAUGAUGAUGUUAAACUCAGAUUAUUCUCAUUUUCUUUAAAGGAUGGAGCUCCUUCAUAUUCAAUACAUUGCCUGCUAAUAGUAUUACAUCAUCAGAAUAAAUGGUAACAAAAUUUUUGAAUAAAUAUUUCCUAGUAGAUAAAACCAAUGUUAUUCGUAGGGAAAUUUCAGAGUUUACCCAGAGAGAAGACGAUCAAUUUUUCAAAGCAUGGGAACGAUUCAAUGGGCUACUUUUGAAGGGUCAACAUCAUGGGUACGAGAAAUGGCACCAAUGCCAAUAGUUUUUGGAGGGAUUAUUACCGCAUGUACAAGAAUGGCUAAUGGCAACAAGUGGAGGAGAGCUAAUGUCAAAAAGUGCAUAAGAGAUUUAGGAUUUCUUCCAGCGACAAGCGGAUAAUUCCCAACAACGGAGUCGAUCACUCAGGAAUACUAAAAGAAUUAAAGGAGUGAAUGAGGUUCACAUUGGCGAGUCAAGUUCGGAAAUUAAAGAAGUCAAAGCGAUAAUUGAAGGUCUUUCCCAACAAAUAGUAUCAUUAAUGACUACUAAAUCAACAGAGUCAUAUGACCAUGACUCAUACUCAGAUCAAGCCAAUGCCAUAGGUGUAAUGAGAAAACCAUUAAACCAUAACCCAUAUUCUAACACAUAUAACCCUGGAUGGAGAGGCCACCCCAAUUUUUCUGGUCUCAAGGAUUCCAACAGAAUAGACCAGCAACUCCAGCUCCACCAAUGCAACCAAUUCCUCAAGUUCCUCAAGCCUUUCAGCCACCAUUUAGACCAUAUAAUCAGAACUAGAAUUACUCUCAACCCAGACCAUAGGAGGAUGCAUUCCAAAAUUUCAAAAAUCUUACUCACUCCACGAUUGAGCAACAGAACCGCACCAUUGAUGAACUACGAAAUGAGAUGAGAGCAUGCUUCAUCUCACAAACCCUAUUAGUUUCAAACCUCAAGAAGAUGGUGGGAUAGCUUGCCUCUUCAGUUUAAACUUUGGCAAUGACUGUUGAGAAAGACAAAUUUCCAAGUCAACCAGUGUCUAAUCCUAAAGGAGUGCAUGAAGUAAGUGUCAGUUCACCACAGCAGCAUGGAGAGGUCAAAGCCAUCAUGACCUUGUGAAAAGCGAAAGAAGUCGACAACAAAAUGGAGAUGCCAGUGACAAAAACAACUCAAAUUGUACCUGUGAAUUUUGAGGACCCAUCAUUAGAGGAGAAAAAAGAAACCAACCCACGAGAAUACGUUCCUAAUGCUCCAUUUCCUCAGAGGUUAGCUAAAGGAAAGAAGGGAAAAUCUAUAGAUGAGAUUUUUGAAAUCUUUAAACAGGUAAGUGUUAAUAUCCAUUUGCUUAAUGCUAUAAGACAAGUGUCAACUUAUGCCAAGUUUCUUAAAUACCUUUGUACUAAAAAGAGAAACAUUCACGUUAAAAAAAAGACAUUUUUAACAGAAAAUAUUAGCUCUAUACUCCAACAUAAAAUUCCUCUAAAAUACAAAGAUCCAGGCUCCCCCACUAUCUCAUGUAGUAUAGGGAACUACACAAUUGAGAAUGCUUUGUUGGACUUAAGAGCUAGUGUAAAUCUAUUGCCUUACUCAAUAUUUGUGAAACUUGGACUGGGAGAAUUACACCCAACUCUAGUUGUGUUACAGCUUGCAGAUCGGUCCACGAAAAUAGCUCGUGGUAUUGUGGAGGACGUACUUAUCCAGGUAGACAAGUUUAAUUUUCCUGUUGAUUUCAUUGUAAUUGACACUUAACCAGUCCAGGAUUCAAGGAAGCACAUCCCCAUUAUCCUAGGCCAGCCUUUCUUGGCAAUUACCGAUGCUUACAUUUAAUGCAGGACUGAAAAUAUGCAGUUGUCCUUUGGCAACAUGACUAUGGAGCUAAACAUCUUCAACAUUACCAAACAACCUCUCAAUGCAAAUGAUGGAAUUGUUGAUGUGGAUUUAAUAGAAGAAAUAGUUGAUAAUACUUUUUUUCAAACCUUAGUGAUGACCCUUUACAAACAUGUUUAACUUAUAUUAGUUUUGACUUUGAUAUUGACAGAUCAGUCGAUGAGGUCAACGCUCUACUUGACUCAACACCAUCCAUGGACACUAAUAAAUGGAAGUCAAUAGUUCAACAACUAGCACCAUCAGAGAAAAAACUCAACCCAUCAUCAGAAUCAUCACCGAAACUUGAGCUCAAACCAUUACCCAACACUUUUGGAAUAUGCGUUCUUGGAAGAAGAAAGCACUGUGCCAGUAAUCAUUUUCAUCAUCCCUAAAUGAUGAACAAAAGAGUAAGUUGUUGGAAGUUUUAAAAGAGUACAAAGGAGCAUUAGGAUGGACCAUAGCCGACAUAAAAGAUAUAAACCAAGUAGACUGCAUGCAUUGCGUUCACCUUGAUGAAAAUGUUAAAUCUACUAGGGAAAUGCAACGUCGAUUGAACCCUAACAUGAAAGAAGUUGUUAGAACUGAAGUCCUUAAGCUAUUAGAUGCAUAUAUCAUUUACCCAAUUUCUAAUAGUUCAUAGGUCAGUCUUGUGCAAGUUGUCCCCAAAAAGUCAGGAGUCACAGUAGUUACCAAUGCUGAUAAUGAAUUGAUACCCAGUAGAGUGACUACAGGGUGGCGUGUAUGCAUUGAUUAUAGAAAAUUGAAUUUUUUUUCAUACGUAAAAACCAUUUUCCUUUACCAUUUAUGGUCAAACGCUUGAUAUAUUAGCAGGCCAUAAAUUUUAUUGCUUUCUAGAUGGCUACUCAGGAUAUAAUCAGAUUCCCAUAACACCAAAAGAUCAAGAAAAGACCACAUUCACUUGUCUUUUUAACACUUUUGCAUAUAAGAGGAUGCCAUUUGGAUUAUAUAAUGCACCUGCUACAUUUCAACGAUGCAUGUUAAGCAUUUUUUCUGAUAUGGUUGAACGAUUCCUUGAAGUCUUUAUGGAUGACUUUUCUAUCUUUUGUGAUUCAUUCGAUCAAUGUUUAAAUCAUCUAACACUAGUUCUGCAGAGAUGUAUAGAGAAGAACUUAGUCUUCAAUUGGGAGAAGUGUCAUUUUAUGGUAAAAUAAGAUAUUGUUCUCGGUCACAUCAUUUCGAGCAAAGGCAUUAAGGUUGAUAAAGCCAAUGUGGAUCUCAUUUCCAAUUUUCCUUCACCUAAAACACUCAGAGAAGUAAGAUAUUUCCUUGGGCAUGUUGAUUUUUAUAAACGUUUGAUUAAAGAUUUUAGCAAAGUUUCUAGACCCUUAUGCAAUCUACUUGCUAAGGAUGUACCUUUUGUCUUUGAUGAUUCAUGUCUUGUGACAUUUGAAAAACUAAAGCAGUUGUUAACAUCAUCACCCAUCAUUCAGCCCCCAAACUGAUGCAUCUGAUUAUGCAGUAAGAGCAGUAUUAGGACAAAAAGUUGAUUGAAUUCCCCAUGUUAUUUACUAUGCUAGUAUAACAUUGAAUGAUGCACAGUUGAACUAUUCAGCCACUGAAAAAGAAAUGCUAGCAGUAGUAUUUGCAUUAGAGAAAUUUUGAUCUUAUCUCAUUGGUUGUAAUAUAAUUGUAUUCACAUAUCAUGCUGCUCUUAAAUAUCUUCUCACAAAGAAAGAUGCAAAAGUUAGACUAAUUCGUUGGAUGUUACUUUUGCCGGAAUUUGACUUAGAAUUCAAAGAUAAGAAAUGCAUAGAAAAUGUUGUGGCUGACCAUCUCUCCCGUCUCAAUUUUGACAUAAUUACAAAACCAUUAACAUUGAAUGAGUCAUUUUCAGAUGAACAAUUGAUGAGUGUGGACGUAUUACCAUGGUAUGCUGAUAUAAUUAAUUAUCUUGUUACAAGUCAACUUACAAAGCAUUGGACCAAGUAAGACAAGGCCAAAUUUUUUAUAGAAAUAAAGAAUUUCUUUUGGGAUGACCCUUAUCUGUUCAAGUAUUAUGCAGAUCAAAUUGUUAGACGAUGGGUCCCAGAAAAUAAAUUUCAAAAUAUCCUUUCAUUCGGCCAUGAACAAGCUUGUGGAGGUCAUUUCAGCGCUAGGAAAACAACUACUAAAGUUUUACAAUGUGGUUUCUAUUAGCCAACUAUAUUUCGAGAUGCCUACACUUUUUGCUCUUCAUGUGAUAGGUGUCAACGAAUGGGGAGCAUUACACGAAGGAAUAUAGUGGCACUAAAUCCAAUUUUAGUGGUUGAGAUUUUUUAUGUGUGGGGUCUCGACUUCAUGGGACAUUUUCCCCCUUCUUUUGGCUAUCAAUACAUAUUGAUUGUUGUUGACUACAUAUCGAAAUGGUUAGAAGUUAUCCAUGUAGAACCAAUGAUCACAAGGUGGUGAUAGGAUUUUUGAAAAGUAACAUUGUUUCACACUUUGGAUUCCCUCGAGCAAUAAUCAGUUAUGGUGGUACCAACUUUUACAACAAAUCAGUCAAAACUCUUUUGACAAAGUAUUCCAUCACUCACAAAGUGACGACCCCAUAUCAUCCGCAAACCAGUGGCCAAGUUGAGAUCUCCAAUCGGGAAAUAAAGUACAUAUUAGAAAAGACGGUGAGGCCAGACGGAAAAGAUUGGUCAUUAAGACUCGAUAAUGCAUUAUGGGCAUAUAGAACAACUUUCAAAACCCCGAUUAGGAUGUCACCCUACAGGCUAGUGAAUGGAAAAGCUUGCCACCUACCUGUGGAACUCAAGCAUCGUGCGUACUGGGCCAUCAAGAAAUUCAACUUUAACAUGCAGCAAGCUAGCUUAGAAAGAAGAUUAUAGCUGGCAGAACUUGAAGAAAUUCGCAAUGAUGCAUACGAAAAUGCCAAGAUUUACAAGCAAUGAAUGAAAGUCUUUCAUGACAAGAAAAUUAUGAGAAACUCUUUCACUCCAGUUUAGAAAGUGCUUUUAUUCAAUUCUCACUUGCACCUAUUCCCAGGCAAAUUACGCUCUCGAUGGUCUGGCCCUUUUAUUAUUCACGCUGUUUUUUCACAUGGAGCAAUUGAAAUUAAGGACCCAAAGAAUGGUGUCACUUGUAAAGUUAAUGGUCAGAGAUUAAAGCCAUAUCUAGAGUACCAACUACAUGGAGAGGAUACCGAAAUAAAUUUGAGCAACCCAUAAAAUUUGAAUUGAGAUUUUUCUUUUUUUUCGGUGAUUUAAUUUUUUUUUUUUUUUCUAUUCUUUUGCUAAUUGAAAUUAUUUUUACAUAAGCGUGUUUUUGUAACCAUUAUGUUUUCUUUUAUCAUUGUUAAUCAUGAGUGCUUCAGCUGGACAAUUCUUCUUAGACCUUCUUGGACGACUUCAACGUGUAAAAUCUCAUCUCAGAAGCCGGAUUCAAUUUUGUAAAACACAUCAUAUUUGGGAUGUACAACCACCAGAGUUAGUAUCCCAUGUUAAGGCUUUAGAAAGACAAUUCAAAGACAUUGAGGGAGGUAUCUUCGACAUCCAGUUGGAGCUUGAGGUAAAUUCAAUAAGAGGACGAUUGUAAUUUUCUUUGUGUGUUUUAGUUUGUUACCCCGGUUAAGUGGUGGAUAACGGUACUAUGUGAUAUGUGAUUUUUUUAGAAAAAUAAAAUUAUGUGAUUUUUUUAACAUUGGAUGACAUGAUGACUUUCAAAUUUUAGUAUUUUUCUGCUGUACGGCCAAGGCGGAUGUACGGUAUCAGAAUGCCCUCCUUACAAUCUAUAAAGCUCGGUCCGAACUUAUGCGAUUGCUUGUGAGGAAUAACAUACAUGCUGACAUCCGCUGGUUAAUUAAGGCCAAAGUACGAUUGGCAAGUGAGUAACCUCCUAAAUUUAUUGCAAACAUGCUUGGUUGUGGUAAAGGAAAUUACGUAAGAAAACGAAAAGCUCGAAAACUUUUUGUUGCUUGUCAUAAGUAUGCUAGAAUGAGAUGUGAUAAAAAACUAUGUUAUUUAGGAAUGGUGUCUAAUAACAGCGAAGAUAAGAUUCAAUUCAUUAGGGAUGGCUUGAAUAAGGAGCCAUUGGAUGAUAUCCGUUUGUCUCUUGAAACGCAUCCCAGUGGAUAUGUACAAGGAGCAAUUCUCCAGUUAUGGCCAUUAUUCCAAAAAGAGUGUGCACGAUAUAGUCUCAAGAAUCUGACUAUAAAUGACCUUGUUUUUCAGUUUAUAAGAAAACUGGAUGGGAAGCCUAUUCUCAACCGAUAGAGGGCGUUCAAGCCGUUUCUGGACGUAAAACCAGAAAAAGAUGUGAGCCACAAUCACAACUAUCUGUAAAUAUCCUUUUACUUCACUUUUGUUUUAUCAUUUGCAUUAUUGUCUUUAAUAAUUUUAUUUUAUCAUUGUUUGUUUUUUUUCCUUUUCACUGUUUCUUUUUUGACUCUCGAGCCAUGUGCUUUACACAUUAAUUGACACAGACAUGCUACCUCAUACACAACUGUGACCCACUGUCACCAAGAUUCUUAAAUAUGAUUUUUUGUUAAGCACUCACAAAUUACUUUUGAGAAGUAUCCCAAUGGUAGCUAUCCCAAUUUAAAUAUGAUUUUUUGUUAAGCACUCACAAAUUAUUUUUGAGAAAUAUCCCAAUGGUAGCUACUCCCAAUAAACAAUUUAAGAACAUUUGUGUGCUUUCUCGAUUUAACUAUGGCAAACACAAAGAGUUCGUUGAGGCAGCCAUAGAUCUUGGUCGAAGCAUAGCAGAGAGAAAAUUAUCACUUGAUGUAUGGAGGAGGUAACCAAGGGUUAUCAAAAUUGGUCUCAGAAGCUGCUUUUGUCAGAGGAAGCCAAGUGUUAGGCAUCAUCCCAAGAGACCUAAAACCUUUGGGCAGUUUGUCUGACUCACCGACUGAAGAAGAGUUAGUCAUCUUAGGUAUGCAAGAGAGAAUAAUUGAAAUGCUAAAUCAUGCUGAUGCUUUUAUUUUCUUACCAAGAGAUCUUGCAACUCUAGAUGCACUUAUCACAUUAGCAUCUUAGGCCCAUCUGAACAGUCACCAGAAACCCAUCGAUUUGUUAAAUGUCAAUAACUUUUAUGAUGACUUUAUCGUAUUUCUUAACCAUGCAAUAAAAAAUUAUUUCAUUCCUUCCACAGUGAAAAAAAAUUCCAUUUGUGCUCAUACUCCUGAUGAGCUACUUGAUCUGUUACAAGCUUAUCGACCAGAGCUAGAUCCCAGGACCUUGGUGUUAAAGUGUCCAAAUAAUGAUGGUAACAGUAGCCGCAGUAAGAAGUACAAAUUAAAUUUAACUCUCCACUUGUAAAUAUUUUCUUCUGUGUUGCACCACCCAGGUGAUGUCUUCUAAACUCUACUUCUUUCCUUUAAAACAUUGAGAACAAUAUUUCGUUCUGGUUGGGGGGAGGGAAUAGUUGACAAUAAUGGAAUCUUGGUUAAGUUUUUAUUGAUUUUUUGUUGUAAAGACUAACCGUGGCUAACUUUUUGUGUUGAAGAUGGCUGAAUAUGGCGUGUAGUGACUCUAGAAACGCAUCUUCUUGGUUUGGAAGUAAAAAAAAACAAAAUACAAAAAAAAAAAUCCAGACAUUUUCUUUUUCUUUAUUAAGUUUUGAUAAUCAUUUUUUUUUCUAACUUCUUCUUUCUAAUUUCUCCUUUAUAAAUAUACACUUUCAAAUUUUUGAGUCGAAAAUGGCUGAAUAUAAAGUGUAGUGACUCUAGAAACAUGCUCUUCUUAGUUUAAAAAAAAAUUUCCAGACAUUUUCUUUUCAUGUUUAGAAUAUGUUUGGGGGUAGAAUGUCGUUUGAAAAAUAAAAUUAUGUGAUUUUUUUAGAAAAAUAAAAUUAUGUGAUUUUUUUAACAUUGGAUGACAUGAUGACUUUCAAAUUUUAGUAUUUUUAUUAUCUUUGGUCUUAAGGGAUGUUAUGCCAUGUUUGCUACUCUACAUGUUGAUGUUGGAGACAAAUGUGAGUUGCAUGAAGGAAUGCCCAUGUCAUAAUGAAUACCAAUGAGUUUUUGAGCCUAUCAUUUUUCUUAGAGAGUAACCAUUUUUGCCCAUUAUUCAUACAACUUAGCAGUUUAUUAUUUUAUACACGAUCUCUAGAUUUCUUUUGAGUUAAUCCUUUAAAAAAAUUGUAAAAUAAAAAAUAUAUAUAAUAAUAAAAGAAAAAAGUGUGUUGCUACAUCUGAAGGUCCAUCUAACCAGUAGAUAUGGAAGAUUAUUUAGAGCCCUAAAAGAUUAUGGAAAUGUCAUCUUUAACCCGUUUGAGCAUUUCUAGCCAUCCCUUUUGUGAAAUUUCCAUAGUUAACCCUUUUGAGCCUUUCAUAUAAAAAAAAAUAUUUCUUUGUCAACUUAUCAUCUUGACCUACUCCGAUUUAGAGUAUUACCCGAUGUUUUAUAAGUUUCAUCACCUAUUUAUGUUUGAAAAAAAUGUAAAUAAUUAUUUUGUUCAGAAAAGUUGUGCCACACAAAAAAAAAACAAAACAAAUUAGUUAAAAAAAGAGAAAAAAUAACAAUAAUAAUAAAUAAGCGAAAUUCACCUUGUAAUUUCUAAAAGAUCUCUACUUUUCUCAAACAUAUACUUUGCUUUCCUUAUUUUUCCUCAUUUGUUAGCCAUAUCCCUACCCUACGUUACAUCCUAAUAAAAGUCCUUCUUGAUUUUAGGAAUUUAUAGUCUGAAGUAGAAGCUAGUUAUAUGGCUAAAAAGAUGUAGUGAUGCAUAAAAAAAAAUUAAAUAAAUAAACACAUUGGGUUAACUAGCAUUUUGUUUGACUUAAGAUCGUGUUAUUUUUUAGCUGUGGGCAUAUUCCUUUCAUCUUGGUGAGAGUGUGUGAUAUCACUUCUUUAUUAUUUUCUCUCAAUUUACCAUUCAUUGGAGUGACUAUUUUUAUUGAGUUUAAUUGCUUUGUGAGAGUGUCACUACUACCGGUGAGAUUUUGGGGUUUGACAUGUCAUUCUUGAAAGUGGCUUGAUUACUAUAGCUAUGACAAAGUCUGCUGGACUGAUGCAUGUGGAUGGUUGAUGUGGGAGUGAUAUUUCUUUAGACUGGAGAUAAUGCUUAUACUUUUAUUUGAUUGGUAUCAUUAGUUUGACUGAAUAAAUACGAUUGUUUUUAUAAAAAAAAUCAUUUUGGGUUUGAAUUUUAUUUUUGCUUAAUUUUCUAGGGACUAGCAAUAAGCUGGUUGGGGGGUGCGUUGAGUGUUAGAAAAUGUAUAUUUAUAAAGGAAAAAAUCAUCAUUUUACACUCCAAGUUUCACUAACAUCCCCACUUUUAUGUAUUUAAGUCUCUUGUGAUUUAAUUAUGUGUGUUGUAUUAUAAUUGUGAGGUACAAUUUUCUCACUUAAAUACAAUAUAUUUUAUUUUAAGCUAACAAGCCCCUAAAGUUUAUAAUAUUUAAUUUUAAGGAAUGAUGACAUAAGCAAUGACAUAAGAAAUGAUGACAUAAACAAUGACAUAAGUGAUGAUGUAAGUAGAAAUAUGUAGAGAAAGUUAAGAAUUCUAGAAUUUAUUUAGUUAUUUAUGAAGGUUAAUCUUAUUUAUGAAGGUUAAUCUCAACCAUUGAUCAAGAGUUAUGGUGGCAAAAUCCUAACCAUCCAUUAGCCUUAAGAAAUUCUAUAAAUACCCCCCACCACCUCUUAUUUUCAAUGCAACCUAGAAAUUUCAUUUCCUUCUACUCUAAGUCAUAAUAAUAAGAGUAGAGGAAUCCUUAACUUAGGAAGAUCUAGAGAAGUCAAGAUCAAGAGGUAAGUAACACUUCAAUUGUAAUGUAAGGACAAAAUUCUUUUCAUAUAUAAGUUCAGUUUUAACAAUUCUUUUAUAUUAUGACGGCUAUUACAGUGUGACUAGUUAUAUCUUUAUAUGGUCGGCCCUGCCGCCUAAUAUGUAAUGUUAUGGUCGGCUCUGCCGCCUAAUAGGUGAGGUUAUGGUCUGUGAUAACUCUAGGAAAUGAGAGUUAUUACAUCAAUUCUAGACUUGAAUCAAGAUCAUUUAGAGAACAAAUAAGGUAUUUUUAUUACAUUUUGAUUACAUUUUGUUUAAACAUUCAUUUUAGUUGAGUAUUAAUAAGUUUUGUUUAAAUCAUCGUAAUUUGUGCUAAAAACAGAUGUAUAAUUGUAGGUUCGUGGAAAGUCUUAAUUCAUAAGGGGAUGUUGAGACAUCAGAUGAGCAAGAUGAGGAAAGAAGAUGGCCACAAAAAGAAGAAAAGCACAAUCGGGAACAAUGCUGUGCUAUUGAGGAUGUUAGAGCAGCCUGUGCUGUAGCAAUCUGGGAGCAAUGCGGGAGAAAACUUAGGCGCGGGUCAACGCAUGUUUAGUAAUUUAACGCAUGCAUGCUAAUGGGCUUGUGUUUACCCUAAUUUGCAAUAUAAAAGGGAGGCAUGCACCACAUAGAAACGCGGCAAGAAAGGGAAUUAUCAUUAGAUUAAUUACAAGGAACGAAGAAGAAGAAUAUCAUAAUUGAAGAUUGUUGUUUCGGCAACAUUGGAGAAUCGUGCAGAAUUACUUGGCCUUGAUUUUCACCGUGCUCAACUUAUAUUUAUCUUUUUCCACUAAUUGAUUUGAUGAAUUCCGAGAUCAAUAUGUUUAUGUUUAUUUUUCUCAUCCAGAUUAUGAACUAAAUUCACUUGUAGUUGAGUGACAAAUAAUCCAAUGGGUUCUUGACUGUUCUUAUAUGUUGUUGUGGUAUUACUGUAGCAUUUUACUCUAAUAGUUUUUAUUAAUAUAACUGCUAUUUCGGUUGACCACCCAUUUAAUAGUUCCAGUUAAGAUAGAGCAGCAAAAGGGCAUGUAUUAGCGGACAUUAUUAGAGUAUUACUUGUUCUUAAAUCGAGUUUUCUAGAUUAUGUUAUCUUGAAUCCCAUAAGGCCAAUACUUGAAGUUAAGAUUUGUGACACUCUAGACAUAGGUGUUCACCUUCUAGGGUAGAGAGAUUAAAGGUUAUAAUGUCGUACCAUAAAUAUAUGAGCAACUGGUCAUUGUUAGUAGAUUUAAGGGUGUGAGAUUUCCAAUAUGCGAUAGCUGCGGAUGCAGAUUUAUGCUACCCAUUGCUGCAGCACUUAUUGUAACAACUGGUGCUCAAUUGAUAAACAACAAUCACCCCAUUAGGAGAGUUUUAUCAUUCAACUACUAUACUCUCAAUUGAAUCUUAGACACAUUUAACUUAGUUUAUUUCGUUACAGUAUUGUUUUAUUCCAUCUCUUGCAAUUAUUAGUUAUAAUAUAAUUAUUUGACAAUUGUUUGUUGCGGUCUUUAGUUGAUUUGCACUAUUAUGAUUUCUUUAGCAUUUUGAGUAACAUCAAUCCCUGUGGAGACGAUCUUGAAUACUUAUCACUUUAUUACUUGUUGUGUAUACUUGCACAUUGGCAUUGAUAAUAAUUGAUUAUAUAAAUCAUCCAACAGUCAGCCAUGCCGCCUAAUAUGUGAUGCUAUGGUCGGCCCUGCCCCCUAAUAUGUGAUGUUAUGGUCGGCCCUGCCCCCUAAUAUGUGAUGCUAUGGUCGGCUCUGCCGCCUAAUAUGUUAUAUUUAUACUUAAUUAUGCUAUGGUCGGCUAUGCCGCCUAUACUAAAGACUCUUUUUUUUUUAAUAAUAUUGUGUGUUGAUUUUGUUAUGCAUUGAGAAAUUUCAAAUGUUAAAAGUUGCAUUGGAUGCAUGCAUAUCAUGGACUACAUUAUGAAGAAGACGUUUCAGAAAAUGAAUUUAUGAAAAAUAGGUGAUUGUACUACCAAGUGGCAAAGUUCUAAGGAGGGCAAUCCCUCAAAGCUAAGUUGAAAGAAAUCUUUGGGGGACGGCGAUACGUAACGCCAAAAAGAUCAACUAAUGAGGCCUAAGGGCAUAUUGUUUAAAGAGUAAACGUGCCAGCCUUGUAGUGCAACAUACCUAGGGUCCAAAUAAAGUUGUUUUGUAUUUUUUAAGUUUAUUUUAAGAUAGGAGAGCAGUCAUAUGCUCCAGAGUAAAAGUCCAACAAAAUUGAAAGAUCCAGGGAGUUUUACAAUACCUUGCUCCAUAGGGACUAGGUAUGCUGGCAGAGUACUUUGUGACUUGGGAGCUAGUAUUAAUUUGAUGCCAUUAUCUGUAUUUAAGCAGCUGGGAGUAGGGGAGUGCAGACCAACAACAGUCACUCUGCAAUUAGUUGACAGAUCUCAUGCAUACCCUGAAGGAAAGAUAGAUGAUGUACUGGUGAAGGUUGACAAAUUCAUCUUUCCAGUGGAUUUCAUUGUAUUGGACUUUGAAGCUGAUAAAGAAGAACCCAUUAUACUUGGAAGACCUUUUCUAGCAACUGGAAAGACUCUGAUAGAUGUGCAGAAAAGAGAGCUUACCAUGAGAGCAAAUGAUCAGUAAGUCACAUUUAAUGUACUAGAGGCUAUGAGGAACCCUGAUAAAGUAGAAGAUUGCAAUUUUCUAAGUGUAAUGGAUCUUGUUGUAGCAGACAGAAUGGAUAGAUGCUGCAGUAAUGUACUUGACAAAGUCACCACCUUUGAGGAUGUUGAAGAGGAAGAUGUUGCAGCAAUCCAAACAGAUUGGGUGGACAAACAGCAAUCUGAUAGGCACCACAAGUUUAUUGAACACCUGAAUCUUUCAGACAGGGAAGUAAAAACAACUUUACCAUCUAUUGAAUCACCUCCUAGUUUUGAAUUAAAACUGUUACCUUCACAUUUAAAGUAUGCUUAUCUUGGUCCAAACAACACACUCCCUAUAAUCAUUUCUUCCACUUUGGAUGUAGGUCAAGAACAGAGCCUAGUAGACUUGCUGGGAAAAUAUAGAAGAGCAAUUGGAUGGACCAUGGCAGAUAUAAAAGGGAUAAGCCCAUCCAUAUGUAUGCAUAAAAUCAUGUUAGAAGAUUGUUCCAGCAAUUCGGUGGAGCACCAGAGAAGGCUGAAUCCUAUUAUGAAAAAAGUGGUAAAGAAGGAAAUCAUCAAAUGGUUGGAUGCUGGAAUCAUAUACCCAAUAUCAGACAGUUCAUGGGUAAGCCCAGUUCAAUGUGUUCCAAAGAAAGGAGGGAUAACAGUAAUGGCCAAUGAGAAGAAUGAACUUAUUCCUACAAGGACAGUAACUGGAUGGAGAGUCUGUAUGGAUUACAGGAAGCUCAACAAAGCCACCAGGAAAGACCAUUUCCCACUUCCAUUCAUAAAUCAGAUGUUGGACAGACUUGCUGGAAAACAGUACUACUGUUUCUUAGAUGGGUAUUCAGGCUACAACCAGAUUGCUAUAGCUCUAGAGGAUCAAGAGAAGACUACAUUUACUUGUCCCUAUGGAACAUUUGCUUUCAGAAGAAUGCCAUUUGGGCUAUGCAAUGCUCCAACAACUUUUCAGAGAUGCAUGAUGUCUAUAUUUUCUGAUAUGGUAGAGCAGACUUUGGAAGUUUCAUGGAUGACUUCUCAGUUUUUGGAAAACCAUACAAUGAUUGUUUACACAACUUGAAAGAAGUUCUUAAAAGAUGUGAGAUGGCCAACUUAGUACUCAACUGGGAAAAAUGUCAUUUCAUAGUGCAAGAAGGAAUAGUGCUGGGUCACAAGAUAUCCAAGGAUGGUAUUGAGGUAGACAAAGCCAAGAUAGAGGUAAUAGAUAAACUGCCACCUCCAACUUUAGUAAAGGGUAUUAGAAGUUUUUUGGGUCAUGCUGGAUUCUACAGAAGAUUUAUUAAGGAUUUUUCCAAAGUAGCUAAACCACUGUGUUCAUUGCUGGAGCAUGACAAACUAUUUCACUUUGACAAAGAUUGCCUUCAAGCAUUUGGAGAAUUAAAGAAAGCUCUUAUCACUGCUCCAGUAGUUACAUCUCCAGACUGGACUUUACCAUUUGAAUUGAUGUAUGAUGCUAGUGAUCACUCUGUGGGAGCAGUAUUAGGGCAAAGGAAGGAUAAAGUUUUUCACUCUGUCUACUAUAUAAGCAAAACUCUUACUCAAACUCAGAUCAAUUAUACCACUACAGAGAAAGAGUUGCUAGCAGUAGUAUUUACUUUUGACAAAUUCAGAGCCUACUUAGUAGGCACUAGAGUGACUGUAUACACAGACCAUGCAGCAAUCAAAUAUUUAAUUUCAAAGAAGGAUGCCAAGCCAAGAUUAAUUAAAUGGAUCUUAUUGCUUCAAGAAUUUGAUCUGGAAAUUAAAGAUAGAAAGGAGACUGAGAAUCAAGUAGCAGAUCACCUGUCACGGCUGGAUGCAGACACAAGCACAUUGACCAGCAAAGACAUCACUGAAACUUUUCCUGAUGAACAACUGUUGGUAGUACAGAAAGCACAAAUGCUGCAGCAGUCAGAAUCUCCAUGGCAUGCAGAUUUUGCUAACUAUUUAGUAAGUGGGUUACUACCACAUGAGCUGAAGUUUCAAGAGAAAAAGAAAUUUCUUCAUGAUGUUAGAAGUUAUCAGUGGGAUGACCCACAUUUGUAUAAGCUGUGCUCAGAUAAAGUAAUAAGAAGAUGUGUUGCAACAGGAGAGAUUCCCUAUAUACUGGAGUCAUGUCAUGCUGUAACAUAUGGAGGAUAUUUUGGUGGUCAUAGAACAGCCGCCAAAGUUCUGCAAUCAGGUUAUUACUGGCCUACUAUUUUUAAAGAUGCUUAUGAAUUUGUUAAAUGUUGUGACAGGUGCCAAAGGACAGGGAACAUGACUAAAAGACAGGAAAUGCCAUUGACUAACAUUCUAGAAGUGGAAGUUUUUGAUGUCUGGAGAAUAGAUUUUAUAGGACCCUUCCCACCAUCCUUUGGAAACUUAUAUAUCCUUGUUGCUGUAGAUUAUGUCUCCAUGUGGGUAGAAGCUGCAGCAUUACCUACUAAUGAUGCUAAAACAGUGGUGGCUUUUCUUCAGAAAAAUAUUUUUUCCAGGUUUGGCACUCCUAGAGCAAUUAUUAGUGAUGAGGGCACACAUUUUUGCAACAAAAUCUUUGCUGCAGCAAUGAUGAAAUAUGGAGUCAGACACAAGAUAGCAACAGCAUAUCACCCACAAUCCAAUGGUCAGGCUGAAGUGUCCAAUAGAGAAAUAAAAAAGAUCUUAGAAAAAGUGGUGAACCCCACAAGGAAGGAUUGGUCUUUACACUUGCAUGACUCUCUAUGGGCCUACAGAACAACAUACAAAACUCAACUUGGCAUGUCUCCUUACCGAAUUGUUUAUGGCAAAGCUUGUCAUUUACCACUAGAGCUAGAGCAUAAAGCACAUUGGGCAUUAAAGAAAUUAAACUGGGAUAUGCAUGCUGCAGCAGAGCAAAGGAAACUUCAACUCUAUGAGCUUAAUGAAUUACGGCUAUUUUCAUAUGAAAAUGCAAGAAUCUAUAAAGAGAGGACCAAACACUGGCACAAUAAGCAUAUUCAGCAUAGGAAAUUCCACUCUGGUCAAUUAGUGUUGCUCCACAAUACAAGACUAAGAUUAUUUCCGAGAAAGCUCAAGUCACAAUGGUUUGGCCCGUUUAAGCUGUUAAAAUCAUAUCCUCUUGGAGCUGUUGAUCUUCUAGAUGAACAAACUGGUCACGAGUUCAAGGUUAAUGGACACAGGGUUAAGCAUUACAUACAUCCAGCAGCAGAAUGUUCAAAGGAGGUGUUACUCCUUAAAGAAACUAGCUAUUAAACAAAGAAGGAAGGUCAGGCUGAAGGACCUUAAAUCAAGCGCUUCAUGGGAGGCAGCCCAUUGAGGAGAUAGCCACUUCAAACCAAUUUUGAUAUCCUUUGGUUUUGUAGACAACUUUCCCUCUUUACCAUCUUAUUUACUUUUUGUUUUCCUAUGAUUAGCCAUUUAUUUUCAUCCUUUUACAUUAUUGCAUUCUUUAUUUUCGUGUUAAUUUGACCUCUUUAUUUCUUUUAAUCGUUUUAGAAUUAAUUUUAGUUUGAAGCAAGUGUGACAAUUGAAUUCCAUAUUGACAAGUGAGAGUGUAUGGUGGCAGAAUUCAGAGGUGAACCACGUGUUAGAAGCUUUAGUAUGGAGUAUGUAUCCGUUAUUAGAACAAGCGCAUGGGUGAUGCAGCAACUAAUUUUACUGUUACAGUAAAUUAAAAGCUGGAGCCUUGCACUUACCGUUGGAGAUAAAAUCGUGACAGAUGGAUGCAUGGAUAUGGAUAGAAAUUGUGGAAACAAAUCUCUGAAAUUAAAGCUUUAAUUUCACUGGCCGAUAAUUUUGGGGAUAUGCACAUUUAAUUCAAAUAUUUUAUUCCUUCAAUUAUCUCUAGUUACCGUAUUUAUCUUCAAAUUAAAGUCCAUUAUAAAAAGGAGUCACUGUGUUUAGUGCUCUACGCCACUACUCCCCAUCUCCUUCGUAAAUUCCAACUCUCCUAAUUCUUCACCUCUCUUUCUCUUUUUACUCUCAGGAACAGUAGCCCCAAUGUGUUACUGCUACAACAAUGCCGAGAUAUAAGAAAACAGCAAGCCGCCUCAAAGAUCCGUCACAAUUCCAGAGUUACCACACCGAAGAAAAAUAUGAAGAAUUCAUAGAGCCGCGUAGGAUUCUGGAAGAAAAAGGGUUUCAAUUUCGAGACCAACUCACGGGAAUUGUGCAAACAAUUCAUAAUGCUAUAGCAAAGCGAGGAUGGUUAAAGUUUUGCAAUCACCCUCGAGAACCUGUGUUGCCUGUAGUCAAAGAAUUUUAUGCCAAUUUGGUAAGCUCUGAUCAGCACAAUAUUUGGGUAAGAAAUACACUUGUCCCAUUAGAUUCCCGUGUUAUCAAUGCUUUUUCUAACUUACCUGCUGAAAUUACUUGUGAAUAUGCUAAGUUGCGUGAUAAGUUAACCCCGAAAAAGUGGAACACCAUUUUCACAACUCUUACAAUCGAAGGGGCGUCAUGGGCUAAUGAGGAAGGGCGUGUAGUUAAUAGGAUAGAUUUGAAACCUAAUGCUAAGGUGUGGGUGAAAUUUCUGAAAUCUAGACUUAUGCCCACCACCCACACUACUACAGUUUCGCAAGAAAGGUUGGUCUUGUUAUAUGUCAUAGUUCGAGGGCUUCCUAUAGAUGUAGGUAGCAUCAUUACGAAAGAAAUCCGAGAUUGUGCAGUCAAAACUCAUCGAACUGCUGCCUUGCUAUUUCCCUCACUCGUCACCAGCAUUUGUGUAGUUUCAGGUGUUCGUCUUGAUGCCAGAGAUGAACAUAUAAAAAAUGAUGGUGCCUUUACAGCACAUACCAUUGAGCGAGUUGCUGGUGAGAGUGCCGGAACAACCACUGAACCAGUUGUUGUCACAGGAGCAAGACGAGCUAUUGGCUUAGAACAGACUAUCCAGGCACUCAGCAACAGUAUAACUCAAUGUGUAGAAGCUCAGCAGAGAGAAAAUGGUCGGUUUUGGAGUUAUCUACAGCACUUGGACAACUAACUACAUCAAUUUGCUCGUACAUUAAAUGCACUCACUAGAAAUUCCCUGAUACACUGUUCCAGCAGUACAAUUUUGACACCAACACCACAGGUGCUCCAGCAGCAGCCAGUGAAGAAGCCACUGCUUCAGAUGAACUAGCAGAGGAAGCUGCCACUGAGCCACAAGCAGCAGUCGACUCAGAAGAGGCUGAACCAUCUGACCCACCUGAGGACGAAGGUGACAAGUCUGAGACUGAUAGCUCACCCUUAGAGGCAGAGGACAAUUCAGAGAAAGAAAGUGAGGAACCACUCAUCCCAGCCCAACCCAAAACCCAAGAAAAACACAUUAUUCAAGAAGAAGAGGAAGAAGACCCUGACGAGGAACCCUCUAUUCCAGUCCUUGCGAGUAAGGGGAAGGACAAGGGUAAAGCAAAAAUGGCAACACCUCCAGACUCUGCAGAUGAAAUUGAGCACGUUGAUGCCGAGCUCGCUGCUGCAGCGGCCAGAGCUAUGCCUACACCUGAGCAAUCCAAGCAACUACUUGCAGUUAUUGCUGCCAUCACAGUUGAGGGCCAGGCAGCUGAUGCAUUAACUAUAAAACCUCCCCAGCAAACUCCUAGCGAGCCUAUUCGUACCAGUCCAAGACAAUCUAGCAAACGAAAAGGCAGUACAUCUACAGGUACUGCUACGGCAACCCAGCCCCAACUUCUCUUGCUAGCCCCGUAGUGAAAAAGACAAAGACAUUGUCAUCUGCUUCCCCAAAAGCUUCACCAAAGGAUAAGCUGCGCAUUGCAUCCAAGAAGCACUGAUAGCAUUCCGUCAUGUGCUGCAAUCCCCACCACAGGGGAGUACUUUUUCCUUACUAGUUUAUUUGUUGUUCUUAAAAAAAAAAAUGAUUCUGUUUUUCAAUUUGUGUGGUAUUUUCUAAGGUCUUCCAUAUCCUUGUCAAUUUGUGUGCAUUUGUCAGUAUGCUUGUGAGGACACAGCAUCUCUCAAGUUUGGGGGGGUUGUUUUCGAAUGCAUGUGUUUAUGUUUGUGUUGUAUGAAGCUCUUCAUCUAAUAUUUGUCUAUGGAUUUGAAAGCCUAAUGAAGAUAAAUUGAGUGUUAAUCAAUAUUUAUGAGAAUGCCAAUAUUUAUGAGAAUGCCAAGUAGAGACAGUUAUAGAUAGAAGUGAAAUUCUGUCCUAACACUUAGACUUUGGUUGACUUGUAUAAGACUGCUAGAGCAGAGCCAAAAGAAUAGAAAAGAUCUUAAGUUUGGGGGGGAGAAGCAAGUUGAUUGACUGUGAUAUCUAUGAAAUAAACUCUGCUCCAAUGGCUCCAGUUGCUGAGUAACCAGAUCUGAGUAUGUACCCCAUAUGCAGAAUUGUGUCAAAGGUAGCGAGAGUUAUGAGCAAUGUUGUAGCAACUAUAAAACAAAAAAAAAGAAAAAGAAAAAAAAGAAGUCCUUUGUCUAAGGCAUUGAGUAGCCAGGUCUGUUCAUAAGCCCCAUGUUCAGCCUUGAGUAAAAGAUACCUCUAGAUAAGAUUAUACAGCAAAUAUUGUUGCAGCAACUCUGAUCUGGGUAUGGUUCGAGUAAUUGGGCGUCAUCAUUACAAGUGACUGACAUUCACAUGAAAGAUAAAUGUUACAAUAAGGAGGUUGAUUACUCUUCAGUUUAUCAAUGUUAAAAGCAUCACAGUUUGAGUAGGUGAAAUUUAUGCUACCCCAUUUAUGAAUGAAGUGUAUCACUGUUGAAAUUCAUGCAGACCUUAAUGAUGUUAUAGCAUAUCUGGAAUUCAAUCAAAGGAAGCACACACACACUAUGGACAGAAAGAAGCUUAAGUCUAGAACUGAUUUACUGCGGUUAUUUUGUAUGAUUAGAAUUGUGAUCUGAGGGUGGAAGAAUCCUUGCAAAUUUGAAAAAAGAGCUAAAGUUGUGUGCAUGAUUGUUUGCGGGAAGUGUUAGUAUGUGUUAUUACUUGAGGGCAAGUAAUAGUUUAAGUUUGGGGGUGUGAUAACUCUAGGAAAUGAGAGUUAUUACAUCAAUUCUAGACUUGAAUCAAGAUCAUUUAAAGAACAAAUAAGGUGUUUUUAUUACAUUUUGCUUAAACAUGCAUUUUAAUUGAGUAUUAAUAAGUUUUGUUUAAAUAAUAGUAAUUUGUGCUAAAAACAUAUGCAUAAUUGUAGGUUCUUGGAAAGUCUUAAUUCAUGAGGGGAUAUUGAGACAUCAGAUGAGCAAGAAGAGGAAAGAAGAUGGCCACAAAAAAAGAAAAGCACAAUCGGGAAUAAUGCAGUGUUGUUAAGGAUGUUAGAGCAACCUGUGCUGUAGCAAUCUGGGAGCAAUGAGGGAGAAAACUUAGGCGCGGGUUGUUGUGCAAAUUUUAAUGUACUCAUAAGCGCACGAAUCUAUUGUAGUAUAGAUCAAUGGUGACGAGUGUCGAUCCCACGAGGAGGUGGAUUUUAAUUAUGUGUAGAAUUAAUUUUGUAAAUGGGUGAUUGGAUUUGUGGUGGAAAUGAUUUGGAAUAUGCUAAAACUUAAAUUAAAAUGGCGAGAAUAAAUUCUGAAAUUGGAAUUGAAAUGGCGAGAAUAAAUUGAAGAGAAUUCUAUUGAAAUGACGUACUUGGGUAUCUGGAUCCGUAUCAACAUGCAUCAUGGGCUAAAUAAUCCUUAUUAAUGCCAAUUAAAUCAUGAGGGGGGAAUCCACACCUCAUGAACCACACUCUAAUCAAUAUGGUGCUAAGGGCUUAUCGUGCCAAAUAAUAAUAACCUUGUACUAGAGAGCCGGUGUAACCAAGGCGGUAUCUAGACAAGAUUAUUAUUAUUUGUCGACGAAAAGUCAAAUCAUCCACAAAAAUUAGAGGGGAAAAGAAAAUAAAUUUACUAAAUAAAGCCCAUGACACAUGUUGAGACUUCACCUUCAACCCAAGCUUGAAAGAAAAUUAGCUACUCAUAAUUGAACAAGGGGUAAAAUGGGAAUUUAUUAAAAUACGUAGAAAAUACAAGAUGGAGAAGGAAUUACAGAAAAUGGAGUCCAAAAAUGGAUUCAGAGGUAUCAAAUUAGGGGGGGAGGCCCCCUUUUUAUAGAUACAUGAAGUAAAUCAUGGCCAUCGGAUUAAAAACAGUUUGGACGCUCAGGAUUGCGCCACGUGAUCAGUCAACAGUACGCGGUUUGACCACGUGGAUGAACAGUAACACGGUUUGACUCGGGUGAACAGUGAUGCGGUUUGGUUGAAAAUAAUCCUGUGUGAUGCAUGUACCGUACGCGAGAUUUUUCGUCCACUGAUAUGCUUACAUGUGAAUAGUGCCAUUUUUCCUUUUAUGCUCCUCCUAAGGUUUUCGACCGUCCUGAGUUGAAAAGUGAUGUCCGUUUUAUCGUCUGAUCUCUCGUUUAUUGUGAAAUGACCAUGAUGCCCCUAAAAUACAUAAAAUACUUAAUUAAAAUCAAACACACAUAAUUAAAUUGCAAGAAGCUUAAAUACAUAAAAGUAAGGGUUGUUAGUAAAACUUGAAAUGUAAAAUGAUGAUUUUCUCCUUUAUAAAUAUACAUUUUCUAACACUCAACACGGGUCAGCGCAUGUUUCCUAAUUUAACGCAUGCAUGCUAAUGGGCUUGUGUUUACCCUAAUUUACAAUAUAAAAGGGAGGCAUGCACAACAUAGAAACGCGGCAAGAAAGAGAAUUAUCAUUAGAUUAAUUACAAGGAACGAAGAAGAAGAAGAUCAGAAUUGAAGAUUGUUGUUUCGGCAACAUUGGAGAAUCGUGCAGAAUUACUUGGCCUUGAUUUUCACCGUGCUCAACUUAUAUUUAUCUUCUUCUACUAAUUGAUUUGAUGUAUUCCGAAAUCAAUAUGUUUAUGUUUAUUUUUCUCAUCUAGAUUAUGAACUAAAUUCACUUGUAGUUGAGUGACAAAUAAUCCAAUGGGUUCUUGACUGUUCUUAUAUGUUGUUUUGGUAUUGCUGUAUCAUUUUACUCGAAUAGUUUUUAUGAAUAUAAUUGUUAUUUCGGUUGACCACCCAUUUAAUAGUUCCAGUUAAGAUAGAGCAGCAAAAGGGCAUGUCUUAGCAUACAUUAUUAGAGUAUUACUUGUUCUUAAAUCAAGUUUCCUAGAUUAUGUUAUCUUGAAUCCCAUAAGGGCAAUACUUGAAGUUAAGAUUUGUGACACUCUAGACAUAGGUGUUCACCUUCUAGGGUAGAGAGAUUAAAGGUUAUAAUGUCGUACCAUAAAUAUAUGAGCAACUGGUCAUUGUUAGUAGAUUUAAGGGUGUGAGAUUUCCAAUAUGCGAUAGCUGCGGAUGCAGAUUUAUGCUACCCAUUGCUGCAGCACUUAUUGUAACAACUGGUGCUCAAUUGAUAAACAACAGUCACCCCAUUAGGAGAGUUUGAUCAUUCAACUACUAUACUCUCAAUUGAAUCUUAGACACAUUUAACUUAGUUUAUUUCGUUGCAGUAUUGUUUUAUUCCAUCUCUUGCAAUUAUUAGUUACAAUAUAAUUAUUUGACAAUUGUUUGUUGCGGUCUUUAGUUGAUUUGCACUAUUGUGAUUGCAUUGGCAUUUUGAGUAACAUCAAUCCCUAUGGAGACGAUCUUAGUUAUGCAUCGAGAAAUUUCAAAUGUUAAAAGUUGCAUUGGAUGCAUGCAUAUCAUGGACUACAUUAUGAAGAAGACGUUUCAGAAAAUGAAUUUAUGGAAAAUAGGUGGUUGUACUACCAAGUGGAAAAGUUUUAAGGAGGGCAAUCCCUCAAAGCUAAGUUGAAAGAAAUCUUUUGGGGACGGCGAUACGUAACGCCAAAAAGAUCAACUAAUGAGGCCUAAGGGCAUAUUGUUUAAAGAGUAAACGUGCCAGCCUUGUAGUGCAACAUACCUAGGGUCCAAAUAAAGUUGUUUUGUAUUUUCUAAGUUUAUUUUAAGACCUUAAUAUGGUCAUCCAUAUGCAUCAUAAUUUAUACAUGCAUCAAAGUAUUAUCUUGCUGGGCAUUAGCUCACUAAGUCCUUACAUUGUAAGAAAUGAAGUUGGCACCAAGUCCUAACCAAGACGAAGUGCAUAUGGGCAUAAUAGACCUUGGGAUUUUAUAAUGGGCUCAACUUUAUUUCAAUAAAAAUAAACAUCUUAGUUUUGUGUAAAAUAAAGUUUUUAUACUAACGAGAAGAAAAAUCAAGAAAAGUAAAAAGAAUUUCUAGGAGCAUAAACCAUGCCCUCAAAAGUAAGGAGAGCAGUCAUGCUCCCCAUAAAUUAUACUCCAAUGGUAAAAAGCAGAAAAACUAAUAGAAUUCCUGAGAAAAAAGAAAAGCAAGAAAAGUAAAAAGAACAAGAGAAAAAAAGAAAAACAACUCUGCUGUACCGUACAUCCGCCUUGGCCGUACAGCAGUUUAGAAUUCGUAUUUAUAUUAAAAGUAACUUUGUUUUUAAGCAUUUUUAAGUAAAUAAUAUAGUAGAGUGUUACAAAUUGGUAUUAGAGCCCAAGGUUUAAAGCGAUUCUAUAGACCGACCAUAUGCACAAGUUAAAGGGGAAGGACAAGGCUCAGUUUUUUAGUUAUAACUUGAAAUUAAGGUAAUUAAGAAAAUCUUACAUUUGAUUUGUCUGACACGUAGAAACUAGAUUAAAAAUUCGUUGAGAUGUCAAGCACUAGGGGUAACAGAGGCAGAAGGGUGGAAGGAACUACAAGGGAGCAAUCUACAAUUGAUCGACUUACAAACAUUGUGGCACGACUCUUAGAAAGAGAAGUUAGAAGGGAUGAACAUGGUCAGGCAAUGAACAACGUUGUAAGCAAAUUUAGAAGAUUAAAUCCACCCACAUUUGAAGGCAGUGUAGAUCCUAUCGCAGCAGACCAAUGGUUGCGAACCAUGGAAAGAAUGAUAGAAGUAGCCAAAGUGCCAGAAGAAGAAAUGGUCACUUGUGUCUCCUUUAUGCUAUGAGGAGCGGCAGAAUACUGGUGGGACUCAAUUAAUUGAAUUCAUAAUGAAGAACAAUGCAAUGGGUGGAAUUUAAAGAACACUUCUAUAACAAAUACGUUUCAGAGACUGUUCGCUCCGCCAAAAGAAGAGAGUUUGUUUUUUUACAACAAGGAAUGAUGUUUGUGCUAGAGUGCAUCCGAAAAUUUGAUGAGCUCUCUUGAUAUGCUCCACAUAUGGUUGGAACGGAAGACUUGAAAAAGGACCACUUUAUGCAAGGAUUGAUCUCGCAAAAGACUUAAAGGUAGCUGGAGUUCGUGAUGCUUUCUUCAACGAUCUCAUUUAUCGAGCCUUGGUAAUUGAGAAAGCAGAUGAAGAAAAGAAGGAAGAAAAUUAAAGAAACAAAGGAAGUGUGGACCAGGGGAACUUUGUAAGACAACACUCAAAUAAUAAUAAGAGAAAGAGAACGCCAGUGGUCCAAGAUCAGAGUAAAAGCAAACGCCCGAAGAAUCAUCAGAAGGAGUGCUACAAAAACCAAAGUGCAAUCAAUGCGGUAGAACUCACCCUGGGGAAUGUUGAGAAAAUACCAGAACAUGUUUCAAAUGUGGAAAGCAAGGACACUUCAUUAGGGACUGCCCGGAAAAUAGUACGCAACAAGAAAAUGUUAAUGCUCGAGUAUUCACACUCACCAAGAUAGAUGCCGAAGGAAACCCCUCAGUAAUAUCAGGUGAACUAUCUAUCUUCAAAACUCCUACAUAUGUGCUAAUAGACUCAGGAGCUACACAUUCAUUUGCCUCAUCAGCAUUCAUUAAGAAAAUCGAAAAUGUCCCUAACAUAAUAAAUAAGCCUUUUAGUAUCAUGGUACCAUCGAGUGAAAUAUUAAACUCGGGACAAUUAGUUAAGGCAUGUGAGGUUAGCAUUAGUGGUAAUACACUAUAUGUUGACCUAAUAAUCAUCGAGAUGCAUGACUAUGACAUAAUUCUUGGCAUGGAUUGGAUAUCGAAGCACUAUGCCAAGAUAGAUUGCAAGAAAAAAGAGGUAACUUUUCGACCACCACAAAAGGAAUCAUUUACAUUUAAAGGAGAAUGCAAAGGGAAUAAAAUGUCUAUCAUUUCUGCAUUAAAAGCAACCAGACUAUUAAAUGGAGGAUGUAAGGGUUACUUGGCAAGUGUGGUCAUCGAAACAGAAGAGCAAAGACCAAAGUUGGAAGAUAUUCCAAUGGUGAACGAAUUUCAUGGGGUCUUUCUUGAAGAACUCACAAGAUUGCCACCGAAUUGAGAAAUUGAAUUCAAAAUCGAUUUGUUACCAGGAACUGCUCCAAUUUCAAAAGCGCCCUAUAGGAUGGCCCCAUCAGAACUAAAUGAGUUAAAGAGUCAAUUGCAAGAAUUACUAGACAAAGGCUACAUAUGCCCAAGCCAUUCACCAUGGGGAGCACUAGUAUUGUUUGUAAAAAAGAAUGAUGGAUCAAUGCGAAUGUGCAUCGACUAUCGAGACGUAAAUAAGGUGACUAUCAAGAACAAGUAUUUGCUUCCACGCAUUGAUGACUUGUUUGAUCAGUUGCAAGGAGCAGCAAUAUUUUCAAAGAUUGAUCUACGAUCAGGAUAUCGCCAGUUGAGAAUCAGAGAUGAAGAUAUUCCUAAAACAGCAUUCAGAACACGUUAUGGACACUAUGAGUUUGUCGUCAUGCCACUUGGUCUAACUAAUGCCCCAACAACCUUCAUGGACCUCAUGAACAGGGUAUUUAAAGACUACCUAGACAAAUUCAUAGUUGUAUUCAUCGAUGAUAUUUUGGUCUACUCACGAUCAAAGGAAGAGCAUACUGAGCACUUAAGGAUUACUCUUCAAACAUUGAAGGAGAAGCAAUUUUAUUCAAAACUCAAGAAAUGUGAGUUUUGGCUUGAGAAAGUAACAUUCUUGGGACACGUCAUGUCUAAGGAUGGAAUUUCAGUAGACCCCUCGAAGGUGGAAGCUGUAAGCCAAUGGUCCAGACCGACUAAUGCCAAAGAAGUCAGAAGCUUCUUGGGUUUAGCUAGAUACUACCGAAGAUUUAUGGAAAGUUUCUCGAAGAUCGUGAUGCCACUGACCCAGUUGACAAAGAAAAUGCUAAAUUUGUAUGGACUCCAGAAUGCGAGAAAAGCUUUGAAGAACUAAAACGAUGACUGAUCACUACUCCAAUCCUAGCCAUUCCUAAUAGCUCUGAGUAAUUUGUCAUCUAUAGCGAUGCCUCCAAAAAUGGCAUAUGAUAUGUCCUCAUGCAAAAUGGGAAAGUCAUUGCAAACGAUUCCAGAUAUGAGAAAAAUUAUCCAACGCAUGAUUUGAAGUUGGCAGCGGUGGUGCACACAUUAAAAAUAUGGCAUCACUAUUUAAUGGGGGUACAUUGUAAGAUUUACACUUAUCAUAAGAGCCUCAAAUACUUCUUUACACAAAAGGAGUAAAAUAUACGACAACGGCGUUGGCUAGAGCUUGUCAAGGACUACAAUUGUGAAAUAAACCAUCAUCCUGGAAAAGCAAAUGUGGUAGCAGAUGCACUAAGUAAAAAGUCAAGCCUAUCAGCUUUAAAGAUUCUACCUAAGCCAUUACAAGAUGACAUAUGCAAGGCAGAGAUUGAGCUAGUAAAAAGAAAAUGAGCCAACAUGACACUUUGUUCAACUUUAUUAGAAAAUAUUAAAGAGGGAUAGAAAAGCAAUUCCCACUUAAAGAACUUGAAGAUAGAAUCCAACUUAAAGGAGAUGUCAUUUAAAAAGUCAGAGAGGGAAAUCAUCUUGUUCAAGGACAGGAUAUGUGUGCCUAACAAUAAAGAUAUAAAGAAAGAAAUUCUACUUGAAGCUCACACAACUCCAUAUUCACUUUACCCUGGCACAACAAAAAUGUACAAAGACUUAAAGAAGCACUAUUGGUGCCCUGGAAUGAAGAAGGAUAUAGUGGAGUUCGUGGCAAAAUGUCUCACUUGUCAACAAAUCAAAGCAGAGCACCAGAGACCAGUAGGACUUUUGCAAUCCAAUCAAAUCCCUCAAUGGAAAUGGGAAGAAAUCACAAUGGACUUCGUCGUUGGUCUUCCAAAAACUACCAAAUGCAUGAUGCCAUUUGGGUCGUCGUCGAUCGACUUACAAAGUCUGCUCACUUUUUGCCUAUUCGAAUGACUUUUUGCCUAUUCGAAUGACAUACACCAUGGACCAGCUUGCAAAAAUAUAUGUAAAGGAGAUAGUAAGACUACAUGGUGUGCCCAUUUCUAUUAUUUCUGACCGAGAUGCAAGGUUUACUUCGACACUCUAGGAAAAGUUACAUAAGGCUAUAAGGACAAGAUUGAAGUUCAGUACAUCAUUUCACCCUCAAACAAACGGCCAAUCAGAAAGAACGAUUCAGACGCUUGAAGAUAUGUUGCGAGGAUGUGCUAUUUACCAUUGGUUGAAUUCAUUUACAACAAUAGUUACCGAGCAACAAUCGACAUGGCACCAUAUGAAGUUCUAUAUGGUAGAAAAUGUAGAUUGCCUAUUCAUUGGGAUGAGAUGGCCGAGCGAAGGCAUCUUGGACCUAAGUUAAUUACUGCCUCAUCUGAAGCGAUCGAGAAAAUACGUCAAAGAAUGUAGGCAGCUCAAAGUCAAUAGAAACGUUUUGCAGAUAAGAGGCAAAGGCCUUUGGAAUUUCAAGUUGGUGACAAAGUAUUUCUAAAAGUUUCCCCAGUAAAAGGAUUGAUGAGAUUUGGGAACAAAGGAAAAUUAAGUCUGAGGUUUAUUGGGCCAUUUGAAAUACUCGAUCGUGUCGGGAAUGUUUCCUACCGACUUGCCCUCCCACCAUCGUUAUCAAGAAUACAUAAUGUCUUUCAUGUCUCCAUGCUAAAGAAAUACAUCCCAGACUCCUCUCAUGUGCUAGAUUAUAAAACUCUUCAACUAGAAGGAGACCUAACCUACGAAGAAUGUCCAAUUUAAAUUCUCGAUAGAAAGAUAAUGGAGUUAAGGAACAAGAAGAUCCCUUUAGUUAAAGUACUAUGACGAAAUAGCUCAAUGGAGGAGGCAACAUGGGAAUGUGAGGAAGAUAUUAAGAAUCAGCAUCUUGAGCUAUUCAGUAAGAAAAUUUCGAGGACGAAAUUUUUUUAAAACAGGGGAGGAAAUUGUGAGGUACAAUUUUCUCACUUCAAUAUAGUAGAUUUUAUUUUAAGCUAACAAGCCCCUAAAGUUUAUAAUAUUUAAUUUCAAGGAAUGAUGACAUAUGCAAUGACAUAAGUGAUGAUGUAAGUAGAAAUAUAUAGAGAAAGUUAAGAAUUCUAGAAUUUAGUAAGUUAUUUAUGAAGGUUAAUCUCAACCAUUGAUCAAGAGUUAUAGUGGCAAAAUCCUAGCCAUCCAUUAGCCUUAAGAAAUUCUAUAAAUAACCCCCCACCACCUCUCAUUUUCAAUGCAACCUCAAAAUUUCAUUUCCUUCUAUUCUAAGUCAUAAUAACAAGAGUAGAGGAAUCAUUAACUUAGAAAGAUCUAGAGAAGUCGAGAUCAACAGGUAAGUAACAUUUCAACUGCAAUGUAAAGACAUUUUUUUUCAUACUUAAGUUCAGUUUUAACAAUUCCUUUAUAUUAUAAUGGCUAUUAUAGUGUGAUUAGUUAUAUCUUUAUAUGGUCGGCCCUGCCGCCUAAUAUGUGAUGCUAUGGUUGGCCCUGCCGCCUAAUGUGUGAUGUUAUGAUCGGCCCUGCCGCCUAACAUGUGAUGUUAUGGUCGGCCCCGUUGCCUAAUAUGUGAUGCUAUGGUCGGCUCUGCCCCCUACUAUGUGAUGCUAUGGUCGGCUCUGCCGCCUAAUAUGUGAUGUUAUGGUCGGCUCUGCGCCCUAAUAUGUGAUGCUAUGGUCGGCUCUGCCGCCUAAUAUGUGAUAUUUAUACUUAAUUAUGCUAUGGUCAGCUAUGCCGCCUAUACUAAAGACUUUUUUUUAAUAAUAUUGUGUGUUGAUUUUAUUAUGCAUCAAGAAAUUUCAAAUGUUAUAAGUUGCAUUGGAUACAUGCAUAUCAUGGACUACAUUAUGAAGAAGACAUUUCAGAAAAUGAAUUUUUGAAAAAUAUAUGGUUGUACUACCAGUUGGCAAAGUUCUAAGGAAGGCAAUCCCUCAAAGCUAAGUUGAAAGAAAUCUUUUGGGGUCAACGAUACGUAACACCCAAAAGAUCAACUAAUGAGGCCCAAGGACAUAUUGUUUAAAGAGUAAAAGUGUCUGCCUUGUAGUGCAACAUACCUAGGGCCCAAAUAAAGUUGUUUUGUAUUUUCGAAGUUUAUUUUAAGACCUUAAUAUAGUCAUCCAUAUGCAUAAUAAUUUAUACAUGCAUCAAAGUGCUAUCUUACUGAGCAUUAGCUCACUAAGUCCUUACAUUGCAGGAAACGAAGCUGGCACCAAGUUCUAACCAAGACGAAGUGCAUAUGGGCAUAAUAGACCUUGGGAUUUUAUAAUGGGCUCAACUUUGUUUAGUACUAAGGAGUUUCUGUAUGACUCUUAAUUUUUGUAAGAAAGUUUUGUUUGUUGUAAACUUUUAGAAUUUGUAUUUAUAUUAAAAGUAACUGUGUUUUUAAGCAUUUUUAAGUAAAUAAUAUAGUGGAGUGUUACAAUAAUUAAGUAUUUUUGUAUUUUAGGGGCAUCAUAGUCAUUUCACAAUGAACGAGAGAUCAAACAGCAAAACGGACAUCACUUUUGAACUUAGGACAGUCAAAAACCUUAGGAGGAGUAUAAAAGGAAAAAUGGCACUGUUCACGUGUACGAUACUGUCCAUGUUACUGUUCACGACACUGUUCACAUAUACGGAACGAUGAUGUGUCAUUGACCGAUGACGUGACAUUGCCUGAUGAGGUGUCACGAUCUUAUUGAACUAAAAUUUUUAUGUACUGUUGAUCAGUGACGUGACAGUAUGUUAGUGGACCGAAAAUCGUGCGUACGGUACAUGCAUAUGCGUGGAAUUAUUUAUAACCAAACCGCAUUACUAUUCAAACCACGUGGUCAAACCACGUACUGUUGACACAUGGCGCUAUCUUGAGCAUCCAAAUUAUUUUUAAUUCAAUGGCCAUUAUUUACUCAGUGUAUCUAUAAAAAGGAGGCUCCCCUUCUAAUUUGAUACCCCUGAAUUCAUUUUUGAGCUCAAUUUUCUGUAAUUCCUACUCCAUCUUGUAUUUUUUACGUAUUUUAAUAAAUUUUUAUUUUACUCCUAGUUUAAUUAUGAGUAGCUAAUUUUCUUUCAAGUUUGGAUUGAAGGUGAAGUCUCAACAUGUGUCAUGGGCUUUAUUUGGUAAAUUUAUUCUCUUCCCCUCUAAUUAAUGUGGAUGUUUUAACUUUUCAUUAAUAGAUAGUAACAAUCUUAUCUAGAUACCGCACUAGUUUAACCGGCUCCCUAGUACAAGGAUAUUACUAUUUGGCACGAUAAGCCCGUAGCACCAUAUUGAUUAGAGUAUGGUUCAUAAGGAGUAGAAACCCCCCUCAUGAUUUAAUUGGCACUAAUAAGGAAUAUUAAGCCCAUGGUGCAUGUUGAUGUAGAUCUAGAUACCCAAGUGCAUCCAUUUUAAUAGAUUUCACUUCAAUUUAUUCCCGCCAUUUUAAUUUAAAUUUUAGGAUAAUUUAAAUCAAUUCCACCAUAAAUCCAGUCAUCCACUUAGAAAAUUAACUCUACACAAAAUUAAAAUCCACCUCCUCGUGGGAUCGACACUCGUCACCAUUAAUCUAUUCUACAAUAGAUUCUUGCACUUGCGAGUUCAAUAAUAUUUGCACAACGGCGGCAACAGACUUUAUAGCAAAAUUCACUAGUAACUUAUUCAAGAAGGCCAAGAUUAGUAAAGCAAUAAUGCCAACCUGGAGAUUAUAUGUGGAUAGAUCAUCAAAUGAACAAAGGAGUGGAGCAUAGUUGAUUUUUGUCACCCUAGAGCAUACAAAGAUCAGUUCUGCCCUUAGGUUUGGGUUCAAGGCCUCCAACAAUGAGGCAGAGUACGAGGCCUUGCUUGCUGGUCUCAUGUUAGCAAAAGAGGUGGGGGCAGAGAAGUUGGAAAGUUUUAGUGAAUCACAAUUAAUUGUGAAUCAAGUCAUAUCCAAGUACCAUGCAAAGGAAAGUAGGAUGUUAGCAAAUCUACAAAAGGUCAAAAAGCUACUAAUGAAUUUUGUAUAAUACACCAUCACUUAGAUUUCAAAGGAAGAAAACAACAAAGCAGAUGCCCUUGCAAGGCUGGCAUCAACCAUAGAUGUAGGUUUAAAUAGAUUAAUCCUUGUUGAGUUUUUACAAAAUUCGAGUAUUAAUCACGAAGAGAAUAAGAAGAUUAAUCUUGUGAAUACAACUGGGAAUUGAAUAGAUCUUAUCAUUAGUUACUUAAGAGAUAAGAAGUUGCCCGAUAAUAAAGAUGAAGCAAGGAAGAUCAGGUUAAAGUCAACACGAUACGUGAUUUUGGGAUAUGUGCUAUACAAGAGAGGAUAUUCACUAGCUUACUUGAGGUGUCUAACAUCUAAUGAAGCAAACUACGUGAUGAGAUAAAUCUAUGGGGUUAUUUGUAGCAACCAUUCGGGUGCAGGGUCAUUGGCCCAUAAAGUCAUUCGCCAAGGGUACUUUUGGCCUACCAUGAUGGAAGAUUCACAGAAAUUUGUGCAAUGGUGUGACAAAUGUCAAAGGUUUUCCAAUGUACCACAUCAACCCCUAGAAUAGCCUACCUCAGUUGCUAGCCCAUGGCUAUUCGCUCAGUGGGGGUAGACAUCAUCGGUCCAAUGCCUACUGGCAAGGGACAAACAAAAUUUGCAGUUGUGGCUGUAGACUAUUUCACAAAGUGGGCAAAAGCAGAACCCUUAGCAUAAAUUACAGAGCAGAAAACUACUGGAUUCAUAUGGAAGUCUAUCAUAUGUCGAUUUGGUAUUCCCUAAGCUAUUGUGAUGGAUAACGGGAAACCGUUUGAUAAUCCCCGUUUCAGGGGGUUAUGUGAAGGCCUUGGGAUUAAAAUUUUUUUCUCUUCCUCGACUCGUCCUCAAGCAAAUGGGCAGGUCGAAGCUAUCAACAAAAUAAUUAAGCAUUACUUAAAGACCAAGCUAGAAAAGCAUAAAAGGGCUUGGACAUGAAUUACCAUUCGUAUUGUGGACUUACAGAACCAUACACCAAGGCAACAGAAGAAACCUCAUACUCCAUUGCAUUUGGGACAGAAGCAGUGGUCCCUGUAGAGAUUGGCAUGCCUUCUUAUAGGGUGUAGUAUUUUCAACCUGAACAAAACUUAGAACAACUGAACCUCAGCCCAGAGCAGCAGUACACAAACAAAGGGUAGCUCCAUACUUCAAUUCAAGGUGAAGCCAAUAAGCUUUGGGUUGGUAAUCUAGUUCUCAUAAAGAUAUUUCAGAGCACAAAAGAGCAAAAUACUGGCGUGCUAGGACCAAAAUGGGAAGGCCCCUAUAGAGUAGUAGAAAUUGUCCGGCCGGGGACUUACAGGCUCGAAGACAUGAAUGGAGUUAUGCUUCCACAUCCUUGGAAUGUAGAACAUUUGAGGAUUUACUAUCAGUAAUGAAGCAACAUUAGUCAGUUUUCUUUUCUAAAAGUUUAGCCAAUUAAUAAGGCUUUCUUAAGCCAUUAGGAAGAUUCUUUUUUACGCUGAUAGAAAGUUAUUACCAACUUGCAUUUGUGACAGUUUAAUAAUAAAGCACAUCAUUAGCUUAUUCUAGAAUUUUAUAUUAUUGUUUAAAAUUUUCUUUUAUUUGAAAGAGAGCAGUUGUGGUGCAAAACUGUAAGAAAUCAACAAAUAUGUGCAUAAAAGGUGAAAGGUCAUGCUCUUUUAAGAGCAAAAAGUAUGCUUCCAAUAGUAAAUGGGGAGCAUCAGUUAUGCUUCCCGGGAAGCAGAAAUCAUGCUUCCAAGAGAGAAAGAGGAGGAAAAAUUAAUAAGUAUUCCUGCCCUCUUGGGAAAAAGAAAAAUCAAGAAAAGUAAAAAGAAUUUCUAGGAGCAUAAACCAUGCCCUCAAAAGUAAGGAGAGCAGUCAUGCUCCCCAUAAAUUAUACUCCAAUGGUAAAAAGCAGAAAAACUAAUAGAAUUCCUGAGAAAAAAGAAAAGCAAGAAAAGUAAAAAGAACAAGAGAAAAAAAGAAAAACAACUAAAAACCUUGGGUGAUAAUAGAAAAUGCAGCAUCUCAGAUAUAAUUGAUAACGAGCAUCAUCAGUCUUCUAGAAAAUGGUAAUUAAGUUGAAGGUAGCGGCUCUCAAUCAUAGCCUUAGCCUUGGCAUCACCUUUUAGAAAUUCUUCAUCAAAGAUAUUCUUAAAAUCAGUAGAAGCUUUGAACUCUUCAACAGCUAAAGUUUUCAUACUUGGAAUUUGGAGGUUCAAUUGGUCAAGAGAGUUGAACAAUUCUUGAACUUGGGACUGGAACUGAGCUAAUUCUUCCUUUGCAGCAUUAAGUUCCAACUUCAAUUAGGCCACAAGAGCUUUCUCUUCGCUUAGACACUUCUCCAGCUCAUCAAUCUUUUUUUCUAGAAGCUUAGCCCGAUUCAAGUAAAGCAUUCAUCUCCAGCAUCAGGGACUUUAUCUUUUUUUUUUUUUUAUUUGAACAACACAACCAAGCUACAAGAAAAUGAACACAGUUGGGAUCCAACUUCAUAUUGGUAAUGGUAACAUAAAAGCAAUAUUACAAAAGCGAUAUUAUUACUACUACCUGAGAAACGUUAGCAAGCAUGGCUUCAAUAAGACCAGAGUUCUCCAUUUGCCUCAUAUUAUCAGCAAAGACAUAUUGAGGCCAAGAUUGAGCAAAAGAACUUAGAUGUGCUUGAGAAAGAUCUUCCCAAGUGACAUUAAAGUCCAUUAAAGAUUAAUGGCCCUAAAACAUGACAAAGGUCCAAAGAUUACCAGUCAUGAGAAAGUAUUGACACAUAUGAAUAUGUGUCUCCAUGCAUGGGCUUUAGCUGACACUUGUCACAAGAAAAGUGUCACCUAACCUCUCCAAUUGACUCUAAGGUUGCCUAUAUAAAGGCCAAAGCCCCCCAUUUAAAGGUAAGAGAAAAGAAAAAAAAAGCAUAAAAUAAGUAAAAAACUCUGCCCAUCUCAUCUAGAAUUUCUCUCUCUAAAAAUUGAGUAAAAAUAAUUGACUUGAGCGUCAGAGGGUUAUCGUCAGCUUGCCGGCACCCUUUCAUAAUUGUUUCUUUUUGUGAAACAAUUAAUCACAAGAAGACAUGUGAUUUGAGACAUUCGCUUUAAGGAAAAAAUAAGCCACAGAACUCGAUUUAGAAGAAAGUCCAAAACACAAAUCAAUCAUUGUACAUUGAGCAAAAAUUUGCAUUAACAAAUAUGAAGAAAGAAAUUAAGAAAACGUACUUGCUUACAGUCACAAAUAUAAAGAUAAAAAUUGUAGAGAUUACCAUAAAGAAAAUUGUAAAUUUGUUUUCAUACAAAAGACAAUUUAGUAUAACAAAUUCUACAGAUAUGAAUAUAUUUUUAUAUGCACACAAAAAUUUAUCUGCUCUUUCUGUCUGAAAAAACGUUUAAUAAGUUCUAAACAUUAAAAUGUGGAAUCAUGUGAUUGGACAUACUCAAAAUGUGGCCUGUUUAUUAAUUAUAACACUACAUACAUACGAUAUAGCCUUCAUUUUUACACUUAAAAUUUCCAAAAAAAUAAAUUUAACUUCAAUUAAAUUGCACUAAAGAUAGAAAGUUAAAAGCCCAAUUCAUUAUUAAACAUGGAAUUACUUUGUAUUAUUUAGUUCACAUUUUGUUAGAAUCUUCCAACCGUUGCUUUAAAGAUAAUAAAUAUAAUGUCAAUGUAUGAAAACUUAGUAAUUCAUGCAAUACAAAUUUAGAAUCAUUAUUUUGGACUUGCAUGCAACAUUUACUAUAUCGUUCUAGCAAAAUAAUUUCCUUUUGUACAAAUAAAAUUGAACAUUGACAUUGAAAUGCUUUAUAGAAAAUGCAUUUAUAAAAAAAUUUAUAAAGCAUUUUUUUCAUUCACCAGUAUUAACUACAAAUAUUUAUUUUAUUUUAAACUACCAAAAAGAGGGGUUAGGCUAGAUCCAUACAUGUCAUGUAAAUCUGAUAAAAUUAAAAUACAUAUAGAAGGGGCCAUAGACCAAAACCUCACUAUAAGAAAACAGGCAAUAGAUGACGGACAAUUUAUGACAGAUUAUAGGUAUAUCAUAAAAUUACGACAAAAUUGUGAUAGAAUUUUUAAUCUAUCAUAGAUUUAUGAUGGGUUUGUGAUAGAAAUAUUUACUAUCAUGAAUUUAUGAUGGUUUUAUGAUAGAAUUAUCAUCACCAUCAUUGCAAAAUAAAACAUCCCAAAUAAGAAAAAAAACCAUACUGCUGUACGGCCAAGGCGGAUGUACGCCACAUUUGACCCAAAUUUGAUGUAUUAUUUUAUUUAAAAAACAAAAGAUGUGUUUUACUAAUUAAAAACAAAUGCCACCAAAACGCUACCAUUUUAAGUACUUGAGCUUUCUUUCUUUUUUCUAAGUGUUUAACAUUCACAUUACUGAUGAGAAAUCCAAAUCCCUAAGUACUGUUUCUUUUGUUCCAUCGUGCCGUUCACAAACCCUUUUCUGAAACCCCUGAUUCUUGCCGCUCUUCUACCAUUCACACAUUGUCAUUGCCUUUAUACAAAAUUUAGCCUCCCCCAUUUAAGCCAUCAACCUCUUCAGUUUCGCUUUGGCUCCUAAUACCGUCAAUUUUUUUCACUUUGUUUCAAAUUUUCGUAAUUAAAUAAUUGUCUCUUCAUUUUGAAACCAUACGUCAAUGCCUUCGCAGCAUAAAGAGCACCAGCCAAGCAAACAAAAUUCAGCCAGUUCUUAAGGUAACCCUAACCCUCAUUUGGGGAAUCUUUGGUAUUAUUUGUCUUGGAUAUUGGAGGAUAGAUAGAUCCAUGUGGGUAAAAUUGAAGCUGUGUGUUCUUCUAAUAUUUUUUAUUAACGGUAUUAUCUAUCUUGCAGCGUGAAUCUUUCGUUAAACACAUUGUUUUGAUUCUCUUUGCCUUAUCCUCUUUAUAUAAAUAUAUGCAAAGACUUGACUAUGUUGUAAAUGUUUCUAUCAGAUGCACUUUGGUUUCUUCACUUAAUUCUUUGUUCAACGAUCUAGUUUUAUCACGCUUUACAAGGUAGGUAACAUUUUUUCUUGUUACUGUAUAUACCCCACAUGCUUAUGUGAUUGCUCUUUGUAAUAAGUUUGUUUAUUUCUUCAGUAUUUUAUGCCAAAUGCUUUGUUGUUGGGUUUAAAUUAUUAACUGUUUCAUUUAUAUUUGUUUAAUAACAAUUUGUAUCUAUUUUGAUGGCAUUUUGUUGUUUUUGGAAAUUAUGUUAAUAGUGUGGGUACAAUUCUGGAUCAAACUUAGAUAAAUGUUUGUGCACUGAAUGUGACUUGCUUGGAACAUAAAUAGUUUUUUAGGGAUUCACUGUAUAUAGGCGAGAAACCAGUGACAUAUAUUCUGAUGGUCAACCCGAAUGGGGUCUAUGUCAGUUUGCACUACUGGUGUAAAAAGUCACGUACAAGUGUUCCCCUAACAUAACCUAGUCAUCCGUUUAGCAUAAGGCACCCAUACACAAUACCAGCUAAGGCUUACCUCACACAACAACAAUUAUUCCAGAAACAUGGUACGCUCACUCAAAUGGGCUUUAUUUAACUCAACCUUAGUGUAUAAUUUAUUUCCAUAUCAAAAUUUGAAGCCAUUUAGACAACUCUACAAUAGGGUCUCACGAGAUUAAACUAAACCAAUCAAAAUUGCCUUUUAAUUUACAUAGAAAUAGCUGAGAUUUAGUGAUUUAUUAAAAUUAAAAUACUCAAUAUAUUGGGAUAAAACUUUCUAGAACAUAUAUAGAUCUAUGAUUAAAUAACAUAUUAAAUUCCGAUAUCAUUGAGCUAGUGUUUCAUAAGAUCAAAUGUAAGAGAACACCUCUGUUAAAGGGGCUUCCAGAUUUUUUUUAUCAAUUAUAUUUGUUGUUCCUCACUCACAGAUCAGGAGGUUUAAUAAAUACCUAUAUGGAGUUUGUUUCUAGUGGGAAUGCCCUUAUUUUUUACUUUCUUCAUGCGGAGAAGCUUUCAAAUCCCACGGUUUAAGAGCGUGUGUGUAUAUAUAUAUAUAUAUAUAUAUAUAAUUUAUAUAUAACUUUAUGAUGAGAAAUAUGCAUCAUAAAGUCUGUCAUAAAAAAUUUCCUGCGAAAAUUAAUAAUAAAUAUAAAAAUUGACAAUUUAAUUUUCCGCUAAAAAAUUAAAAAAAAUGGUGUAAAAAUUUAAAUUAGUUUAAAUUUAAAUUUAAUUAUUUUUUUCAUAUUAAAAUAUUGUGUGACAGAUAUAUGAUUGUAAAAUGCCAUCAUGAAUUCAUGACGGAAAAUAAUUUGUCAUAUAUUAAUGACAAUGACAUAGAUGACGGAUGAAAUGUCUGUCAUAAACAUCCUUGAUUAGUUUAGUCACAUUUUGAAACAAUAAAACUUUCCAUAAUAGUCCAACCACUACAAGAAAAUAGACAAUAGAUGAUGGAAAAUAACUGUCAUAAAAGGAGGUUUAUGACAGUUAUUUUCCGUCAUCUAUUGUCUAUUUUCUUGUAGUGGUUGGACUAUUAUGGAAAGUUUUAUUGUUUCAAAAUGUGACUAAACUAAUCAAGGAUGUUUAUGACAGACAUUUCAUCCGUCAUCUAUGUCAUUGUCAUUAAUAUAUGACAAAUUAUUUUCCGUCAUGAAUUCAUGAUGGCAUUUUACAAUCAUAUAUCUGUCACACAAUAUUUUAAUAUGAAAAAAAUAAUUAAAUUUAAAUUUAAACUAAUUUAAAUUUUUACACCAUUUUUUUUAAUUUUUUAGCGGAAAAUUAAAUUGUCAAUUUUUAUAUUUAUUAUUAAUUUUCGCAGGAAAUUUUUUAUGACAGACUUUAUGAUGCAUAUUUCUCAUCAUAAAGUUAUAUUUAAAUUAUACUGCUGUACCGUACAUCCGCCUUGGCCGUACAGCAGCNNNNNNNNNNNNNNNNNNNNNNNNNNNNNNNNNNNNNNNNNNNNNNNNNNNNNNNNNNNNNNNNNNNNNNNNNNNNNNNNNNNNNNNNNNNNNNNNNNNNNNNNNNNNNNNNNNNNNNNNNNNNNNACAGCAGAUACACACAUGAUUAUAAUUUAUUUUUGAAUUCUUGUUUACAAAUUUAAUUAAUUAAUAAAAAUGAAUAUCAUAAAAAAAAAGUAAAAACAAUUAAUACAACAUCCGUUCAAUCCAACAAAUUAAUUUUAAAAUAAAUACAUCUAAUAUCAAAUUUCAUCACCAUCAUUGCAAAAUAAAACAUCCCAAAUAAGAAAAAAAACCAUACCAAAAUAUAAACUCAUAGUUAAAUUCCAAUUAAACACCAAGAAAAACAAUUCAAACUCCAUCCACCAAGCCAAGUUGCCCAACAAAACUUCUAGCACCAAUAUCAUCUUCCAAUAGCACUCUAAUACCAGCAUCAAAUAAGGUAAAAGUCACAGAUGAUACUUGUAUAAGCAAAACCAUCCACAUUAAUAAAGAGUACAUAUCGCCUUUUCUGUUGCUGUAAAAGAGUCGCAUUAUGGUCUGUCAGCUUAGUAAUAAUGGAGAAGUAAUUCCAGCAUAUUAUUUCUAUCCAGCAGGGCCCAAAUCCUCAUCUUUAGGGGCUAAGAUAUCGAAUGAGAUAAUAAAUAAGUAAAAGGGAAAUCUGAGGGAUAGUGAAACAAAAGUAAACCCAAAACUAUAAGGAUAAAGAACAUUUUUUCCCACUACUAAGAGUAGUAUAAGAUGUAAUUGCAAUUGUUGCUGCAAGGAUUAUUUGUCUUUCAGAUUGUGCAAGUGACGCUUCAUCCCUUUCCUUUUUAAGUCUAGCAAUUACAUGACAAGCUGCAUCAUGUUGAGGACAAAUCAAUACAAUCAAACAGAUGAUAUGUAUCAUAUACACUAAAUGCCGAAUAUAAAGAGAUAAUUUGUGAAUUAACUUUAACAGGCAUAACCUCAAGUGCUAUUACCUGGUACAAUGCAUGGCUUAUCUCUUGCCUUGCUAUAUGAUGUUGUUACUCCAAAGCAAAAUUAGAUAGCAUCAAACCAUCCCAUUCCUACAAUUAGACAAACAAUGUAACUGCUAGGAAAUAUAAUCUACAAUUAGACAAACAAUGUAACUGCUUCAAACCAUCCCAUUCCUACAAUUAGACAAACAAUGUAACUGCUAGGAAAUAUAAUAAAGAAUCACAUAUUAAAAUGUAAAAUUCAGUAUCAAUUAAAAUUGUGAAUUUGAAGAAGUGUCACUAAGAAAUCAGCAAUAUUACAGUUAGAAAAAAUGAUAAAAGACAUUAAAUUAUGUUUACACGAUUAUCAUUAUUUAUAAAAGAAGUAUUCACUUUUCAAAUGAAAAAAAUUAAAAGAGCACAGAACAAGGGAUCUCAAAACAAAAAUCUUAUAAUAGCUCUAUCUUGCAAAAUAUACUGGAUAAAUCUAGCAUAAGAAUAGUUGGCAAGAAAACUCUAAAACAAAAUAUCCAUGUUCUACAUUCUAAAUUAUUAUAGAAUAAAGAGACCUAAUGAACACAAAAACAAUAUGAUAUUAUGAAUGAAAAACAUGGGCUAAAAUCUGGAAAACAUGUUUCAUGCAAAGAAAAAGAUCACCAUAAAAAUAAGAGGUUAUUACAUGCUGAUUGAAUUGGAAUAUAAUCUAAGCUUUCACUUGGCAAGAAAUUGGUAAUGUGCUAAAGCACAAGUUCAUGAAAAAACAUAUGAAGUCAAAAGUCAAAUUCUUUUUAAGUACUAACAAAUUAAAAACUCCUUCCAAACAAACUUAAACAUUUAACACAGCAGACACAAGGCAAUAAAUCAUAAUCACAUACAUUUUGGAACAUUACAAGCAUCCCAUGAAUGCUAGCAGACAUCAAUGGUCUGCGCUUCUUAAACUUCAUGGCAACCCAUUUAGCAAAAGACAAAAAUUAUCAUGCAAGAUUACAUUAAAUAAUGAUGACGAAAACUUCCAACAAACCAAGAAAAGCAACCAUCAUAAAUUUCUAUAACCAUUUUCUCCUAAAUUAUGUAGAGAAAAAUAGUAAUUUAACUAUAAAAAUUUCUAAGACACAUUUAAUCAAAUACCUUCUCCCGUAUUAUAUAGAUAAAAAUAAAAUGUUAACUAUAUGAAUCUCUAAUAGACAUUUAAUCAAGCUCCUUACAUGUGCAAAAAUCUUUCAAAAUUGUAAACCAAUUAUACAUGUUAAAUCUUCAAUUGACAUUCAAAUUUUCCCAAAUCAUGAUUUCUUAGACAAGAACGAGUAAAAUUUACAAGAUAAUUGAACAUGACAAUUUCAAGAAAAAGCCAAACCCUAACCAUCACAACAACCACGAGCCACCAUUACCUUACCCCUCCACAACAAAUCCAAUACCAUGCAAAUCAAACCCAAUCAAUUUUUGCACCAAAAUCCCAUUAAUUUUACUAUUUAGAAAAAUAAACCCACAAGUUUUAAUACAUACCUGAUGUCAAUUUUAAUUUUACAAAAAUCAGCAACCUUACUUGGAUAUGGAUUGAUUCAUUGAGGAAAAAAAUUAAAAAAACCAAUUGUUUCUCACAGUGGAGGUAGAUCUGCUUGUGGAGAUGACGAAAAGAUGAAAAAACUGAAAAACAAUGUGAAACGAGAGAGCAAACAAGUGUUACAGCUUGAAUGGAGGAAGAAUGGUGGCAUUUUGAAUGACAAAAUAGUGGAGUUUUUAUGAUUUAUUCAGAUUGAAAUUUUAAUUCUAGGGUUUCAAAUGAUGAAAGAGAGAGGCAAAAUGGAGAACGUCCAACACUUAGACAAAAUUUGUGUGUUUUAAGCAAUCCUAUGGUAAAUUGUAGCCUUUUAUUCUUUUUGUUUUUAUUUUUUAAUUUUUAAAAAGGUGUUGUUUGAUUUUUUAAAUAAAAUAAUACAUUAAAAUUUGGUCAAACACAAUCAAAAUCAUAAUUCUAUCACAAUUUCUUGAUGUAGCAAAUUUCUAUCACAAUUCUAUCAUCAAUUCUUGAUAAAUAAUAAUUAUUUCACAAAAUCAUCGCUAAUGCAUGAUAGAACUAUAUUCUGUCACAAGUCCGUCAUGCUUUUAUGAUAUAUACGAUUUUACCCUGAAUCUGUCACAAGUUGUCUGUCAUCUAUUGUCAGUUUUCUUGUAGUGAACAAUUCUCAAAUUUUUUGGAGAAUCCAUAAUUAUCAUUCUGUCACUUCUAUAAUUAAUUUUCCAGCAACUUAAACAUCACCAAACCACAUGCUUAAAGCAAUAUUAGACAUGUAAAACAAACAACAACCUUGCUUUUGAGUUUUGAAACAAAAAACAUCACCAAAUCAUAUAACUUGAGAUAAUUAGAUCACUCUUAAGACUUUGACCAUGUUUGCAUUGGCAAAGAAUAUUAGUAGAACAAUUUUUUUCUUUUAAUAAUAUAAUGUUAUAAAUCUCAAAUAGUCUAUGUGUUCUUUGUUGGACCAAACAUGUGAUCAUGAUAUUUUUUGAACUUAAGUCUUAUUCAUAUCAGAACAACAUUUAGAUAAGCAUGUGCCAAGAAAAAUUCAGUUUAUGUAUUCUUCCAUAUGUUUUUCAUUUUUUUUUGGAUGUUUUUCAUCUUCAUUUGUUUAUGUUGCAGCAAAGGUAUUUAAGUCAUUGUUAAUUUGUACCUUGCAUAAAUGUAUUGGUAAUAUAUUCUGAUUUUUUAUUUAUAUUCUACCACCUUAAUGUGUCAGGAUCAGAUAUAAUUGAAACUAAAAAUGGAUAAGUCAUGGAUGCAUUGUAGUAAAAUGGCAAAAGAGUAUGAAGAUAGGGUUGAAACAUUUAUGAGGUUUGCUAUUACUAAUGCCGAAGGCAGUAGCGUCAUUAGAUGUCCAUGUACUAAAUGUAUGAAUAUAUCCUUUCAUACACAGAAGUGAAAUGAAAAUUAUGCAACCCAAAAGGGGGUGAAUUGGGAUUUUAAAUCUUGUGCUAAACAAUUCGCACAACAAUUUAAUCUAUUGCCUUAAUUAAAUAAAAAAUAAUAAAUUCAAUAAUGCACAAUAAUAAAAGAAUAAGGGAAGAGAAAGAAAACACAACAAUUUUUAUGUGGUUCGGCAAUCCCCGCCUACGUCCAUGCCUCCAAGCCAACCAAGCUUGAGGAUUUCACUAUCCAAGCCUCCCAAGGCUUCAAGUUCUUACAAUUGACUUCCAAGAUGUCAAUGAACUUUUACAAUCAAGAAAUUAUCUCCUCAAUCUCUUCACCCCAAGUGUUUCUCACACUUGUACACUCACAAUUUGAUGAGAAAUGAAAAUUACAACAAAAACUCUAUUUAAGAGUAGAUAUGCAAAUGAUAGCAUAAUAAUGAUUCAAUAAAUGAUGAUUUGUGAAAUAGAAGCUCAAUAUGUGUUAUAUGAUCUUAUUUAUGCUUGCAUAGACUUUUAAUUGAAGUUGGAGUUGGGUUUUUAUAGCUAAAGUCUAAAACCUAGCUGUUAUAGGUAAAUUUCCGCACCCAAGCAGUUAGCCACUUAAUUUGGCUAGCUAGCCGCUCCAGUAUAGUAAAUUAACUGUUAAAUUUGAAUUUGCUAUAGUAACACUAUUCAUAAAAUUAUAUUUUGCCCAAAACUUUUUAUAAUUAUACUAUGGCCAAAAACGUCAUGAAAUUUUGCAAACAUGUCCAAAUUUAGAAUUUCUAAAUAAUACUUGUCAUUCCCCAAACUUUUUGAAAUUAUGCUAUAGCCCAUCAUAUAAUAAUAUUUUUCAAAGACGUCCUUUUCAAAAUUUAACAAAAUAUUCAUAAAUAUCAAAGUUCUCAAAUCCUUUCAAUUUAAUCCAAAAUUUGAAAAUAUGAGAUUUUCCUCAGGUGGCUAGCCGCUAGCCCUUAGGCGCCGCUCAUUCUCUGUCCAAUUUUGGAUUUCAAGUGUUUGGAUUACAGUCGAGUCCUCAAACUUGCAUAAAUUAUAGUAUGGCUCAAAAUGUUUCAAAUGUUUGCAAAUAGGUCCAACUCUAGAAUUUAAAAUAAUACUUAUUAAAUUCAAAGAUUGUAAAACUUUUCAUUUUAGUCCAAAUUACUCAAAUCCACAAAAUAUUUUACCUUAUAAAUAUAAAACCUUUUAAUUUAUGAAAAGUAAUUAUUUAAAUAAACUCUUGAGCUUUUCAAAUGUUAAAUCAUACAUCAAUUAAAUCUUACUGGCUUUACAAGAAUUUGUCGUAAUAAUAUGUCCGUUGAGCUCUAAACUUUAUUCUUGAUUUCGCCAUUGUCCGUUGAGUGUCUUGAAUUUCAUUUCACUUGCAUAAAUAUUAUCCUUCCAAAACUAGUGAAAAUGUGAAAUGCAAUAUUUAUUAAAUUACUUAAGAUACAUGUUUGUUAUCAUCAAAAUUACAUUAUGUGUAGCCCUUUAGGCUAACAAUAAGGUUAUUCACGAACAUCUGUAUUUUCAUGGCUUUGAUGUUUCUUACACAACCUGGAGUUAGUAUAGGUAAGAUGUCCAUGACACACCACUUCCUAAUGUAGAAGUAAAUGUUCUGUUUAAGUUUAUGGACUAUGAUAAUGGUAACACAGUAGAUAUGGUUAACGAUGCUUAUAAGGAUUGUGUUGUAGAUCCUAAAGCAUUUAAAGAACUUCUAGAACAGGCUGAGAAGCCUUUAUACCCAGGAUGCAUAAAUUUCACUAAGUUAGGCACUUUGGUUAGCUUGUUCAAUAUAAAAGGUAAAUUUGGGUGGUCUAACACAAGUUUUACCGAGUUGUUAGGUCUUCUAGCCAAGUUGCUGCCUGAAAGUAAUGAAAUUCCUAUGUCUAUAUAUGAGGUAAAAAGACAAUGUCCGUUUUAGGCUUAGAAUAUGUGAAAAUACAUGCUUGCCCAAAUGACUGCAUACUCUAUAGAAAUGAGUAUGAAGGCCUCUUUGAAUGUCCUAGUUGCGGUUUAUCUAGAUGGAAAAAAAAAAGGAUGGUAGUGCUUACCAGUAUAGGAAAGGGGUUCCUGCGAAGCUUUUAUGGUAUUUUCCACCUACACCUAAAUUAAGCGCAUGUUUCAGUCCUCACAAACUGCCAAAGACUUGACUUGCCAUGCAAAUGAGAGAGUCGAUAAUGGUAAGCUCCGACAUCCGAUAGACUCACCAUCAUUGAAAUUAGUAAAUAACAAAUGGCUAACUUUUGCAUUAGAUCCUAGAAAUCUUCGCCUUGCCUUAUCAGCUGAUGGAAUAAAUCCACAUAGCUCUCUUAGUAAUACAUAUAGUUGCUGACUAGUUAUUCUAGUAACGUAUAAUCUUCCCUCAUAGUUGUGUAUAAAACAGAAAUUCAUGAUGUUAUCCCUACUAAUUUCUGGUCCUCAACAACUAGGCAAUGACAUUGAUGUGUACUUGGCUCCUUUGAUAGAAGGUUUGCAAACUUUGUGGGAAGUUGGGGUAGAGGGUUAUGAUGCCUAUAGAAAGGAGUUUUUUAAUAUGUUGGCUAUGUUAUUAUGGACUAUAAAUGACAUUUCGGCAUACGAAAAUCUAACUGGUUGCACUGUUAAAGGAUAUAAUGCUUGUCCAUAUUGUGGUGUAGACACUACUAAAUGUAGACUCAAACACAGUGGAAAAAAUGCAUAUAUCGGUCACCGUCGUUGGCUUUCUUAUGAUCACGAAUUUCGUGACCAAUAUAAAGCUUUUGACAACACAAUAAAGAGAGAGUUUGCUCCGAAACCGUUGAAUGGUGAGGGUGUUUUACGGCUGGUUGAUUCUAUUGAUUAUAAAUGGGGGAAGAACAAGCCAUUAAAACAUAAAAGUUCCAACAAUGAUGACCACAUAUGGUGGAAAAAAAAAUAUAUUCUAUAAUUUAGAGUAUUGGAAGCAUUUACUUGUGCGUCAUCAAUUAGAUGUUAUGCACAUUGAAAGAAUGUGUGCGAGAGCAUUUAUGGAACACUACUUCACAUUCCAGGAAAAACCAAAGAUGGUUUUAAGUCAAGGAAUGCUCUUGUGGACAUGAAAAUCAGGGAUGAACUAGCACCAACUUCAAAAAAAAAAAAAAACAAGUGCAUCUUCCUUCCUGCAGCUUGUUACACAUUAACUAGAGAUGAAAAGACAAGAUUCUGCAAAGCUUUGAAAAGUAUUAAAGUUCCUGCUGGAUAUUCCUCAAACAUUAGAAAUCUUGUGUCAAUGAAGAACCUUAAACUUCUAGGCCUUAAGUCAUAUGACUGCCUUGCUCUUAUGCAACAACUUCUCUCUAUUGCCAUUAGGUGUGUCUUGCCAAAGCAUGUGAAAGGAGCUUUAAUCAGGCUGUGCUGUUUCUUCAAUUUGUUGUGUUCCAAUGUGGUUGAUGUGACAACAUUGAAUAAAUUACAGGCAGACCAUGUGGUGACUUUAUGCUUGUUAGAAAAAUAUUUUCCUCCAUCUUUCUUUGACAUUAUGGUAUACUUGACUAUGCAUUUAGUCAAUAAAGUUAGAUUAUGUGGUCCGGUUUAUCUUCGGUGGAUGUAUCCCUUCGAGAGAUACAUGAAAACUCUUAAAAGUUAUGUUUGAAACCGCAACCGUCCUAAGGGUUGUAUAGCGGAGAGUUAUAUUACGGAAGAAGCAUUAUAAUUUUGUGCAGAAUACAUGUUAAACAUGAGUACAGUUGGGGUUCCACCUGGACAUGUGCAAAAGCUAUCAAAAGAUAAGCCACUGUGUGGUGGGAAAGUGGUGCAAAUUCUUGCAAAUUUGCUAGAUCAAGCACACUUGUACAUCUUGCAUAACACACAAGAAGUGGUAUCAUACAUUACGUAAUUUGAAUUAGCAUGAGAAAGCUGUCAUGGUUGGCUAUGUAUGGAGAUAAGUGUAUGGCCAAUAUGGAAUUCAUCACUUUGUAAUAUACAAAAAGGAUGUCUCUGUGAGAUAAUAUGAAUUGGCAUGAGAAAUCCUUGGCCAAGGUAAAAUAUGUUUGAAGGAGUUCAAAUUAUAUUUUCAUGCCAAGUUCAUUUAGAUUUAUUUUGAGAUAAAGUAUAAAUGCUUAACACACUAAAUCAUUAGCCGUGCUUUUCUCUGGACAUGGAUGAUGAAGAGACUAAAACAUAGAGAUACAAUGGAAUAGGUUCUAUAGAUCCAAUAAUUCUUGUUAUUUGGGUGGUUGUGAAAUACUGCUAGGUGUCACUCAUGACUUGUAGAAACAUUAAGAUCAUUAUUGGUAAAGCGUAUUACCAAUGUAUCUUAAGGUCAUUAGAAAAGUUCUAAUUGAUGACUAAAAAGUUUAGCAUCAUUUAAUGAAUAAAGAGUUAUCAUUAAAAUAGUUCUACUACCUUAUAACAAAGAACCUAAAAGAUCACACACCUAAUAGAAAUGAAAAAGGAGUUACUAGAAAAUGAGAAGUUAAAUUUCCUAAUUUUAGGAAAAUCAGUAUUUAUAUUAUAAUUCAUUAAGAAUGAAUAUAUAUAUAUAUAAAUAUAUCUUAAAUAUGAUUUAAGAUAGAAAUUUAGAUGUUCCAUAAAUAGUUUAAGGAACAAAAUAAAUUUCAUAAAUCCUCNNNNNNNNNNNNNNNNNNNNNNNNNNNNNNNNNNNNNNNNNNNNNNNNNNNNNNNNNNNNNNNNNNNNNNNNNNNNNNNNNNNNNNNNNNNNNNNNNNNNNNNNNNNNNNNNNNNNNNNNNNNNNNNNNNNNNNNNNNNNNNNNNNNNNNNNNNNNNNNNNNNNNNNNNNNNNNNNNNNNNNNNNNNNNNNNNNNNNNNNNNNNNNNNNNNNNNNNNNNNNNNNNNNNNNNNNNNNNNNNNNNNNNNNNNNNNNNNNNNNNNNNNNNNNNNNNNNNNNNNNNNNNNNNNNNNNNNNNNNNNNNNNNNNNNNNNNNNNNNNNNNNNNNNNNNNNNNNNNCAAGUAAAUUUAUAAUUUCAACCUUUACUGCUGUACGGCCAAGGCGGAUGUACGGUACAGCAGCCGUUGAAUGGUGAGGGUGUUUUACGGCUGGUUGAUUCUAUUGAUUAUAAAUGGGGGAAGAACAAGCCAUUAAAACAUAAAAGUUCCAACAAUGAUGACCACAUAUGGUGGAAAAAAAAAUAUAUUCUAUAAUUUAGAGUAUUGGAAGCAUUUACUUGUGCGUCAUCAAUUAGAUGUUAUGCACAUUGAAAGAAUGUGUGCGAGAGCAUUUAUGGAACACUACUUCACAUUCCAGGAAAAACCAAAGAUGGUUUUAAGUCAAGGAAUGCUCUUGUGGACAUGAAAAUCAGGGAUGAACUAGCACCAACUUCAAAAAAAAAAAAAAACAAGUGCAUCUUCCUUCCUGCAGCUUGUUACACAUUAACUAGAGAUGAAAAGACAAGAUUCUGCAAAGCUUUGAAAAGUAUUAAAGUUCCUGCUGGAUAUUCCUCAAACAUUAGAAAUCUUGUGUCAAUGAAGAACCUUAAACUUCUAGGCCUUAAGUCAUAUGACUGCCUUGCUCUUAUGCAACAACUUCUCUCUAUUGCCAUUAGGUGUGUCUUGCCAAAGCAUGUGAAAGGAGCUUUAAUCAGGCUGUGCUGUUUCUUCAAUUUGUUGUGUUCCAAUGUGGUUGAUGUGACAACAUUGAAUAAAUUACAGGCAGACCAUGUGGUGACUUUAUGCUUGUUAGAAAAAUAUUUUCCUCCAUCUUUCUUUGACAUUAUGGUAUACUUGACUAUGCAUUUAGUCAAUAAAGUUAGAUUAUGUGGUCCGGUUUAUCUUCGGUGGAUGUAUCCCUUCGAGAGAUACAUGAAAACUCUUAAAAGUUAUGUUUGAAACCGCAACCGUCCUAAGGGUUGUAUAGCGGAGAGUUAUAUUACGGAAGAAGCAUUAUAAUUUUGUGCAGAAUACAUGUUAAACAUGAGUACAGUUGGGGUUCCACCUGGACAUGUGCAAAAGCUAUCAAAAGAUAAGCCACUGUGUGGUGGGAAAGUGGUGCAAAUUCUUGCAAAUUUGCUAGAUCAAGCACACUUGUACAUCUUGCAUAACACACAAGAAGUGGUAUCAUACAUUAGGUAAUUUGAAUUGGCAUGAGAAAGUUGUCAUGGUUGGCUAUGUAUGGAGACAAGUGUAUGACCUAUAUAGAAUUCAUCACUUUGUAAUAUACAAAAAGGAUGUCCCUAUGAGAUAAUAUGAAUUGGCAUGAGAAAUCCUUGGCCAAGGUAAAAUAUGUUUGAAGGAGUUCAAAUUAUAUUUUCAUGCCAAGUUCAUUUGGAUUUAUUUUGAGAUAAAGCAUAAAUGCUUAACACACUAAACCAUUAGCCGUGCUUUUCUUUGGACAUGGAUGAUGAAGAGACCAAGACAUAGAGAUAUAAUGGAAUAGGUUCUAUAGCUCUCCUCCACUUGUUGCCAUUAGCCAUUCUUGCACAUGUGGCAAUAAUCCCUCCAAAAAGUAUUGGCAUUUGUGCCAUUUCUCGUACCCAUGAUGUGGACACUUCAAAAGUAGCCCAUUAAAUCGCUCCCAUGUUUCGAAAAACUGCUCGUCUUCUCUCUGGGUAAACUCUAAGAUUUCCCUGCGAAUGGCAUUGGUUUUAUGCACUGGGAAGUAUUUAUUCAAAAAUUUUGUUACCAUUUGUUCCCAUUAUGUAAUGUUAUUAGCAGGCAAUAUAUUGAGCCGUGAACAAGCUCUAUCCUUUAAAGAAAAUGAGAAUAAUCUAAGUUUAACAUCAUUGUCUGAAAAAUUCUCAUAUUUAAAAGUUUGACAAACAGCAUGAAAAUCAUUCAGAUAAUUAUAUGGGUCCUCAUUUUCUAAGCCAUAGAAUGUUGAGAGACAAUUUAACACACUAGGUUUUAGUUCAAAACUCCUAGCAGCUACAUUUGGGUAUCUUAUGCAUGAUGUGCUCAAAUUAGCUAAGGGACUGAAGUAGUCCUUAAAUGGCCUCUCCUCUGGUGGUUGUUGUUGUUGUUGCAAAUUCAUUUCACUUUUAUUUUUAAUUGCAACGUGUUUGUGUGGACGAAGUGUUUUUUCAACUUCAAGGUCUACAAGCUCAAGAUUAGGUAAUAAUAACCUUCGACCAUGCAUGCAAAGAACAAAAAAAUAAAUGGAAACAAAACAAAUAAAAAUAAAAAUAAAAAAGAAGGAGAAAUUACGGUACUAACCUUAUUACGCUAUUACAACCUUACUAUAACACUCUAAAAAAAAUACGUGAAAUAAAUUAACUAAAAAUAAAUUAAUAAGAUAAACAAAAAAUUACAAAGAAAAAUAAAUUGAAAAUUAAAUUACAGAAUUUUAAAGAAGAGAAAAAGAAAAGAAAUUCUUACCUCAAACUGUAGAUUCACUUUUUUUUCUUUUUUCUUUUUUAAUAAGAGAAAAAAUUACAAGAAUACAAUUAAAAGAAAUUAUUUACAAAAAUAAUUUCUACAAAUUAAAAUAACUUACCUCCCCGGGAACGGCGCCAAAAACUUGUUGUGCAAAUUUUAUUGAACUCGCAAGUGUACGAAUCUACUGUAGAAUAGAUUAAUGGUGAUGAGUGUCGAUCCCACGAGGAGGUAGAUUUUAAUUAUGUGUAGAAUUAAUUUUCUAAAUGGGUGGUUGGAUUUGUGGUAAAAAUGAUUUGGAAUAUCCUAAAAUUUAAAUUGAAAUGGCAGAAUUAAAUUAAGUGGAAACUAUUAUAAUUGAAGCACUUGGGUAUCUGGAUUCGCAUCAACAUGCACCAUGGGCUAAAUAUUUCUUAUUAAUGCCAACUAAAUCAUGAGGGGGGAAUCCAUACCUCAUGAACCACACUCUAAUCAAUAUGGUGCUAAGGGCUUAUCGUGCCAAAUAAUAAUAAUCUUGUACUAGGGAGCCGGUGAAACCAGAGCGGUAUCUAGACAAGAUUAUUACUAUUUGUCAAUGAAAAGUCAAAAUAUCCACAAUUCUAGACAAGAUUAUUACUAUUUGUAAGGGCUUAUCGUGCCAAAUAAUAAUAAUCUUGUACUAGGGAGCCGGUGAAACCAGAGCGGUAUCUAGACAAGAUUAUUACUAUUUGUCAAUGAAAAGUCAAAAUAUCCACAAUAAUUAGAGGGGAAGAGAAAUUAAAUUUACCAAAUAAAGCCCAUGGCACAUGUUGAGACUUCACCUUCAACCCAAGCUUAAAAAGAAACUUAGUCACUCAUAAUUGAACUAGGGGCAAAAUAGAAAUUUAUUAAAAUACGUAGAAAAUACAAGAUGGAGAAGGAAUUACAAAAAAUUGAACUCAAAAAUGAAUUCAGGGAUGUCAAAUUAGGGGGGAGAGUCCCUUUUUUAUAGAUACAUUGAGUAAAUUAUGGUCAUCAGAUUAAAAACAUUUCGGACGCUCAAGAUUGCGCCACGUCAUCAAUCAACAGUACACAGUUUGACCACACGGUUUGAACAGUGAUGUGGUUUGGUUGUAAGUUAUCCUGUGUACAUGCAUAUACUGUACGCACAAUUUUUGGUCCACUUAUAUGCUGCCAUGUCAUCGAUCAACAGUACAUAAAAAUUUUAGUCCAAUAGAAUCAUGACACCUCAUUAGUCAAUGUCACAUCAUCGAUUUGUCUAUGUAAACAGUGUCGUGAACAGUAACGUCGAUAGUACCAUACAUGUGAAUAGUACCGUAUAUGUAAACAGUGCUAUUUUUCCUUUUAUGCUCCUCCUAAUGUUUUCAACUGUCCUGAGUUCAAAAGUGAUGUCUGUUUUGCUGUUUGAACUCUCGUUCAUUGUAAAAUGAUCACGAUACCCCUAAAAUACAUAAAAUACUUAAUUACAAUAAAACACACAUAAUUAAAUUACAAUAGACUAAAAUACAUAAAAAUAGAAGUGUUAGUAAGACUUGAAAUGUAAAAUAACGAUUUUCUCCUUUAUAAAUAUACACUUUCUAACACUCAACAACAUACAUAUUUUAAUUACUUGAUUUGGGAGGACUAGAAAUAAGUUAAGACAUUUCCUACAUUCUGUUUUUCACCAAAAUCUAUCCGAGUUACAUGAUAUGGUCAUGAUCGAGAUAUUGUGAAAAGCAGUGGUAAAGCUAAGGUUUUAUAUUAAAUUAGACUAAAACAAAAAAAUAACAAUUAACUGAGAAAGCGGUAAUUUAUAUAAUUAUAUUUGAUAAACUAAAAAUAAAAGUAUCUACAUGAAAUUUUGAAGGUACUAGCAGGGGCAGCCCAGGAUAGCCCUCCGCUAGCUUUGCCACUGAACCUAAUAAAAUAAAUGGAAAAAAAGGAUCUAAGUUUUAAAUAUUAGGGAAAUAUGUUUUUAACAGUAUGAUUGAUUAAUUAAUCAAUCAAUUAAUUACGUAUAAUAAAUUACGACUUGAUUUUAGACGGCUAGAUAAUAUAAAUUUCAUUAAGAAAUGAGUUUAUUCCUUGGGUAAAUGCUCAUUUAGUUUUUAUAUUUUGACUUAAGUGUAUAUUUAGUCCAUAUAUUUAAAAUGUACCUUAAGACACCCUUAAUAUGUUUAAAGUGUUUCUUCUUCAACUUAUAUCCCUAACCCAUCAAAUUCAUCGAAUGAAGAAGCUGUCCGUGAUAAUGCAUGAUUACAGUACUUAUGUUCAUGGAGUAAAAAACAAUAAUCCUUCUAAAUUUAGCUUUUAGAUUUGGUAAAUUUAGCCCUUAAAUUCAGCUACGAGUAGAAGGAAUUUGAUUAGAUAAUAGCAGUUUUAAAGUAUUUGAGAUUAUUCAAUUAUAAGAAUAAGAUGUCUUGUAAUAAGACUGCUUGUGUAUUGAAAUAUAUGGAUUGUGUAAUAUAUAUUGAUAAUAUUUAAAUGUUAUGAAAGGUUUUGCAAUAUAAAUUGAUUUUUGUUGUUAUUUCUCAUUGCCUUUUAAUUUUAUCAACAAAUCAAUGGGCAACAUGUCAUUUUAUAUUUUUAUUUUUUAAUUAAUAAAUAUAAUAUUGAUACCAUAGUAACAAUAAUCACAAACACUAAUAUAGUAUUGUAAUGUUCUGAUACUAUGGUGUCAUGAUUUUGGUGAUACUAUAAUAAUAGUAAUCACUGAUACUAUACUCGUGACACCACAAACAAGUGUCACUAUUUUUUGGACUGCCAGAUUAAUGACACAAUUAGGAAGUGUCAGUAAUUACUUUUAGUGUAAUCUAGUAGUGUAAUUACUGACACUAUUCUAAUGUCAGUAAAGACUAUUUUUCUAGUAGUGUAAUUUAAUUUUCCUUUUAAGUUAAUCAAGGGAAGUAAUUUUCCUGUAUUAUAAAUAGAGAGGUCUCUUUUUUUUUUUUUUGGUUACAAAGGGGCUCUCAACAAAGAGCUAAGAAGCUAAGAAGAAACAAUAGAGAGGUCUCUUAUUGUUUUAAUAAUCUCAGCUUCAAUUAUCCAAUAAAACCGCUCUUUUAUAACUCCCUCUCUAAUCUCGCUUAAACGCGUUAUUAAAAAUCUCAUUGAAUUGUUUGGAUUAGAGCAAAAUUCUCCUCAUUGAGUUGUUUGGAUUAGAGCGAGAUCUAAUCACCCUUUGAUUAGAGCCUAAGCCUAAGCUAAUCACAUUGACUUGUUAGCAUGAAUCUCCCGAAGCUCAGCUAGUAAGAUGCGUCUAUUUAUGAAGAGAACACUUGAAUAAACAAAUGACAAGCAGCACCAACAAUUCUCAAGCUGAACCUUUUCUGUCACCGGUUGAGCAGUACAGGAGAGAACACUGUCAUUAGCAAUAGAUUCAUCCAUUAAAGCCCAAAGUUUGAAGUAGGAUUAACAGUGACCGCUAGUGAAGAAAGAUGAAUACGAUGCCGAAACCACUUGGGAUUGAAUUAAAAAUCCACCCUCGGUUCCGCAAUACCAGCAAAUGAAGGAUUAUGAAUAAAACGAACAUUGGCUAAUUCAUUGAGGACGCAGGAUGUCCUCAAUGGCUUUUCUGUAGCCCUUAAACGCCUUUUCUGAGAUUUGACAUUACAAUCUUGAAUCCAUCAAUUAUGAUGGAUUGGCUAAUUCAGAAUAAAACGAACAUUGGCUAAUUCUUCUUUUGAAUUCAGAUUAGCCACUCCCCGAAUAUUCCAAACUAAGAAUUUCAUUGAGGACGAAGGAUGUCCUCAAUGGCUUUUUCUGUAGCCCUUAAACGCCUUUUCUGAGAUUUGACAUUACUAUCUUGAAUCCAUCAGUUAUGGCUCUAAUAAAGAGUUUUGAGUCUGAGAAGGAUCUUCUCUUGAUUUUAACUCACCUCAGCUUUUAAAGGUUUUGUGCCGCUUGCUCAAUUAUUAUUUUGGGGCCUUUUUUCCAUGACUAGUAGCAUUGCUCUUGUUCAAGCUUUUAAUCCUAUUUAUAAAGCCCAUAGGCACUGGCUUUUUUCAAGAAGAACACUUUCUAAAUAGUAUGACAGGUGGCAUUUAUCUGUUGGAUAUAUACACACAUAAAUAUAUAUGUAUAUGUAUAUAUGUAUAUAGAGUUUUCACAUUAUUGGGAAAUUUUAAAUUCGCGUGAAAGUUUGUGACGACAUCUGCACUUAAGUGUGUGUGUGUGUGUUUGUGUAUACUUUCCCGUGACAUCAGAAUGAAAUAAAGUAAAAUUCGGCAUUUCACAACUGUUAAUAUAUUUUAACCAUUAUUUGUUCAGUUAACAAUAGCAUGGAUCAUAUCCUGUUAAUGCGAAUUCGUGAUUUAUUCAUUCAUCUAAUUAAAAAUAAGAUUUCCUUUGUUGAGAAGUACAAAAUUAAAAUAAUAUUUGGAAAUUGAAACAUUAUUACUUUAUUCCUUUUCUAACAGUUACCAUGGACUUAAAAAAAAAGAAUAGUGUUAUUAUUAAUUAAGUGCGAAUAAUAUCACCGGCAAUGUCAUAAAUACGAAAUUUGAUUACAUAAAUACUAGAAUCACUUGAAGUGAUUUAAUGAUAUUGUAUUUCAUUGAUAAUUAAUAUAAAGGAUAUUGAUAACACUAUGAAAUGAGAGUUAUCAUGACACUUUUAAAUUUAAAUCAAGAUUACUUAGAGAGUAAAUGACAUGUUUUUAUUACAUUUUAGUUAUAUUUUGCAUGAAUAUCAAUUUUAGUUUAUUUUUAAUAAAUUGUGUUGUUUUAGAAUAAUUUGUGUGCUUAGAUCGUAUACAUAAUUGUAGGUGACCGGAAGCUCAAAUUUCAAGGGAGGAAUGUUGUUGCAAUAGGCUUGCAAAGAUAAGGAAAAAACAUGGUUAUAGAAUAAUUGAAACAAGUCUGAAACAAUGUAUCUGUUGAAGCCAUUACUGUAGCACUCUUGCUGUAGCAAUUUUGGAGGAUUAACAAAGAAGAUUUCGCAAGAGAUACUUAGAAGAUUGCAAUCUGGAGUUUUUUAAAAUGGAAGAUACGCACCCUAAACAUCUGGUUGCCCUAAUUCUAAGCUAUAAAAGGAGCAUACACGCAAAGAAAAGAGGAGAGUCGUCACCCAAGCAGAAAAACCGUAAAGAAACAAAAGAAAAACAGAAUUCAAGAGAGAGAUUGAAGGCUGCACAAGAGGAGAAAACACAGAGAUCCAUUGAAAAUCAGUCCUUCUUGUUCUUUUCUUAUUUAUAUUUAUUCAUGGGGAUGUAUUUGAAGGCUAAAACUCUUUUAUUUAUUUUUCUUUCGCAAACCAUGAACUGAAUUUGAUUGUAGUUGAGUGAUAAACGAUCUAAUAGAUGUUUGACUGACAUAUGCGUGUUGCUCUAUGUUUGUUGCAGCAGUUUGUCUUAAUUGUAUUUGUUUUAAUUCCCUAUUUUGGUUGAUCACCCAUUUAGUGGAUACUAGCUAAGAAGGAGCUUUAAAAAGGUCAGACUUAGUGGAACAAAUUAAGACAAUACUUGGUUUUAGAUUGGGUUUCGCAAUUUGAGUUAAUCUCGAUUUGAAUAGGGUCAUACUUAAUCCAAGAUUAGUGAAGAACUAGACAAAAGGAUUCACCUUGCAGGGUAAUUAAAACCUAGAACGCAUAUUGUUAUAUCUAAUAGGAAGGGAAUAAUGUUGUUUUUCCCUGGUUAACCAUAAAUAAUUUGGCCAUUCUGACUUCCUUAACCUCCUUGUGCAUUUACUGGUUGUAUUUUUCCUCUAGGGUUCAAAUUCCCAAUAUCUUACAAAUCAUCCAUAGCUACAGUAGCUUUUGAAUUUCUUUACUCUUUUCUCAAUCUCCUUGCAGUUCUUUCAAUUUCUGGAUCAAACUGGAAUUCAACAAGUUUAUAGUUGUGCAUGAAAGGGUUGUUAGAUCACUUCUAUCAACAAAAUAAACAAAUUAAAAUACAAUAAAAAAUUAGCACUGUUUAAGAUUAAUUUCACAAAUCACAAUGAAUAAUUAAUCUCUCGCAACGUCACCAAAAACUUGGUGUGUGCAAUCUCUAACGUUAUGGGUGUCAAUGUACAAAGUAGCAAACGGACGCGCUAUCGAUGACUAGAGGGAGAUAAAUAGAGCGUGGCCCUAAUGAGAGUUACAAUAAUGGUAGAUCAAAAUCAAGAAGUAAAAAGAAUGUCAAAUGCUACAAUAGUGGCAAGAAAGAGCAUGUCAAGAAAGAAUAUUUGAACAGCCAAAAGAGAAGAGAGGGUAAAGAUCUUGAGUCACCAAAUGCCCAGAGGUGUGUAGCAAGUACCUUAGAUGAUGGUGACGUUUUACACAGUGAGUUAGCAAUGGUUUCAGCUGCUGUACCGUACAUCCGCCUUGGCCGUACAGCAGUAGAUUCCAUUUACCCUACAAGGUGAAUCCCUAUGUCUAGUUCAUCAUUAAUUUCAUAUCAAGCAUGCCCCUAUUCAAAUUGAGAUUAACUUAACUUAGGAAACCCAAUCUAAAACCAAGUAUUGUCUUAAUGAGAUCCACUGAGUCAAACCUUUUUGACGCUCUUUCUAAGCUAGUAUCCCUAAAUGGGUGGUCAGCCGAAAUAAAGAAUUAAAUUAAGUGCAAUUAAGACAAAAUUCUAUAGCAAACACAAAGCAACAAACUUAUAUCAACCAAUCAUCCAUUAAGAUCGUUUAUCACUCAACUACAAUCAAAUUCAAUUCAUGAUUAGCGAUAGAAAAAUAAAUAAAAGAGUUUCAACCAUCAAAUACAUCCACAUGAAUAAAUACAAAAUAAGAAAAGAAUAAGAAGAACUAAUUUCUGAUUGAUCUCUGCAAUUUCUCAUGUUUUGCAGCCUUCAAUCUCUCUCUUGAUUUAUGUUUUCUUGUGUUUUUCUUUGCGGUUUUUCCCUUGGUUGACAACUCUUCCUUUUUCUUUGUGUGUGUGCUCCUUUUAUAGCUUAUAAUUAGGGCAACUAGAAGUCUAGGGUGCGUAUCUUCCAUUUUUGGAAACUCCAUAUUGUAAUUUUCUAAGUAUGUCUUGCAAAACCUUCUCUAUCAAUGCUGCAGGACUGCUACAGCAACGGCUACUGCAUGUUACUUGAAAUUUAAACUUCCGAUCACCUGCAAUGAUGCAUAUGAUCUAAGCACAAAUUAAUCUAAAACAAACUCAAUUUAUUAAAAAUAAACUAAAAUGGAUAUUCAUGCAAAAUAUAACUAAAAUGCAAUAAAAGCAUGUCAUUUACUCUCUAAGUCUUACCGAUUCAAGUCUAAAAUUGUCAUGAUAACUUUUAUUUCAUAGAGUUAUCAAUGAUAUGUGAUGCCAUUCGGGUUGUUCAAGCAUCAAGUGAUUCAUGCGCUUGAUGAAUUAAGUUCUUGAGACUUUUUACUGCAAAUUUGUCAUAAUGUAUUUUGAUGAUAUAUUGUUUUAUUCUGAUGAUAUGGUAGCGUAUUUGGAGCAUUUGAGAAUAGUUAUGGAGGUGUUGUGGAGAAAUAAGUUUUAUAUUAAUCUGAAGAAGUAUAACUUUCUACAGAGUAAUAUAGAGUUUUUAGGUUUUAUAGUUGGUGUAGAUGGAGUUAGAGGUAUUAAGUCAAAGAUACAAGCCAUUUGAGCUUGCGCUUAAGACUGUGGGUGAAGUUAGAAUUUUUAUAGGAUGGCAAUGUUUUAUAGGAGAUUUAUUCAUGAUUUUAACAUUAUAGCUGCACCUAUUAUAGAAUGUUGAACAAAGGGAAGUGCAAGUAAGAGGAAGAGGAAGAAGCAAGUUUUGCUUUAUUAAUGUAAAAGUUGUCCAUUGCACCUGUAUUAGCCUUGCCACACUUCAAUAAGUUGUUUAAGGUCGAUUGUGAUGCUUUUGGCAAGGGUAUUGGGACUGUUCUUUCCCAAGAAGGCGACCAAUUAAGUAUAUGAGUGAGAAGCUAAACAGAGCAUGGCUGAAGUGGUGUACUUAUGACCAAGAGUUUUAUGACAUCCUUAGGGCGUUAAAGUCAUGGGAGCAUUACUUAGUUUAGAAGAAGUUUGUGCUUUACAGUGAUCAUUAAGCCUUGAAGUACUUUAACAGCCGGCAAAAUCUGAGUAAGAUGCAUGUGACCUGGGUAAGCUAUAUGAAGAAGUUCACUUUUAUUGUGAAGCAUAAGUCUGGGCAGUAGAAUAAGGUGGUAGAUGCACUUAGCAGGUGAGCAAAUUUACUGGUAACUCUUGUCAAUGAAGUUAUUAGUUUUGAUUGCUUGAAGGAGUUGUACGUUGAAGAUGAAGACUUUGCGCAAAUUUGGGAUCGUUGCAUCAACCAUCAAAAUGCGAAUGAUUUCCUAAUUCUAGAUGUGUAUCUAUUCGGUGCUAGUUAAUUAUGUGUGCCUUAAAGCUAUUUAAAGGAACAGAUCAUCUGUGAGUUACAUGGCAAAGGAGGUAGACAUAUUAGAUGAGAUAAGACUAAAUGCUUAUGAAAGAGCGUCAUUAUUUGCUGUAGUUGAAUAGAGAUAUGUGAAAGAUCGUGAAAAGAUGUUUUGCUAAGAAGGUAAGGGACACGUGCAAAGUAUAGAAUUAUACAUGCCAUUACUUGUUCUAGAAAAUAUUUAGUUAGACUUUUCAAUGGAUUUUAUGUUAGGAUUGCCAAGCACAAGGAUAGGUCAAGAUUCUAUAUUGGUGGUGGUGGAUAGAUUUUCGAAGAUGGCGCGUGUUAUUGCUUCUAAAAAGACUGAAGAUGCCACUUUAGUUGUGCAUUUGUUCUUUUGAGGUAUUGUGUUUGCAUGGUGUUCCAAAGACUAUCCCUUUUGACAGAGAUGUGAAGUUCAUCAAUAAGUUUUAACGUUAUCUCUAGGAUAAGUUUAGCGCACAAUUCCAGUUUAGUAGUGCUUUUCAUCUACAAACAGACAGUCAAACAGAGGUUGUUGAUAGCUCUAUAAAAUGAGAGUUAUCAUGGCACUUUUAGACUUAAAUCAAUACUACUUAGAGUAAAUGAUGUGUUUUCAUUGCAUUUUUGUUAUAUUUUGCAUAAUCAUUUAUCUUAGUUUAUUCUUCACAAAUUUUGUUUGAUUUAGAAUAAAUUGUGUGCUUAAAUCAUAUGCAUAAUUGUAGGUGACCGAAAGCUCAAAUUUCAAGGAAGGAAUGCUAAUGCGAUAAGCUUGCAAAAGAUGGAAAAGAACUUGGCUACAGAAAAAUUGAAACAAAUCUGGAACAGUGCAGUUGCUGUAGUCAUUGUUGUAGCAACCAUUGCCAUUGUUGUAGCAAUCCUGUAACAACGAAAGAGAAAAUUUUACAGAAUAUUACGAUCUGCAGUUUCCUGCUGUACCGUACAUCCGCCUUGGCCGUACAGCAGAACGGCUACUGCAUGUUACUUGAAAUUUAAACUUCCGAUCACCUGCAAUGAUGCAUAUGAUCUAAGCACAAAUUAAUCUAAAACAAACUCAAUUUAUUAAAAAUAAACUAAAAUGGAUAUUCAUGCAAAAUAUAACUAAAAUGCAAUAAAAGCAUGUCAUUUACUCUCUAAGUCUUACCGAUUCAAGUCUAAAAUUGUCAUGAUAACUUUUAUUUCAUAGAGUUAUCAAUGAUAUGUGAUGCCAUUCGGGUUGUUCAAGCAUCAAGUGAUUCAUGCGCUUGAUGAAUUAAGUUCUUGAGACUUUUUACUGCAAAUUUGUCAUAAUGUAUUUUGAUGAUAUAUUGUUUUAUUCUGAUGAUAUGGUAGCGUAUUUGGAGCAUUUGAGAAUAGUUAUGGAGGUGUUGUGGAGAAAUAAGUUUUAUAUUAAUCUGAAGAAGUAUAACUUUCUACAGAGUAAUAUAGAGUUUUUAGGUUUUAUAGUUGGUGUAGAUGGAGUUAGAGGUAUUAAGUCAAAGAUACAAGCCAUUUGAGCUUGCGCUUAAGACUGUGGGUGAAGUUAGAAUUUUUAUAGGAUGGCAAUGUUUUAUAGGAGAUUUAUUCAUGAUUUUAACAUUAUAGCUGCACCUAUUAUAGAAUGUUGAACAAAGGGAAGUGCAAGUAAGAGGAAGAGGAAGAAGCAAGUUUUGCUUUAUUAAUGUAAAAGUUGUCCAUUGCACCUGUAUUAGCCUUGCCACACUUCAAUAAGUUGUUUAAGGUCGAUUGUGAUGCUUUUGGCAAGGGUAUUGGGACUGUUCUUUCCCAAGAAGGCGACCAAUUAAGUAUAUGAGUGAGAAGCUAAACAGAGCAUGGUUGAAGUGGUGUACUUAUGACCAAGAGUUUUAUGACAUCCUUAGGGCGUUAAAGUCAUGGGAGCAUUACUUAGUUUAGAAGAAGUUUGUGCUUUACAGUGAUCAUUAAGCCUUGAAGUACUUUAACAGCCGGCAAAAUCUGAGUAAGAUGCAUGUGACCUGGGUAAGCUAUAUGAAGAAGUUCACUUUUAUUGUGAAGCAUAAGUCUGGGCAGUAGAAUAAGGUGGUAGAUGCACUUAGCAGGUGAGCAAAUUUACUGGUAACUCUUGUCAAUGAAGUUAUUAGUUUUGAUUGCUUGAAGGAGUUGUACGUUGAAGAUGAAGACUUUGCGCAAAUUUGGGAUCGUUGCAUCAACCAUCAAAAUGCGAAUGAUUUCCUAAUUCUAGAUGUGUAUCUAUUCGGUGCUAGUUAAUUAUGUGUGCCUUAAAGCUAUUUAAAGGAACAGAUCAUCUGUGAGUUACAUGGCAAAGGAGGUAGACAUAUUAGAUGAGAUAAGACUAAAUGCUUAUGAAAGAGCGUCAUUAUUUGCUGUAGUUGAAUAGAGAUAUGUGAAAGAUCGUGAAAAGAUGUUUUGCUAAGAAGGUAAGGGACACGUGCAAAGUAUAGAAUUAUACAUGCCAUUACUUGUUCUAGAAAAUAUUUAGUUAGACUUUUCAAUGGAUUUUAUGUUAGGAUUGCCAAGCACAAGGAUAGGUCAAGAUUCUAUAUUGGUGGUGGUGGAUAGAUUUUCGAAGAUGGCGCGUGUUAUUGCUUCUAAAAAGACUGAAGAUGCCACUUUAGUUGUGCAUUUGUUCUUUUGAGGUAUUGUGUUUGCAUGGUGUUCCAAAGACUAUCCCUUUUGACAGAGAUGUGAAGUUCAUCAAUAAGUUUUAACGUUAUCUCUAGGAUAAGUUUAGCGCACAAUUCCAGUUUAGUAGUGCUUUUCAUCUACAAACAGACAGUCAAACAGAGGUUGUUGAUAGCUCUAUAAAAUGAGAGUUAUCAUGGCACUUUUAGACUUAAAUCAAUACUACUUAGAGUAAAUGAUGUGUUUUCAUUGCAUUUUUGUUAUAUUUUGCAUAAUCAUUUAUCUUAGUUUAUUCUUCACAAAUUUUGUUUGAUUUAGAAUAAAUUGUGUGCUUAAAUCAUAUGCAUAAUUGUAGGUGACCGAAAGCUCAAAUUUCAAGGAAGGAAUGCUAAUGCGAUAAGCUUGCAAAAGAUGGAAAAGAACUUGGCUACAGAAAAAUUGAAACAAAUCUGGAACAGUGCAGUUGCUGUAGUCAUUGUUGUAGCAACCAUUGCCAUUGUUGUAGCAAUCCUGUAACAACGAAAGAGAAAAUUUUACAGAAUAUUACGAUCUGCAGUUUCCUAAUCUGGAAGACACAUGACCUAGGCUUCCGUUUACCCUAAUUUUCAAUUUUAAAAGGAGCACACAUCAUAAGGAAAAGAGGGAGCCGUCACCCAAAGAGAAAAACCACAAAGAAACAAAAGAAAAACAUGAUUCAAGAGAGAGAUUAAGGGCUACAAAAGAGGAGAAUUUACAGAAUUCAUUCGGGAACUCAGUCCUUCUUAUUUUUCUCUUGUUUUCUUAUUUACUAUUUAUUCAUGGAGAUGUGCUUGAUGACUGAAACUUUGUUCUUUAUUUUUCUUUUGCAAACCAUGAACUAAAUUUAUUUGUAGUUGAGUGAUAAACAAUCUUGAUGGUUUAUUGAUUGAAUUUAUAUGUUGCUGCAUGUUUGCUGUAUCAUUUUGUUUUUGUAGCAUUUAUUUUUAUUCAUUAUUUCGGCUGAUCACUCAUUUAAUGAUGCUAGCUAAGAAAUAGCCACAAAGGACCUAUCUUAGUAGAACAUAUCAGAGCAAUACUUGGUCUUAGAUUGGGUUUCCUGAAUUGAGUUUUACUUGAGUCCAAAAGAGUCAUGCUUGAUCUAAGAUUAGUGAUGAACUAGAUAUAGGGAUUCACCUUGUACGGUAAUUAUAACCUAAGUGUGUAAUGCUAUAUGUUAUGUUGGCAUAACAACUGAUCACUGUUAGGUUGCAUAUAGAUAUAAGACAUCCAACAAGCAACAGCUGAGGAUACAUAAGGAUUUUGCCCAGUACUGUAGCAGAUGCUGGAGAAAUCGGACAAACAUUAGAAAAAUAGUCAAAACAAUUUAGAGAAUUUAUCCACUCAACUACUCUAUAUUCCCAUUGGUUUUAUCUUUGAGUUUGACCUGAUAAUUUACUUUGUUACAUUUUAUUUAUUGCGUUUUUAUUUUAAUUAGUAUGUUAGUUUUAUUAAUUGUUUUAUUUUAAUUUAGAACAAAAUCAACACUGUUAAAAUUAUUGUAGCAAAUCUGAUAACAUCAAUCCCUGUGGAGACGAUAUUGAAUACUCAUCAUUAUAUUACUUGUUGUAUACACUUGCACAUUGACACCAAUACCAUUUGAAUUUAGUACUAAUAGUGGUCAAUCGCACUUUGGGCAAUAUGUCACGGUGUGUUUGUGCUGACAAGCAACGAAACUGGGAAUCCACCAUACUUCAAGUCAAGUUUGCUUACAAUAGCAUGGUCAAUCUAGCAAGACCCCUUUUGAGAUUGUCAACACUUGUUUCCCACGCCAUGUUUGUGAUCUGGCUAUCAUGCCUACAAGGGUAAGAGGAAGUAAAACAAUAGAUAAUUGUUGGUAUAAAUUCAAAUGCUAGUGGUGUCAAUGUGCAAGUGUACACAACAAGUAAUAUAAUAAUAAGUAUUCAAGAUCGUCUCCACAGGGAUUGAUGUUACUGAAAUUGAUACAGCAAUCUUAACAGCGCAGUUUUCCUUAAAUGAAAAUAUAUUAACAAUUAAACUAAUACACUACGUAAUAAAAUGCAAUACAUGACUAAGCAGAAAACAAACUUUAACGUCACACACAUAAAGAUAAAAUCAAUAGGAGUAAAGUAGUUGAGUGAUUAAACUCUCUUAAUGGUUUUGACUAUUUCUUUUAAUUCUAAGUUCAGUUGCUAGAGCAUCUGCUAUAACAUUGGGCAGAAUCCUUAUGUAUCCUCAGCUGUCGCAUGUUGAAUGUCUUAUAUCUAUAUGCAACCUAACAGUAACCAAUUGUUAUGCCAACAUAAGAUAUAGCAUUACACAUUUAGAUUCUAUUUACCCUACAAGGUGAAUCCCAAUGUCUAGUUCAUCACUAAUUUUAGAUUAAGCAUGGCCCUUUUGGAAUUAAGUAAACUCAACUCAGGAAACCCAAUCUAAAACGAAGUAUUGUUCUAAUAUGUUCCACUAAAAUAGGCCCUUUUGUGGCUCUUUCUUAGUUUGUAUCAUUAAAUGGAAAGCUUUACCAAAACAAAAUGCUAUAGGAAAUAUGCAGCAACAUAUAAAUUCAGUCAAUUAAAAUUGUCUAUCACUCAACCACAAGUAAAUUUAGUUCAUAGUUUGUGAAAAGAAAGUAAGCAACAAUGUUUCAGCCAUCAAAUACAUCUUCGUGAUCAAAGAAUAAACAAGAAAACAAGAAAAAAAUAAGAAAGACUAAAUUCCAAUUGAUUCCCACAAAUUCUCCACUGGUGCAGCCUUGAUUCUUGCUCUUGAAUUCUGUUUUUCCUUUGUUUCUUUUAGGUUUUUUAUCUAGGUUGACAACUUCUCUUUUCUUUUGCGUGUGUGCCUCUUUUAUAGCACAAAAUUAGGGUAAACGGAGGUUUAGGGCGCACAUCUUCCAGAUUAGGAAACUACAUAUCGCAAUCUGUUAUUUGCUUCGCACGAGAUUUUUUCUAUCAAUAUUCCAGGAUUACUACAGCUCUGGUUGCUACAGCAUCUGCACUGUUCCAGACUUGCUCUAAUUCUUCUAUAGCCAUGUUCUUUUGUCCUUUUUGUAAGCCCAUUGCCACAACAUCCUUCCCAUUAAAUUUGAACUUCCGGUUACCUACAAUUAUGCAUAUGUUUUAAGCAGACAAAUAUUUGAACUCAAACAAACUUUAUUAAACUUAAACUGAAAUGGAUGUUAAUGCAAACUGUCAUUAAAAUGCACUAAAACACAUCAAUUACUCUCUAAGUAAUCUUGAUUUAAACCUAAAAGUAUCAUGAUAACUCUCAUUUCAUAGAGUUAUCAAUAAUAUGGUAGAAAAGGCUCUUUAGAUCCAUGUUGAGGUUGAAGCUCACUUAUAGGCUUCCAAUGCUAAGUACAAGGCUAAGGCAGACAAGUACUGACAUAAGAAGGUGUUUUAAGAGGGUGAUUUGGUGAUGGCGCAUUUGUGGCAUAGUCGAUUCCUUAGUAUUCAUGCCAAGUUGGAAAAGUGAAAGUACAAUCCAUUUCAUAUGGCACAAAUACAUUAAUGACAAAACUUAUGUGCUUCAGCUACUGGACAAUUGGAAUAUCUCUCACACUUUCAACGUGACUCAUUUGUUCGCAUAUCAUCCAGAUGAUGAGGAGUUGUAUCAGACUAACUCGAGAAUGAGUUUUUUUUUUUCAAGUGAGGGGGAUUGAUGUAGGAUGAUUGUGUAUUACAGGUAGGAUACCUUCCGGAGGCCAUAACCUAGGCUACAGGUGUUCAUUUUCAACAUGUAAUUAAUGCAACGGAAAUUUAAGGUUCUAAUAUUCCGUUGAUUCUAUAGAAUACUGGUAUUAAAGAAUAAACUAAAUUCACAUUGAUUCGAAAAAGAAUUCUACGAAUUUAGGGGGUUAAGGCUCAUUGAUUUUGCAGAAUAUCGAGAAUUAACUAAAUUCAAAUACUCACACAAAAGAUUUGAAAAUUAAAAAUAUUAUUGAAAAUCAAAAUCUGCCUUUAAAGGCUACAAGAGAGAGCUACUUAUAUUAGUAAUACUUAUCCUAAAUAAAAGUCCUAAAUCUUAGUUAAUAAGGAAACUAAUCCUAGUAUAAUAUAGACCCCUAAGCUUACGAUGAGACGUAUCAAAUCCAUAAAGCUUGCAUUUGUUCUACCUUGUGGUCGAGCCAAAAAUUUCAUUUCAUUCCUAGAAGUUUUUCAGUUUUAAGAUUUUUUCCUAUUUUUCCUGAUUCUUCUAGGAUUUUUAUCUUUUCUUCUAGAACUCAAAUUUGAAUGCCAUUUGUUUCCUUUUCUUAUUUUUAUUAGGAGAUUUUUAUUAUAAAAGAAUAUUUUAAAUCUACCUAUUUUGGUAAAUUUGCGAUAUUUAGAAUUAUUAUAUAAAGGAGUCUAAAACGCUAGUUUUAUAUUAUUCCGAAUUAUUCAAUAAUGAUAUAAGACACACACACACAUAGUAGUCAACCUAUUUCCAAUGUUUCCGUUUCAUCACUUAUGCAACAGAACAACAAGCAAAUGAUAUAAGACAUCACACACACACACACAGAGCCUAGAAGAAUCAGGAAGCUUCCCACACCAACCUUUAAGAUGACUUCCUAGUCACUGUCGGCUGCUUGAAUUUAUUUAUUUAUUAUAUACAUUAUAAUUAUUGGCAAUAAAUUGUUAUUGCCCACAAAGUAAAGGAACAUACAUAUUGACUUUAGAUUACAACGCCUAAUACUAGAGUCACCUAAUAUUGCCCACAAAUUAAAGGAGAAUAUGUAUGUACAUAUAUAUUUGGAUGGAAAUUUUUCAAUCUAGGAUUUUAAAGUGCGGGAAAGUUCAAGAAAAUUUUGAAACUGUGCAGUUUUAAAUCUUAAUUUCAUAAUUCUAUUAAACCUCACAGUUUUAAUAUUUUCCCAAAUUUUUCCGUACUUUAAAAUUCUGGACUGAAAAACUACUAUGUGUGUGUGUGUGCGUGCGCAUAUAUGUGUGUGCGUGCGCAUAUAUACAAACCAAUUACUGUAGCCAUCAUGUGAGCCAUUGAAAAUUGUUUCUGAAAACCGCCACAUUUUGGCAGUUCUGGCCACAUUUUCCAAAUUAAAUUAAUAAUAUUUUGAAAGAAAAGACUAUUAUUGCUGAUAGUUUGUCUUGGAAUUACCUACGCCCCAAUCACCCACCUCGGCACACUCGGCUACUUCAUUCUCUAUAUAUACCCCACAUGCGUACGUAUUAUAUCAAACCAGAAUCAAGAACUCGCAAAACCAACUUAAUUACUUUGUAAUUUUGAUUCCGGAAGAAGUUAUCUUUUCUAUUUUGAAGAUUAUGGAAACUAUCUGCGCAGGUUUUUUGAGCAAUUUUAGUUGAAUAUCAUUUAUAAUUCUUAUUUUAAUAUAUUUAUGAUUAAUUCUUCUAAUAUGAAUUUUUCAGUUAAUAAUAAUUGGUCAGAGGGACUCGUCCUGCUAAUUCUUCUUCUCAGUGUUGCUGAUGAUGACAAUGUGAAUGACAAUCUUGAUCUUCUUGUUGUCCCUCAAUACGGGAGAAAUGCCGACUACACUGGUUAAUUACACUGUUACUCUUUUAUGUUAUGUUUAAUUGUAUAAAAUAAUAAGUAUUGUUACUUAUCGUUUUGUUAAUUACGUGACUGUCAGUUUGGUUCAAUUCAACUGAUAAAAUCUCUAUAGACAUAAGAGAUUUUAUUUGUUUAUUUACGUGUAUUGUGUAUUCCUAAAAAAGGAAAUAAAUAAAUAAAUAAAUAUUGUUGUGUGUCUAUGAGUUAAUAUUUAGUCUAUCCUUGUUUGCUUAAUUAACUCUCUCUUCUUGAUUAUCUUUUUCCAAAACAAACUCCAAAUAAUGGUUAACUAAUUGUUGCAGCUAGCAAGUGAUCUUAGAUCAUAAUUUAUUGAAAUAGACAAUGCAAGUAAAUUUAUAAUUUCAACCUUUAAAACAGUCAUGCCGUUUAGUAGGCUUAGGUUAAUCAACAAAAUCUUCGGCCAUAAUCACUAUUAAUUUGUUAAUUAUUUUGUUAAAUAAUGCGAAGUUACAAAAUUUUGUCUCUGAAUGUUGAGUUAAAAGCCUUUAAUCAUAUAUAUGAUCCCAUCAUCUGAACAUUAUUUGUUAAUAAUUAUGUAGAAGAUCUAUUAACUAAUGGAUUGAAACAAAAAAAAAAACCGAAACCCAAAAAACCUCUCUCUAACUUUCUCUCUCUAAAAAUUAUCUCAACUCAUCUCUGAUGCCCUUCUUUCUUCAUCAUCCCUAAAUGGCUUUUAUGGCCCCUUCGGCCGCCAGUGAUGGCGAUCGGUCAUCACCGGUAAACACACUACCCCCGAGAAGAGUUUCACAGGUUCUUGGAUCCACCUAGGAAAUCUUUUAGGAAGCCACCAAAAUUCACCAACGAACCACCACCUGACCUAAGGCUACCAUCACCACCAGAACCUAAGCCUAGACGAUCAAAGAGAUUGCUCAACCAGUGGCAAACAGCCCAUAAUCCACAUAUACAAUUACCACAUACCCUUACGAACCACCCUGAAGGAGAGUCACCACCAACAUCCACUGCCUCUAUCCUUUCUAAACCUCGUCAGCAAUCGAUUACGGUGAAUGAUCAAGAAGAAAUGUCAGAAGAUCAUGAACAAGGCGCUCCACCUCUCCAUGCAAAUAGCUUCCAUGGCGGCCAAGAGGAUGACGAAAAUCGCCGUGAGGAAACAAAUCAGUCACCCCCUCAUAAAGGUGAAAACGGAAGUCAAUCUCCGACCAAAGGCUUCACCUCCAACCAUGAACAAUCGCAACUUGGUAAAUCACAAGAUCCAACCUCCAUCGCCCUUGUACAAGAUCCACAACAACUCACGGCUGUUAACCUUGUAACCACCGUGAAUAGCCAAGAUGAAGCUUCUCAACCACCCUUGGAUUGCACACCUUUUGGUCCAAAAACGGCAUCUCCCAAAAGUCAGCAAAGAGAACUAGCUUUAGUCCCACUCACAUGCAAAAUUCCCGAAAUUCCCUCACAAAUUUUGACUACAUGCAAUCAUAUCCACUCCACCACCACCCACCAAUUAUUGUCCCCCACUCACACUAAGCCUCAUGACUCCAAUCACUCCGCUUUGUCUUUUUUCCAAGAUUUAAACAACACCAAUUCCGCCUCCCAACAAAUUCCACGUGAAAACAUCACAGGCAAUGAUUUGUGGCUCCCACCACUCAUAUAUUAUCCCCUUCACAUGCCUCGGCCCCCACCACAAGGAAUGGCAAAAAGCGGAUCUAGACCGAGUUUUUCAAGUCCAGCUCAAGCUGCCUUAAGUUUAGUAUGAGGGUCUGGACCGGACUCGGGUCGGAUUUGGAUUUUAUUUAUUUUUAAAUUUUUUUUAAAUUAUUGUAAAUUUAAAAUAAAUUAAUAAUCAACAAGUUAUUAUAAUCAUAGAUAAAUAAAAGAAAAUAAAUAUUUUAAAGUAAAAUAAUAAAUAAAAUAAAUAAAAGCUCAUAACUUUAAUUUUUUUUUCAUAUUGAAUUCUCUUAUUCGAAUGCUCUAUUAAUUAAUUAACACAAAAG